CCAGCGGGCUUUUGGGUGUUCGCGCUCACUGAAGAGGCCGAGGGGAAGAUGGUUAGAGUUCGGGACCCAGCCAUGACCGGAAGGGUUCUUGGAGCGAGUGGCUCCCGAAGGCAACGGUAAAGGCGGCCAAGCUUGGAGGCGACUGGCAAAGGUGACCGAGCUCGGAGAUGACUAGUUGGCUUUAGGUGUAUGCGAUCGCCGAAGAGGCCGCGAAAACGGUCAGAGCUCGGGAUCCAACCACGACCGGCGAGGCUCUUCGGAGUGAGUGUCUCCUGGAGGCGAUGGCGGAGGCGGCCGAGUUCGGAGGCAACUGGUGGGCUUUUGGGUGUCCGCACUCGCCGAAGAGGCCGAGGCGGAGAUGGCCAGAGUUCGGGGCCCAGUCACGAUUGGCAGGGUUCUUGGGAGCGAGUGGCUCUUGACGGCGACGGGAGAGGCAGCCAAGUUUGAAGCUCACCGGCGAGCGUUUGGUCGAGAGAGAUGGCGUUGCAGCUUUCGUGGAGAAAAAUGUAGAGACAAAAAAUUUCGAAAGAGAAUGGGAGAGGAAGGGAUGCACGCUUGCGUCCAAAUGAGAAAAUAUUAGGUACCUUAACAGUGCCACGCAAUCCGUGCUCUGAACCAUUCAUUGCGUGACACCUGUCCAUGUGUCAGUCCACGUCUGCUUUCUCUUCUCGUCGCUUCUUUCCUUCCGAUAAUGCUCGGCUCGGCUGGUGGCUCGGCUCGACUGACAGAAGAGAGGACGGAUGAAUGGGUAAUAAAUGCGCACCACUCGCGCUUAAAAUUUCUCUCUCCUCUCACUUAAAUUUUCUGGGUUUUGUCUCUCUCUCCUCGUGGAAUAGCAGACAGUUUUCUCUCUCCUCUUUGCUCUCUCUUCCUCCUCCGACGCUCCUUCCGGUCUAGCGAUUCCUCCGACGACCGUCGCUCCCUCCCGACGACAGCCUUUCUCUCUCCCCUCGACGGCCUCAUCUCAGGGCUCCAUUCUCUAGGCGAACUUCUUCCUAAAUCGCGCUCUCUCCCGACGUCCGAUUUCGCUCGCCUCUCCCACGCCCUCCACGCUUUUGGCGGUUCUUCCCUCGCGGUUCGGUGAGGUCUCGGGUAUGCUCUCGUGCUGCGUGUCUUCUUCCUUGCUCAGCAACACCAUACUGCCCCUCUCUCUCUCUAAGUGUGUCUCUCUGUGCAUUCUUUCAUCCUUGAGGCAAGCAUUUCGACUAGGGUUCAGGCCCCCUGAACCCUAGUCGAAAUGCUUGGAAGGGAGAUUAUUGAGCAGGGAAGUGAAUAUUACUGAUGGAAAACCAUGAGGUCUUGAGAAUUUGCCUUCAACAAAGAGCAAGGUCUUGAGAAUCUGCUUCGUUUGGGUCAAGAAGGUGGGCUCCGCAGCCGCACAAGUCCAUGGUCUCGCGCUGUAUGGUCCAGGCUUGUAGCUCCGUCGACGGCAGAAGCAAGGUCUACAGAGAACUCGGUCCGUCUCCCUCGCCUAAUUCCAUUAUGUUGGUCUUUCUCGAAUGCUUUCAUGUGGGUAGUUCUUUUGGUCAGAUUUAGAUGGAGUGCUUGGUUCAUUUGCAAAUGCACAAGAUGAAGAUGUUGUGUGCCCGACUUGUUUGAUGAUCAGUAGCAUGAUUAAUUGCUUUUUGGGGUGUUGGCAAUAGAACGUCUGCUUUCAAGUGGGAGGAAAGGUAACGCCAUGUGAACAGGUUGCAAUUGCCAUCCCAAGAUGUAGGGCAUUGGACUCUUUGGAAUAAAUUGUGUGAUAUUGUGUCGAGGAUGCCUGUAGGGAGGAAGAGACUCAGUGGUUCUUGCUACAUAAAGUUUAGGGGAAACACGAAUUGAAGUUGCUUACCUUGUGUUUUCAACAAUAGAUGUGCUUUCUAGAGUUUAGGGCCAUUCAUGGGCAGGCUAUGCUGAUAAUGUACAGUGAGUUGUUGCCGUAUCUGUUGUUCCUUUUCUGGUAGAGUUAAAAUUUGGGACUAAAAAAAAAUGAUAGUUUCAAUCACGGAAUAUGGAAAGAGAAAAAAAAAGAGGCUGUUUCUGGUUAAACAAACUAUUAGGAAAAAUAUUCUCAAGACUGUCUGAAGUUGCACCCACAACAAAAAGAUACUCCUAAGAAUUAUAUUGAUGUUUUUAGAAUGAAAGAAAGUCUUCGAAAUGACAAUAAGCAAGGAUUUUUUUUUUCUGAGCUCAUAAAAUUCAAACUGAGAAGGCAACUGUCUCAUACAAGUGUUGGGAGAGUAUUUUCUGUGCUGUUACAAAUCAUAUUUGCAAGAAUGAUUUAGAAGUAAGGCAUUGCGAAAUAUUUGUUUGCCUUUGUUGUCAACUUAUUAUGUUGGAUCUACAGUCUUUCUGUUUAUCAGCUUGCAUGCUCUAGGUAUAUUCUGUUAGGGACUAGCAAUACCUAUGUUGAUGCUUUCUUGUGAAUUUUUAGUUGUCAUUUCAAAGCUGUUGUGCUCUCGUGCUUGGGAGCAGUUAAAAACUCAUUUUACUUCUUGUCUUCUUCCAAUCAAUGAUCUGUGCAAAAGGGUGGGGCCUUUUUUAAUGAUUAGACCAACGAAAGAAUUCACUAUGAUUUGAGAUGAAGCACUUGAAAUCAUACAUAUAAAAGAAACUGUCAUAUAAUCUAGUCAAGGGGAAUUAAGUGAUCAAUGAUUUUUGUGUUCAGAUUGAAUUAUCCAGGUUUAAGAAUGCAGAAGCCCCUGUUUACUAUCUCUCUCUCUCACUCUAUAGGAAUCUUCAUGGCAAGUGAAGAUGCCAGACUACAAAAGGUACUAUCCUUUCCAUCAAUAACUGAGGCUUUUUUGGAAGUGCCACCACAGCCAAUAUAUUUCCCAACUUCCAAGUGCCACAUGGAUAUGCUGCCGAGGCAAGAACAAGCUAAGCUUGCAGCUUGUCCUGGUAGCAGCAUUGUCACGGGAAGCUCUGGCAAGAGUGGGAAGCACACAGUUGCUAGUGCAAGGGCUGUGCAAGGGUUGCGCUGGAUAUCAAAGUCUCCUCAAUUGGAGUUCACCAAAAUCCAAUGCAAGUGGUAAUUCAACUAUAAUGUUAUUCAAAAGUUUUGGACCUACUGGGUGCACUGCCUGAUGAAAGCAGGUGGAUUUGAUCGGGUUCAACUGCAGGUGCAGCAACUUCCUAUAAUUCAGUACGGGUGAGAAGAUCCAGCUACCUAGAGACCAUGCAAUAAAGACAAAUCUCAUGAACUGAUUAAAUCUAGACCUUUGGCCUAUGCAGGUGGCCCUAAUCCAAAGCAGUUUGCACUAAAUAGAUGAGAUUAGACGGAUGACCUCCGGUUGCUCUUCGAGAUGGUGCAUCAACAUCACUAUUCUGAUAUGCAUGGCUGCCCCUCUGAUCACUGGACCGCUGCCCAGGAUGCUAUUGCUAAAGGAAUCCCCAUCCGUCAUCAAGGCAAUAAGAAUUUGAUAAUAUCUUAGAAUGCGGGAGCUGCGUUGAAGGGUCUCAGACUAGUCUGAUGCUAGUUUGACUUCCUGUGAGCGCAGCAUGCCAUCUAGCUCAUGUCUUGAAGCUUUAGCAUUGAGGACAUUUUCUCAUGUAAACAGCAUCUGCAACACAGCUUAUGAUAGCACAAUUUAUUUGUUGCUGGGUACGGAAUUUGUGUCUCUAACGACAUGCCACUCGGAAUCUCGGAUGGAUGGUGUCAUUCUGGUUGUAAAAAUUUGUGAUUUGAAGUAUUACUAGUUAAGAUUUGGCAAAUCGUAAGCAUGCAAAACGUCUCGUGCAUUUUAGUAUGUGAACUGGCCUAGGCUCUGCAAACAAAAUCUGCACAAAAUGGAUUAUCCAAUUCCCAACUUGCUGAUCGUCCUUACGCUGGACACCCAGUUAAAUGCUAGUUCUCCUUUCAACUAUUUCCAGCUAAGUCAAGUAGGACACAUUGCUCCUGACCCCAAGAUGCGCCCAUGGCAUUAUACUAAAAUCUUGAUCGGUUCUAAUCUAAUUAGACAAAGACAUUGCCCUGAAGUUGCAAUUGAGAAUUUUGACUGAAUCGCGUAAGCUUUCACCUUAUUCAUCUUAGAAUUGAGAGUUUAGUGCAACCUAAAAUUGCUUGAUGCCUACUUGUUUUGCGGGAAGCAUUAACGAGUUUUGUAUUGCCAAGCAAACAAAGAGAUUUGAGAACAAGUCAGUCUUAUAUACUUAAAAUCUGGCUCCACUGUUUUGACAAUUGAGAUGAAGUAUACUGAGCAAGUCUUCUACUCAAAAGAUCAUAUGUACAUCCCCUCUAUUCAAGGAUAGCAUAAAUAUGGAAUCAACUCAAACUAAUCUCUCAAGGAUAAUGAACGAUGUCUUGAGUUCAUGUUAAAAUAAUAUUUACUACAAUUCGUUCAUGCCAUCACCUUAUGCAAUAGACCAAAAUUAAACAGGUGGCGUUGAUGAAAUCAAGAAAGCAGAAUGAAUUAAACCAUACUCAUAAUCCAAAACUUGAGCUUCUCUAGUUUUUCUUCAUCUAGAAGCUGCUGAACAUUCAUUGGCAGUCUUUUUAAUGUUCAAAUGAACCCCUGGAGAAUGAUCAGCCAUUUGGUAGAAAAGUAGUCCAAUCCCAUUUGGGAAAGUAAAGUUCCCGUAACUUAAGCAUGCACAAAACUAUAGGCAGCAAUUUCCAGUAUUACAACAAAUGUAGUUCUUGCGCUGCCAGAAGAUAAGGAAACAAACCAAGAGCAUUGAGCAUCUGUCAUCCCAAAAUAUCAUUCAAACAAAGGGGAAAUCAAACACACCAAUUUUGGCUACCGAAAUUAGAAGUAUAAGAGAGUGCUCAAAGCAACCAAAGCUAUACACAGUUAAUCCAAUACAUCACAUGUUCCUGUUAUUUUUGCUUGGACUUUUUGUCAGACUUUCGGCUCUCAAGUUUCUUUCUUGCAGCCUCAAACUCUUCUUCACUGGGUUCUGAACUCUGCAUUCCACCACCAGAUUUAUUCACCAGAGAUGAAAGCAUGGAAUCAAAAUGCUCCUUUCGCUCGCUACGGCGCUGAGAUAUAAUUGCAAGAAGAUCGUCUGACUUCUUCUUCGCUCUAUCAGAAAUGGGAAACAAAGGUUAGCAUUCCAAUUCAAAAGAGAACAUACUACUAACAGUACAGUCAAGAAAUCGAAGCAAAAAUUAUGUAGAAUAGAAAGCCCAGUGCAGCUGUGUCACUCACUUCCCCCUCUUUCUAAGAGGAUCUGUAGGUGGUUCAGUUUUGGAAAUUUGCUUUGCCCACUUCUCGUAUGCCUUGGUUGUCUUCAACGUUCCUGUAGGACACAGAAACAGAGCAUGCAUUAAGCACUAUAUCAGGAUAGUGUACGCUACAUUAUCAAGCACGCAUAAGAUCUAGGCUACUAAACACCAGUAUCCUCAGACCAGCAUUAUUUAGAAACAUAAAAAGACAAAAAGGAUGCUCUCCAUAAAAGUAAAUGAGCAACCUGUGCUAAAUUUUAUCAUUGUGAAAGAAAAUUAUUUUUUAAAUAUUGACCUCGCUGUUAUUAAACUCUAUAAAACACGAUGAAGCCCAGCCCUGCUUGAAGUCUCAAAUUCCGACUGAGGUUUAAGAGUAAAUCUAACAAUCAAGAAGAGAUCAAAUUGUCAAAAAACCAACCUGCUGCUAUUGCAUCAUCAAUGAUAUCCUUAAAGCGGUGGAAAUCAAGCUUGGGAUUUGAGCAGAGCAUCGAACAGAAAAGCCUGUGAAGGAAAAGGUACAAAAGAUUUCAAAUACUUUUCUGUCAGAUAGGCAUCUAUAAGAAAGGAAAAAGAGAGGAAAAAGGACAUAUCAACCCCACCUGUUCAUGUUACCCUUGAAUUUCUCGUAUAGAUCAAUAAGAUCAUUCUUUUCAGAAUCAGAACCUCUAUAGUUUGCCUCAAACUCUUCGAUGUCUGCUUCAGUAACCACCUGGAUGAAGCCAUGUCAGAUAACUUCAAACCUAGAGAUAUUCACGCAAGAGAAUGUCAUUCACAUCAGAAAGAUGUCAUUCCGGGUAGAAUAUGAUCAACCUUGUAUACAGCUCUAAAAUACUCGUGCAGAUUCUGAGCGACUUCCCCUGCAAGGUCCUAAGUACCAGGAAGAUAGAUGUGAGAAAAAGCACUCACAAUAAUGAAAGAAAACUUUAAUUGCCCAAUAAUAUAAAUUAUCAUACUUGGGCUUAAAGUAUAUCACAAUUUAAUCAUCUUUCCUCACAUUUUAGCUAGGCCAUUUCAAAGCACAGAGUCUAUGGACCAUGCUAUCUUAAAUAUAUUCAACUAAGUAACAUAAUUUCUCUCUUUGCUUGGAGCAGAUAUUUAUCUAUUGAAUAGAGAUCAAGACUUAAUUCUCUCCUGUUUUUUGUGACUAUGCUUCUGCAGAGAUUCAGGUGGAACUCACAGCAUACAAAGUGCAACUCAUGUCGAUUUUAUUAUCCAUCCAACAUCACUUGAGAUGCUAAUUAUAUCUCAUAAGCAACUUAACUGAUCAUUGGCUGUGAUCUUUAUUUGAGAUGAGAAGCAUUUCAUUCGAAUAGACACAAAGCAAAUGGGCUAACUCUACUACAAGCAUAUUAUUAUAUCAAUUAACUAGAUUAAAACAUCAGAAUGUCUAUAUAGACUCCGACAUUCUCGGUCAAAAUAUGACAAUUCAUUGGGGUCAAAUGCACUUGCUGUAACAAAUCAGAAUGCCUCUGAACUGCAACAGUAGGUAGGGAGCCAGUCCUUCAACCCAGUCGUUCCGUGUACUCUUCCCACAUGCUUUACAAUAACAAUUUACAAGCCUCAGAAACAACCAUAGAAAGACAAAAAAAGGACUUACAGGUUUCAUUAUCAUUUUGAGAAAAAGCGUGAUGCAAAAAAUUUCAUUUUCAUAAACAAAUUGCUCUUUGUUGAAGGCAAAUUCUCAAGACCUCAUGGUUUUCCAUCAAUAAUAUUCACUUCCCUGCUCAAUAAUCUCCCUUGCAAGCAUCAAAUAGAAAAACUUGAUUUUUGCUUACUGUAAAGGUUACGCAGGAAACACUAUCAUGACCUUGCAACUAAAACAAUUCAUCCCCACCUCAAUGUAGCUCUCGAUUCGUGAAAUGUCAUUGCCUCAAUUUUGGCCAGGUCAUUAUUAGGCAACAUGACUUCACCAAUGCUUGCACCAGAAUUUUUCUGCAGAAAAAAUGAAUGCGAAAUGGUCAAGUCCCCAAAACAGGGGUGGAACGAUAGCUUUGAUUAAAAGACAAUACCUUGACAUGACUUUUGGUAGAACUAGGAACUGAAGCCACCGAUCCUUUCGAUUUCUUCCCUUUCUUGUCCUCAGAAGUCGCCGCCGACACGAAUUUGACACGCUCCUUUUGGACACCAUUUCGCUCGUUCCGAGUAAGACGAUAGAACGACCAGCCUAGAAUCUCGGAGCAGCCACGAAGCUACAACGUGCAAAAAAGUCAGCAACGUGCUGAAGGACCGAUCUGGAAAGAAAGACUAUAAAAUUCACGCUGGGUUCACGCAAAAAUGAGAGUACCCGGACGAACUUCAAAGAAGGGGUGGCGAAACCCCUGAACCCUAGUCGAAAUGCUUGCCUCAAGAGAGAGACACACUCAGAGAGAGAGAGAGGGGCAGUAUGGUGUUGCUGAGCAAGGAAGAAACACGCAACACGAGGGCAUACCCGAGACCUCACCGAACCGCGAGGGAAGAACCGCAAAAAGCGUGGAGGGCGUGGGAGAGGCGAGCGAAAUCGGACGUCGGGAGAGAGCGCGAUUUAGGAAGAAGUGCACCGAGAGAAUGGAGCCCUGAGAUGAGGCCGUCAAGGGGAGAGAGAAAGGCCGUCGUCGGGAGGGAGCGACGGUCGUCGGAGGAAUCGCUAGACCGGAAGGAGCGUUGGAGGAGGAAGAGAGAGCAAAGAGGAGAGAGAAAACCGUCUGCUCUUCCACGAGGAGAGAGACAAAACCCAGAAAAUUUAAGUGAGAGGAGAGAGAAAUUUUAAGCGCGAGUGGUGCGCAUUUAUUACCCAUUCAUCCGUCCUCUCUUCUGUCAGUCGAGCCGAGCCACCAGCCGAGCCGAGCAUUAUCGGAAGGAAAGAAGCGACGAGAAGAGAAAGCAGACGUGGACUGACACAUGGACAGGUGUCACGCAAUGAAUGGUUCAGAGCACGGAUUGCGUGGCACUGUUAGGGUACCCAAUAUUUUCUCCGUGCAAAUGGGAGAAUGGUGCAGAGUUGCAAGCCCCGGCUUCAUGUGUUGACAUGUGUCGACAUGUGUCGAAUCCUGAUUGGGCGGGCACAUGGUAACUUGGAGGCCCACCCAAUAUUUUCUGGAGAGACACGAGAAGACGGGGGAAUUUUAUAUAUAGAAAUUCAGACACGUGGGAAGGAGGGAUCCCACACAGCGACCGGUCGACUGGUCAAUCAGGCCGACACGUGCGAGAGCACUCGGGUUAUGUCAUGGCAUCCGUCAGCUGAUCUGUCUGGACUUGGCGAAUGGGUUGAGGGGAGGGGCAGUAGCGGUAAUUUAAAUGGUCUCUCGUGACUCCUUGAAAGUUUCUCUCCCUGCCCUUUUGGCCCUUCGUGAAGUCAAACCCUUUUGGCAAAAGAUAUAGUGCCAUGUUACCCCCCGCAAUGAAAUCCAAGACAGAUAUGUUAUCCAAUAAGGGUAAUUCUAGCAUGACGGUCUCACCGUCUCACGGUCAAAGAAUUAUCGUAUUGGAUGGAGCAAUAUCUGAUAAUAAGUUCUUAAUUUUGACAUUUCAAGAUUGUGUUUUAAUUUAUAAACCAAAUCAAUUUACAUUUUAAAUCUCUCCAAAUUUAAAAAUUCUCUUAUUCGCAAGUCCAUGAUCGACAAGUGCGGAGUGUGUCAAGGAAAUUUACUCAUCUUGUUGGACAUCUUGUAUUCUCAUAUCAUGUUGAUACUAGUAUACCUGGUCACAAAAUUUGAAAUGAAAUUACAUUUACUAUCAUGGAUCGAUUGUUGUGAUGAUUAAAAUAUAUUAUUUUUUAGCCAAUGAUCUCGUUCAAAUUGGCCAUAUGAGCAUAGGUUAAAAGAUCAUCGAAACACAAAUGGCUCUAUGACCUACCCACUAGACAGCAAAGAAGUCAAAAGAGGUGGAUAUUCUAGUUUUCUCCGGCGAACUUAACGGGGAUGAUUUGAUAACAUUCGGCAGCUUUACUAUGAAGGUCAAACAACGCUGGAAGGUGGUGAGAUUUGGACUAUAAUUGACCACGGUUGCACAUGAAAAUAUCUAAUAUAUUAAGUAUUUUUGGUGAUGACCAAAAAAAAAAAAAAAAGAGCAUUUUUGGGGUUAUGCAAGUAUCAAAUCACUCGUGCUAAAAAACCAAUCAAAUCUCAAAAGUCAACAAGUUACAAAAGUCAAAUACGUGUAAAAAGUCAAAACACUUUGACGCAGUUGAAGCCAAUGGGAAAAUCUACAUUAGAUGUCUAUCCAUUGGGGAUUAAAAUCCUACCAGAAGAAAAAGUAUAUGUUUUGAAAGAUUUAUGUCGGGAGCUCCAUAGGUUUUUUAUUACACUACAUCCUUUUUUCAUGAUAUUAAAGAGGUAAGAAAAGAUGCAUGAAUCCGAGGUGUUAGAAAUAUACACGAGUCAUCGAUUUCUUGACUAGUUUUAUGGCAUGUGUUUCCUCCAUCUCCUAUUAAAGAAAUUUCUUUUAUCAAAUCUCUUAGUGGAUUAUACAUAUUGAAAUUACCUCUAUGCAAAUUUUAACUAAAUGUAAAGAAAAGUGAUUUCUUGUAACCCACUCAAAUAGAAAAUUGGUUCUAGGAGAUUUUCUCCAAUCAGGGAUGGAGGAAAAUAUUAUUUUUCUAAGGAUCAGUGUUGUCACCAUGAAUAACUCAAUAGAUAUAAUGAGUUUAUGCAACCCGACCUAACCUAAGAAAAGGAAAAUUGGAUUUUAUAAGAGAAUGAAACCACAAUUAAGCUGAAGACAUACUUAUGCCAAAACAAACCUACGAACAGAGCGAGUGCUGGUCUAAUAACCACAAAUUCAUCCGAACUUUAACUCGAGUCUUAAUCAUUUGAUCAAUAAGGUUAGGAGAGUAUGUUUUAUUGUGAUAUUAGUUCAUCAUUAUCUUUCUUUGUCGUGAUUAAUUCGUGCUUAUCAAAUAUAAGAACUCACAUUCAUCAAACAUUCACACAUGUACAUAAAGGUAUAUCGAGGCAAUGAGGGAUGGAAAAGGGCCGGAGACAUCGAUCCUUUCCUUUAUUUUAGUAAAUUGAUAUACCAGAGGUUAUUGUAAAUUGCAAUUGCAGGUCAUAAUGAUUUCGAGAGAGGAAACUAAAAUGAGAAAUUAAGGGUGUUAAUUUCAAUCCCCAUAUGAGCAAUUGCGGCGUCGUUUUUGUGAAGCCAUCCACGUAUGACGGCAAAACAAUGUCAUUUUUUUAAGGAGGACGGAAAACGAUGUCGUUUAAAAGCCACGUCAACUUUUUUAUUUUUAAAUAUAAAAGUCACAUGACCAAUUUAACUGGAAUCUCUCACCGGUGGCACUAAAGUGAUCGUUUUUUUUCUCUGAUUUGACACUUAAAUGAUUCAAUGGAAACGUUUGACACCAAAGUGAGCGUCGUACAUAACUUUUUGCACUUCUAGUGUACUUUCCCCAAAAUUUAAAUUUCAACAUAGUCCAAAAUUAUAGUUUUAUUAAUAAAUUCUCUUCAAUUAAAAGAAUGAAGUAUUAAAAUUUGUAUUGAGAAUUUUGACACGGUAUUGACUCGACAUGUUGAUGUGUCCGUGGCUUGUUGAAUUGAAAUCCUCUCUCUCCUCCCCCCUCUCUUUCUCUCCGCUAAAUUUUCUCAUCUUUCAUUUAACACCAGAAGAAUUUUUUUAUAACUUUUUCAGAAAGUUUCUUUUAUUAACAAUAGUCCUAGAGAAUUAUAAUAAGAAAAUUUUCAAACCUUGCUUUGACUAUAAGCAUCUAAAUCUAUUGUGUGUGUGUGUGUGUGUAUAACACAAAUAAGGGGGGAAAUUUUUUCCUAAUCUUACGUAUAUAUAUUUUUAUUUUAAAAUUAAAGACCGAGGAAGCGCAUGAUUGUUUCCCUUGUCAAAGAAAACUUCAAAGAUCUUUCUAAUAAAAGGCAAAGCCUAAGAGAACAACAUUUGAUAUUUUAGAGUGCUUUUUAUUUAACAGAAAAAUCAAAAUUGGAAUUUUUUUUUCAAAAAAAUGAUCAGUUUUAUUGUUUAGAAAUAUUAGUCAAUAGAAAAUAUAUUCAUUAUCAGUAAUGAUCUAUAUCUAACUAUUUCGUGGAUGACGAAAAUAUUUUUCCUUUAUUCAAUUUUGUAAGUAAUAAAUUAAUCGUUCAUUAGAAAAUGUUAUCAAAGUCUUUCUUUUUUUCUUUUUUUUUUUGUGAAACAACCGAAUCCUUAGUCAAUAAUGAGAUAAAUAAUUGUCGCGACCAAUUUUUUGGGUGCACGUAGAGUUUGGCUAAUGAAUUGUUAUGCCUAAAUUUAACUCGGGUUCUCCCAAACCCAUACUAAUUCGCAACUUAGGUUCAAGUUCUUAACAUGUGAUUGAUUUUCAAUUAGGAGUCACAACUAAUCUAUUUUUGGUGGGUCGAUUAAAAACCCAAGUAAAGUAAUUGGAGAUUUACUCUACUUCUACGAACUAGAGAUUUAUGAGUUCGGGGACUUGAUUACGCUAGAUUUCUCUAACGCCCUUUCAGUACCUUUCUUUUUAUUUUGAAAAAUUGUUUGGCAUGUAGCUUGAAUUAAUUUUAAGCUAUUUCCCUAACAUGUGAGGUUAACCUCAUGCGGGUGCGCAAAUCACCAAUUUAAUAUCCAAGUAAAGCAAUAAAUAAAUUGCAGGACUUACCUCAUAACAACGAAAGCAUUUGCGUUAUUAAAUCAGAAUUCACAUCAUCAACCCUAGAUAUAAUUUCUAAUUAACACGCAAUUUCUUUUGUUUUCACUUAAUUAACGAAAAUUAUGCAAUAUGCAAUGCAAUAUUAACUAAAUGACCUAAUUCCAAUGACAUGUAAUUUCUAAUUAAAUGGGCCUAGCAAAAAUACUAAAUGACAUGCAUCUCAAUGAAUCUAACCCUAAUGAUGUGCAUAUGACAUUUCUUUUUCUUUUUCCUAAAAGAAUGCAUUUUAUCCUAAAUAAUAAAACUAAUUUAACCUAUGACAUUUUUUUUUAAUUUUUCAUGAAAUUCAAAAUUUGGUGAAAUGUGAAAAUUACCUAACUAGAUUAAGAUCCUAUAUAAUUUAUAUUAGGAAUUACGUUGAGCCAUAUCCUAAUUUAAACUAAAAUAUUAUCUUAACCCAAAUAAUCCUAAAAUGCAAUCUAUUUAAGAAAAUACCUAAACUUAUAAUAAAUUAAGAGAAAAUAUUAUCUAAAAUUAAACUAAGUGCAAUUUUACCCUAAUAUGUCCCCUAAUUUUAUAUGACAUAUGCAUGAUGAUUUUUUGUGGCUUUUCUUUCUUUCCAAAAUUAAAAUUUAACAUGCAAUUCAAAUAAUAAUAAAACUAGCAUCCUAAAUAAAUGUACUAGCAACCUAAAUUAAUUGAUUUGAUUUUUUUUUUGUUUUUUUGAUUUUUUGAAAAUUCAUGAUAAAUAGAAUGCUUUAACCUAAAUAUGCAAAUAACCUUAAAACAUGCAAUAUUCUAACUCAGACAUAUUUUAAGAUAAAUAAAGCAAUCAAGGCCAUUCAAAAUCACCAAAAAAAUAUCACACGUCAUUCAAAUCAAGGAAUAAUAUGUCGCUAAUAAAAUUGAUAAAUUGAUCUUAAGCCUUAAAGAUCAAAAUAUCAAUUUAAUUCCCACUUGAUUAAUUAUUUCAUCUAAAACCUUAUAGAUGAAAUAAAAAAACCCUGGUGCGGUUGCGAAUCAGGUGAUACAUUUAGAUUUCCAAUUAUGUAUAGAUAGGUAUUGCAACCAAAGAAAACAAGAUAUAAAAAGAUGAUAAUAAAAAAUAAAAUAACAUAAACUUGCCUAAUAAAAUAAAGCAAACAUACCUAAUUCGAUUUUUCUUUUUUUUUUUAUAAAAAAAAAAAUCUUGACCGCUGGUUCGGAGCUCCGACGAGGGUUUCCGGCGAGGGGCACGGCGAGCAGCACGUCCGGCGCGGGGCAGCGAGGAUUGACACCGGCGAGGGACUCCGACGUGGCAGGGCACCGGCGAGGGGUGUCGCGGGGCGCGAAGCUUGCUGUCAGGCACCGGGGGCAACGUCCGGGCGUGAAGUGCGGCGGUCAGGGACGUCGGGUCGCAGGGCUUCGGUUCCGGGCAGCAGGUGAGUCAGAUAUGGCGGUAGCAGCGGCGUCACAGAGGCUCGUGUUAGAAGAUAUGCGGAAUCUCGGAUUGCUCAAUCAAGGAUCCGAUUUAAUUAUUGAUUUGAUUGAAGAUUAGAAUUAUACACAUAAUCAAUUAAGAAUAGAUAUAGGCAUAGAUUGAUUCGUAAGAAUCAUUUAUUUCCUUUAUUUACUCAUAGAUUGUAUUAUAUUUACAACAAGUAUUGUACAGAUUCAUUAUUGAAGUGAAUAGAAAGAAAACUGUUCCUUCUUCAAUCCUCGCAUCUGCAGAUCUCCAUAUUCUUUCAUGGUAUUAGAGCGGUUGAGUCUCUAAACCUUCUCUGAACCUAGCUUCCGCUUCCGCCAAAAUUCCUCUCCUUGCUGUGACUUUCUGACCUGCAAAGAAUUUUUCUUCUUCAGGCAUAGUGUCACACUCAGAAAUUUUUUUACUUACCAUGGUGAAUCUGCAAGAUGAAGCAUCCAUCACCAGAAACCAAUCUGCUAGAGAGAUCAUUCCUGCUGUUGGAACCGUUCCUCAGGAAUCGACUUCGCCUGUUACAACUCAAACAACAGAGCAAGUGUUAUUUCCAACUCAGCCCGUGCAAUGGCGGCCCACACAGGCUCAGUUCAAUAUGGGGCAACCCAUGAUGGGCCAUUCUUUCCAAUGGAUUCCAUAUCCAAUUUAUGUCGGGUCAAGCCCAAACUCUUCAUCGCUUGGGUAUGUGGGCCACCAAAGCCACGUCCAAACCGAUAGGGGUCCACUAACCACCGAAAGGGCAAACUCGACCGACGGAAUGGAGCGGAUGCACGGGUCGAAUGAACCGGGUACGGGUACAAAUCCCUACCCGGGGUUUUUGAAUGCAGAUUUUUCAUUCGGGUUGAAUGAAUCGGGUCAAGGGACGAAUCCCUACCCGAACCAUACGCCCGGUUUUCUUCCGUUUCCAGCAGUGCCUUUCACUGGACGGCCAAAACCCGGCGAUCCUCUGUUCGUUUCCACAGCCGACGGACCAGAGCUGUGACUGAUCAGUCAACAACUGACCGGGCUAGAGACUUACCCCAAGUGGUCGCAAGAAUUCCGACGUGCCCUAGCGACAAAGGACAAGGAUGGAUUUCUGGACGGCACCAUCCUGGUUCCCCCCGACGAGCGUCUAGCCCGGCUCUGGAGGAAGAGCAACCGCCUGGUCUGGACUUGGAUCGGCAAUUGUCUCUCCACAGAGGUCGCGACCGGACUCCCACCGACAGAAGACGCGAAAAGGAUGUGGGACAACAUCAAGGAGAUGUGCGGGAGGUUGGAUCAAGCAAAAAUAUUCACCCUCAUGCAAGAACUCAGUGAUUUAAAACAGGGGAAUUCAACGGUCACGGCUUGUUUCAACAAGCUAUCGUCGUUGUGGAACAGCCUCGAAGCAGCAGAAGAAAAACUCGAGGGCCCCGAAUCCACACUCCGACAGUACAGAUCCCAUGCCAUCUAUCGGGCGAAUUUAUCAACUUGCAUUGCAAGAGGAAAGCAACGCGUUUUUUGCUCAUUUUAAACGACAACUUUCUUACCUUUUGCUCGCAGAUCUUGGCUAUGGAUCCCAUGCCAUCAAUCGGGCGAAUUUAUCAACUUGCAUUGCAAGAGGAAAGCCAGCGAUCUGCAUCACCAGAGAACGUGAAGAGCGGCGAAAGUAUCGCUCUUGCUAUCCGUGGGGAACGAAGAGAUGGACCUAGCAAAACCCUAGCAGAGAAGAGAUGCGGCGUGCUAGGGUUACGCGGAGAAGGAUCGCGAGCUUAUAAAAUAGAUGGAAUGAACGGCUCUGAUUGAGCGCGCACAUCCGACGGCUCACAAGAGACCGAUCUUUUAAAGGGAUCGGACGGCCCAGAUGAAAUCACGACAAGAGGAUCCGACGGACAGAUUUUUGCCACAUCAUCUAGAAAUUUCAGGCAAAAUUUUAAAGGGAAAGGUAGAUUAUUUUGUGAAUAUUGCAAGCGUUCUAAUCACUCAAUUGACAGUUGUUGGAAGCUACACGGGAAACUAGCAGAAAAAGGGAAAAGGAUUUCAGCGGCAUACCAGUUGAAUGGACCUCCCGGCCCAAAUUCUGAUCAUGCCAUUACUAUGGGCAGUACCAACAACUGAUGCAAGCUCUACAGAAAUUGGACGUUUCUGACAAGGGAGGCAGUUUUUCAGGUAUCACACAUAGCUUGAUUAACUCUAUAUCAAGGAAAGCAUGGAUUAUUGAUUCAGGGGCAACCGAUCAUAUUAUAUGUGACAAGAGUCUUUUCUCCAGAAUAAAUGAGGAGCUGAAUUUUCCCAUUACCGUACAAUUGCCUAAUGGAAAUAUUAGUCAUAUUAAUGUGACAGGAACGGUCAAUCUCAAUCCUCAAAUUAUUCUUAAAAAUGUCCUCUAUGUCCCAGAAUUCCAAUUCAAUCUCAUUUCCGUGUCAAAAGUUUGCCAAGAGAAUUCAUGUCGAGUAAUAUUCAAUGCUGAUACCUGUUUAUUUCAGACCCUUUCGACUGGCAGACUAAUGGGCUGGGGUAGUAUUUCAGAAGGACUAUUUUUUUGGUCAAGACUCCCAAGUAAUUUUGAAUUAUCCCGCUUUCCAUUGAAUAAAUCCUCCUUGUGUAAUUUGAGCUUGAAUGACAAAAAUUCUAUUAUGCAUAUGAGAUUAGGCCACAAUGCUACCUUUCCUUAUCCCAAAUGUCCUAUUUGUCCAUUAGCAAAGCAGUCUCGUUCUCCUUUCCCAUCUAGUAACUCUCGUGCUAGCAAAAUUUUUUCCUUGAUACAUGUUGAUAUAUGGGGACCUUAUCAUAAGGUUAAUUAUGAUGGAUUGCGUUAUUUUCUCACAAUAGUAGACGAUUAUUCUCGUGCGACAUGGAUUUUUCUGAUGAGAUCAAAGGAUCAGGCUUACUCUUAUUUAAAGACAUUCAUUGCCUUAUCCAAAAAUCAGUUUGGGAAAUCAAUCCAGCGGAUUCGAACUGACAAUGGAGCAGAAUUUUUCAGUCACAAUUGCUCCAUACUUUUCUCAUCUCAUGGCAUCCAGCAUGAGAGUUCAUGCACUUAUACACCCCAACAGAAUGGAGUAGUUGAGCGCAAACAUCGGCACCUUUUAGAAGUCGCACGUGCCUUGAAGUUUCAAGCUUCAGUACCAGAUGAUUAUUGGGGACAUUGCGUCCUCACAGCAGCUUAUUUGAUCAACCGCAUGCCCACCAAGAUACUCAAUGGACGAACACCAUUUGAGCUACUCUAUGGAAGAAAACCAGAUUUACAACAUCUCAAAAUCUUCGGUUGUCUUUGCUAUGUUACAACAUUGGGCUCUCGAGACAAAUUGAGCCAACGUGCUCGAAAAUGCAUUUUUAUGGGGUAUCCUAAUCUGCAGAAAGGCUAUCGAGUUCUGGAUGUAUCAACAAAGGAAUUUCUUAUAAGCCGUGAUAUAUCUUUCCAUGAGGACAUAUUUCCUUUCUCCAACAUGGAGUCACCAAAUGAGAAUCUCGACAUCAGCUCUAAUCCUCAUCGUCCUUCAUAUGACGACGCAUUCUCUCUAGAUCAUUGUUACAUACCACUAGUUCCAUCAAGGACUCUUCCCUCCAAUCCUGACAUCAUUCCAGGCGAGAUACCAUCUCUAGUGGAGAAUUCCCAAUCAUCAGCAAACCUGACAGAAGGAGAAGCCGGAGCUACCCACAAUAUUGAGGAAGAAAUCAGCCAUGAUGUCUCACCACUCAGCUCAAAGGAAACAAUUCCCACUUCUGAUGAAGGUCAUCCAAGACGAUCUCGGCGGGCAACUAGACCUCCGACGUGGACCAAAGACUAUAUUUGUGCCACUCACAAUUUUCCAGGUAUUCAAUAUCAUGUCUCCUCCUAUGUUUCCUUUCAUAAACUAUCAGAGGAACAUAGAUGUUGCAUUAGUCGCCUAUCAGAAGAACAAGAACCAUCUAGUUAUGAUAAGGCAGUUGUUGACCUUAAAUGGCAACAAGCCAUGGCAGCAGAGUUGAAGGCACUGAAUGACAACCACACGUGGGAUCUUGUCUCAUUGCCACCUAAUCGGAAACCAAUUGGGUGCAAAUGGGUCUACAAAAUUAAAUACCGUGCAGACGAAUCAAUUGAACGUUAUAAGGCACGCUUGGUAGCCAAAGGAUUUACUCAACGAGAAGGUUUUGACUACCACGAGACCUUUUCUCCAGUUACCAAGGAUGUCACAGUCCGCUCUUUUUUUACCAUCGCCGCUAUCAAUGAUUGGAGUCUACAUCAAAUGGACGUGCAUAAUGCCUUCCUCCAUGGCGAUUUAGAUGAAGAGAUAUACAUGGAUGUUCCUCAGGGUUUACGGAGACAGGGGGAGAAUAAAGUGUGUCAUCUCCACAAAUCCCUUUAUGGGUUGAAGCAAGCAUCCAGACAAUGGUAUGCAAAAUUUGCAAAUGCUCUUACAAAAGCAGGCUUCCAACAAUCAAAGCAUGACUAUGCAUUGUUCACAAGGAACAGAGGUACGUCAUCUAUCUUUUUGAUGAUAUAUGUCAAUGAUAUUCUUCUUAUGGGAAAUGAUAAGGCUGCCAUAGAAAGAUUCAAGGAAUAUUUGCAUGCUACAUUUCAUAUUAAGGACUUAGGAGCACCUAAAUAUUUCCUUGGAAUCGAAAUUGCUCGAUCCAAUUUAGGAAUCUCCCUUAGUCAACGAAAGUUUAUAUUGGAGAUUAUAUCAAAAGCAGGGCUAUCAGGAUGUAAACCAGCAGCAAUUCCCAUCGAGCAGAACACUAAGUUGACUUCUGCAGCUUAUGAUGAAGGCAUAUCCAAAGAUGACGACCCCGUACUCAAAGAUCCAUCUGGAUAUCAAAGGCUUAUUGGGAAACUUAUAUACCUGACAAUGACGAGGCCAGAUAUCUCUUAUGCAGUACAGACAUUGAGCCAGUUCAUGCAUAGCCCAAAACAGUCCCAUUUCGAUGCAGCUUUGAAGAUUGUAAAGUAUUUAAAGAAAUGUCCAGGACUUGGGAUACUUUUGUCAAAGAAAUGUGACAUGAAGAUGACGGCAUACUGUGAUGCAGAUUAUGCAACAUGUCCUAUAAGUCGAAGAUCAGUCACAGGAUAUUGCAUUAAAUUUGGGGAAUCACUCCUUUCAUGGAAGACCAAGAAGCAACCCACAGUGUCUUUAUCUUCAGCUGAGGCAGAGUAUCGAGCUAUGGCUAAGACCACAUGUCAAAUAGUGUGGAUGCGAGGUUUACUUAAGGAUCUCGGGAUAGAAGUGCAAGGACCAACCAGGCUUUAUUGUGAUAACGAUGCAACCCUAAAACUUGCAACGAAUCCUAUAGUACAUGAGAGAACCAAGCACAUUGAAGUCGAUUGUCAUUUCACUCGAGAAAAGAUACAAGAGGGCGUGAUUGAGACAAGAGGAAUUGGGACGAUGGAGCAGCCAGCAAAUAUCUUUACUAAGCCUCUAUGCCAAAGACAACACGCAUAUCUGUUGAGCAAGCUAGGUGUCUUAGACAUAUACAGACCACCAGCUUGAGGGGGAGUGUUAGAAGAUAUGCAGAAUCCCGGAUUGCUCAAUCAAGGAUCCGAUUUAAUUAUUGAUUUGAUUGAAGAUUAGAAUUAUACACAUAAUCAAUUAAGAAUAGAUAUAGGCAUAGAUUGAUUCGUAAGAAUCAUUUAUUUCCUUUAUUUACUCAUAGAUUGUAUUAUAUUUACAACAAGUAUUGUACAGAUUCAUUAUUGAAGUGAAUAGAAAGAAAACUGUUCCUUCUUCAAUCCUCGCAUCUGCAAAUCUCCAUCUUCUUUCAGCUCGCAGGCGGGGCGCGACGGUAGCGACGGGCGACUCGGGAUCUGCAGGUGGGUCGCUGGGCCGCGGCUUGCUGAGACGUCGCGGGUCGGCGCAAGCUCAUGGGUGAGGGGGAUCUCCGACGACUGGCAGGACGCCGGCAGAGCGGCGGUGGCGGAGCGACAGCAGCGGAGAAGAGGAGGUAGCUGGUGGAGGCGGUGCCGGCGCGGUCGACGGCGCUGGUAAGCGGCACCGACGCGGGCAGGGGCAGCCUCGCGAGGAAGAUGAACAGUCGUGCCCCCUUUUCUUUCUUUUUUUUCUUUUUUCUCUUUUUUUCUCUCUCUCACGUCACUCACCAGUCUUGUCUCUCUCUCCUGCUUUUCGGACGUGGGUUCACCCCACCGAAAAGAUUUUUUUUUUUUUUUGAAUUUCAGCUUCAAACCUCAAAAACCCUAAAACUUCCUCACGUAUUUUCUCUCAAAAAUUUCGAAAUCCUCCCCCUCCUCAUCCGUACGCGCACAACACCUUUUAUAGGGGAAAAAUUUAGAUCUUUGAAGCGUAUUUUGUUUCCAAAUUCACUCGUGCAUAAUUCUCUGAAUAUAUCAUUGCACCACACAUGAUAUUCUCUUUUGUAUUUUUCACAUAUUCUAUCCAAAAUUUUCCUUUUUACUCAAAAAUACAUCCUUUGGCGUAUAUUAUCUAAAAAUAUGAAAAACUUGAACGGAAUAUGUGAAAAAUCUUCCCUUCACCGGCGGCCUAAAAUAAAAUAAAACAAAAUGAAAAUAAAAUGCUUCUAAACUAUAUGCCAUGUGUGUUUUUUUUUUUUUAAAUCAACCCAAAAAAUUUAGGUGUCAACAAUAAUUUUGCUGUAAUUCUUUCAUAGGUACUCUAACCACAUCUGAUAGUCAAAAGAUAGAAAAAUUUAAAAUUUCAAAAUCUAUCAUGAUUGUGUCAAUAUAUCAUACUAAAUUUAAUUCUAUUAUUCGUAACAGCUGAAUGUAUCAUAAAUAAGUAAAUUUACUUCAAUGUUAAUGAGUAUUCCACAAUUUUAUGUCACAUUCGCCAUUGUAGACCUGGUAAAAACUCUCAUUGGAUCAUUUUCCUCUGUUGUCUCUAUUGUCUUUUUUAAAUAGCAUAGGUAUGUCGUUUCUAUUCACAUGCAAAUAUGACUUGAGAAAUCGUAGAGUAUUUACGUCCAUGAUAAAGGUUUUUUUUUUUUUUUUUUGCCUUUUGCUUUAUGUAACUCAAAGAACUGAUAAUUAAGAUUGUUUGUACUCAUCAGGUGUUUUCUUUCGUGAAAUAAACUCCAGUUAAUAUAGUAUUUGUUGAAUUGUGAACCACUUCAAGUCGAAAGAAUAUUUCAGAUUAACUAGCUGUACAUCACCUACCUAAUCUUGCCUUUUUCAAUAGGACUUAAGAUAGAUUUUGCUAAUCAAGCGAGCAAACAUAAAUGACAAAGUUUUCAAUAUGCCAAAAGCAUUAUUGCUUACUUUUCUUUAUUUAUAGAAGUUUCCAAAAGUAGAAACAUAAUCUUACUUUGGUCUUAUUCAUAUCAAUAGCCUCGGUAACUGAUUGAGGCGACUACAUCAUUCUUAAUCUUUCUUUAAAUGUUGCUAUUAGCAAUCGCAUCUGUGAAUCCGCGGUUGGUUCCAUUAUAUCUUGGGAACAAAUGAGUUGCGGAAUCGCAAGAUGUUGAUUAGCAAUGGCAAAUGAAGCUCUGGGUAGAUCUCUAGGAUACUUGGAUAAAAAUUAAGAUUGAUUUGUGGAAAAUCAAUUUGCUUUGCAUCAAUGAAGAGAAAAGUGAGGGUCUAUUGAGAAAAAAAGAAUAGUGUACUGUUCUCCUAGUUGUGUCGAAUUUCAAUGUUCUACGGCGAAUUUGACAAUUUUGACAGGAUAGACAAAAAUUAUGAAUCAAAAGUCGACCAAAAAUUAACAAAAUGCAAAAAGAAACUCACUUUGGGCUUCCGUUGACCACUUUUCUUCCUCCCUUUGGGUCUUCUCUUUUUCUUUCGUCCUUUCGCCUUGCUCCUAUGAUCUUUCCACUUGCUCCUGAAGCAAGGGGAGAGGAAACAAGGAAGAAAGAAGCCGUUCUGCAUGGGGCUUGAGUAAAUGGGGGCUUCAAUGUACAAGUCCGUCAACCUUUAAGUUUCUCUAAAUUUAUAGAAUUUUCUCAUUGCCUCGUCAAAUGUUUCCUUAUAGAUUAAGUAAGGUUCUCUAAAAUUAAGGAUAACAAUUUACAUCUUAAGAUUACCCUCGAAGAUAUGGACUCAUUUGCACAAUUAAUUUUAACAGCCUAGGAUGAAACUCCCUUUACUACUCCUUUUUUUUCAAUUUUUUUUCUUUCUUUAUCCCUUUUUAUGGUUUUCCAUAACCGCUCUCCUCCUUGAUCUUUUUGUUUUUUUGGUCGGUCUUCCUUGAUCUGCAACGCAAUUAUAUUUUUCUUUUCAAAUAAAACAUUAAAGAUCUAUCUCACAAAAGUAAAAAUCUAAGAGAACAACUUUUGAUAUCUCAAUCUAUUAGAUAAAUAUUUAAUUCUGCCGUAUAGCGGCAAUGCCUAUUAAUUAGAAGGUAGAGAAAUAUAUUGAAGUAUGUGAAUUUAUACGGUUGUUCUUAUAUACAUAGUAAAUUUAAUUCUGUCGUAGACUAUAAUAUUUAUUAUAUUUUAUUGUGGAAUUAUUUAAUGGUUAUUGCUAAUGACGUCACAUAGCCAUUUUAUGGCAUUAAAUAGGGAUCACUUAUUAUUUAAAUACUCAUUUCGCAGUCAGACAUAUCGUUAGUUUUACUAAAAUGUCGAACAGAGCUUAUCAUUUUCGGCAUUAUUCGAACUCACACCUUCCCCCACAUUACUUUUUUGCUACUACCCUUUUGGUGCCCUCUUUUAUCACACUUCACCGCGAUAAGCCACUUUUGGCAAUGAUGCAAUAUGAUAUUAUGCGAUAUAGUUAUUUUUAUCUAAGUAGCUCACUUUUUGGUUUUAUUAAAUAGUUUUACAAACUCUCCCCUAAAUUACUUCACGUUUCUGCCAAUAUAUUGCCUAAAAAAAAAAGCCAAAAGAAAAUUACCUCAGAUUUGGAGUAAAUGUGUUACGUGAGUAUAAGUUUGGAGUUUUUGGUAUCAAAAGAUAACUUGUGUAAUAUGUCGCAUGGAUAUAGGUUUAGGGUCACCAAAAAAAAAGUUCGUGGGUAAAUGUGUCAAAUUGAUACAAAUUUGGGAUAAAUGUGUCAUAUGGGUACAAGUUUAGAAUUUUUUGUAUCACAAAAAAAUUGGGAUAGAUGUGUCAUAGUGUGCAUAGUUUAACAUUUUUUGCGACUUUUUCCCAAAAGAGAAAAGUAAAGAAACUUACCUACAAACUUACAUUACUUUCACUCAGCACAAAUCUAUUUUCCCACCCAACUUCCCCGGAAUUGGGCUGUGCUCGAACAGAGGACAGCCUAGGCCUAAUGGCUGCCCCACGCCCUAAUGGACGGAGGCCUGAUUGUGCCAGCGCCGCCAAGCCCAUGGGCCUUAAUGGCUGGCCCAGACUCGUUCACACGUCUCAUGUAUGACUAACUAAGACGAUUGUGACAUUCCUGAUUUUCUUAGCCUUGAUGUAUAUCUUGUGAAUUUGCCGCUCAUUCCAUUAAAUAAAAGGAGUGGAGAAGUCUCUUGGAUAUCAAAGAACAAAAUGUGUAGCUUCAAUGAAAAAUUGAAGUUAUGUGUAGAGAUUUCUAACUGAGAUGCUUAUUAUAAGAUUUAGAUUGGCUUAUGGAAGUUUAAUUUACAUCAAGAAAUCUGAAAAAAUAAAAAUAAAAAUUGCACUAGUGGCUGAACUAUUUAUGUAAUUGUUAGGAGGCUGCAGUCUUUUCAAUUUUGAAGAGUUUGUUCAAUUGUUAACCCUAUUUUUGAGGAUCCUAAUUGGCAGGCUUGAAUUAUCUAGGAUAUUAUUGCAGCAACUUAUUUAUUUCGACAGGAAAACAAUCACGAACAAUACCUUUCUUUACUCUCUAAUCUGCAAUAGUCCGUUGUAUUUGGUUGUGCAAAAGUUUAGUGGUACAUUACUAAUAAAGAGAACCUUUAGUUAUAAUACAAACUUGCUGAGUUACAUUACCAGAAGAAAUAUUUGCUCCUCUCUAUUUUCUGAUUUAAAAUAUAAAAAAAAAAAAAAAUGCAUCGCAGGGGAAGUAAAACUACUAAUGGUUAUGGUAGUAGUAGAAACCACAACGGCAACAAAGUAUAAUAAUAAUAAUAAUAAUAAUAAUAAUAAUAAUAAUAAUAAUAAUAAUAAUAAUAAUAAUAAUAAUAAUAAUAAUAAUAAUAAUAAUAAUAAUAAUAAUAAUAAUAAUAAUAAUAAUAAUAAUAAUAAUAAUAAUAAUAAUAAUAAUAAUAAUAAUAAUAAUAAUAAUAAUAAUAAUAAUAAUAAUAAUGNNNNNNNNNNNNNNNNNNNNNNNNNNNNNNNNNNNNNNNNNNNNNNNNNNNNNNNNNNNNNNNNNNNNNNNNNNNNNNNNNNNNNNNNNNNNNNNNNNNNCAAUAAUAACAAUAACAACAAUAACAAUAACAACAACAAUAAUAACAACAAUAAUAAUAACAACAAUAGUAAGAAUAAUAAUAAUACUAAUACUAAUAAUAAUAAUAAUAGUAACAAUAGUGAUAAUAGUAAUAAUAUUAUGAUGAUGAUGAUGAUGAUGAUAAUGAUAAGGGAAAAUUUCAAAUAAUGACCCAAACUUCCAAUCUUAUUUAUAACUUGAGGCAGUUUUGUCCAAGAACAUUUUUUCUUUAAUUUCUUUUUCUUUCUUCAUCUUCCUCAUAGCUCCUCCUUUGCCCUACAUUGCCUCCAUCUUCAAUGCCAUAAUCAGGGCCCCCACUAGAGACCUCGUGAACUUCAUGUCAUCACGUAGUUGGUCCUAGUAAUGAGAAGUCGAAUUGGAGUUAUUUGCUACUGGCUCGCUCGUGCUCAACCUAAAGCUCGGAUCGACCUUCGUCUGACGAUGACGAUGCUGGAUUUUCUAUCGAGGGCAACGGUCGAUGAGAUCAAGAGCUCGAAUAGGACUUGUCAAUGGCAGCAAUGAGGCAACAAAGUACAAUAGUUUCUAUAGUUAAUGAUGUCAAACACGAUUGAUGAUCAAUCUCAAGAUGGGGUAUCGGUUGAGGAGGAGCUGUGUUGAUGAGAAUGGCAAGAGUGUGAGUGGGUGUCUCCAGACUAGGGAUUAUUGAAAGGAGCCAUUGGCAUUGCAAAGGGUAAGGGGGAUCUUUGAAAGAUCGAAUUUACGCACGAGAGGCAAACCCAAAUUUGAAAUUGAUGAGGUAAACUGUUGCCGAGGUUGAAAGAGUCGCCUACUGCAACGAAAUUGUUCUUUGACAUGAAAUUGUUGAUCACCAAGUGUUAAUUGAAUAGAGGCAUAAGUUAGUCAAACAAGAUGAUUUGGCAAUGCUUGGAUAUUGCUGCUCUAUUGUUGGCAAGUAGGACUGAAAACCGCACACAAAAUUGCAGUUGCUAGGUUAGCGAAAGGCCCGGAAUAAGUGGAGUUUGAUGCACUCUCAAGGUGAGAGAAAUACGUCGCCAAAGGGAUUAGUUGCAUAACUAGGAGUUGGACAAGAAGUUGAGUCUCAGCAAAAGCAUAUUCAUAUUAUGGCUUUGAGAUCAGAAUUUGCGAUGAAUGUUGGAAUAAAGAGAACUUACUGUUGAAAGCUCAUUUUGGUUUCGUGGAAUUGUCUACAAACUAUUUUAAGGAUCGAAAUUUAAAAUUUUCAACAAGUUAGACUAUGUUGUAAUGGCUCAUGUUAAAGAAAACCCAAUCUUGGUCAUACAACGAGAUGACAAAGAGAGAGACGGAGGGGCUGAUAAUGAAGGUGAUGUAGAGCGUGAGAAAGAUGAAUAAAGAAAAAAGAAGAAAGAGAGAAAAAAAAAUAAAGAAUAAUGUUCUUGGACAAAAGUACCCCUGGCUAUGAAUAAAAUUAGAAGUUCAGGUCCUUAAUUGAGAGUAAGUUAGCCACUUCAUGUCUUUAUUUGAGACGAUAUCCACUUUAGAUUCUUUUUUGAGAAGAUGGCUCUACUUCAUGUUCUUAUUUGAGAUUUUCCCUAAUAAUAAUAAUAACAACAACAACAUUUAGAAUUUCAUUAAACUUAUAAACAAAACAACAAAAGAAAAAAAAGAACAAAGAUAAGUUGCUCUUUGCCCCCAAACAUGUGACGAUCCAAAUUUCCAAAUAAAAGAUAACAGAAACAAUAAGAGAACACAAAAAACUAACACCACCUCCAUAGGUUCCCAUCGCCUAAUCUUAUUGUCACAAGAAAAUUCAUCCGUACUCAUUUUGUUCAUGCCAAGACAUGACUCACGAAUUAAAAGAGAUAAUUCCAUGAAAGUCAAUUUCACGAGAGGAAAAAAAAAACAAACUUAUACACAGAGAGAACCAACCAAAAAAGUGCUAAACAAAACCCUAAACUAAGAAAACCCACGAAGAAACCAAUCAAUUUGUGCACAAAGGUGGAGAUUGUCACGGAAGCCAGAGGGACCGUAAACUUCUAGGAAUCCCUCUCGUAAAGCGUGAAGCAUUAUUUUCUUCUUGGUCUUUCUAAGUUUAGUGUUCUGUUAGGUUUUGUGCGAAAUUGAUCUUCACGCAAUUAUCGCUUUUUAGUUCGUGAGGUGGCUGGAACCAAACGAGUGAAAAUGAAUUCUCUUGUGAAGAUAAGUUUUCACAAUGAAAAACCGAAGGUCGGAUAGUCCGGAAAAAUUUGGAGGUGGAGUUAGUUGUUGCCCUCCCAUAUCCUUUUUGGAGUCGGGGCAACAACGAAACAAAAUCCCAAAAAUUGAUAAGGUAUGUAUUAGUCCGGUUGUUUGUAAGGGAUUGCUCAAUGGCCAUGUUGGCAAUUUUGACGGGUAGAGAAAAACUCAAUAAAAAAUCAACUAAAACAAAUUGUAGAAAAGAUACUAAAAAGAAGAAGAAGGAGAGUUGAGAGAAUCAAAGGAAACAUCAAAAUAAAGAGAUGUAUAAUAUAUAAUUACUUGAGCGUCAAUAAUUCUCCUAACGUCAAGUCAAAAGUAAAAGUAUUUGAGAAUCUUGGAGAAUCUGCAGUGGAGUUGAAGCAAAUUAAUGGUUGUCGAAGGUGAUUGCCCAGCUCUCGAUGCACCCAAAUUUCAUGCAACUUUUCAUGCAUCAAUACCAAAAAUAGCAAAUAUAUCGAAAUUACCACGGAAUUUUAACAAAAAAACCAUAAAACGAUCCAAAUUGAACUCCGAUUGAAUGUCAGGAAAUUGAAAGGCUUGGUACGGUCGAUGCAACUUGUUAUCACAAGGAACUAGCUGGAAAACAAGACUUCUUGUUGUUGACCAAAAUUCUUACGAAAAAGCUUCUCCCUCCGGUGGCUGUGAGGGUCUAUAUAUAUAUAUAUAUAUAUAUAUAUAUAUAUAUAUAUAUAUAAGAAAAGACUGUUUAUCCAUGGACUUCCCCAUUGAAUGCACUCAAAGGCAAUUUUAGUAUGAUAUAUUAGAUUUGAUUAGAUUUAUAAUAGAAUUUUUAUUAUCACAAUUAUGGCAUCAGCACGACAGCUUGGAGAUACUGAGAUAGGCUCGUUAACUCUAGAAUCUUAAUAAUGUACUCGCACAAUAUCAUAAGCCAAAUGUCGACACCAUGACAUUAAAUGUAGUAAGUUUUCGAGGUAACUAUAUCCAAUUUAGCAAUAAUAAAUGUCUGAGAUUUGUUUAUACUAUCAUGCAUAACGAGUAUUCAUCUUCAUAUCCUAGAAAGUAAAUAUUUGAUGCGCCAGCCCUUUUUCUUACCGACUUAAGCAUUAGUUUCGUCAAUCCAAUUUGCAGUUAUCAAAAGUGGUCUUCUCGUUGAGAAUAAUGUGAAUUUUGUAUUAGUCUGGUUGUUUGUACGGGAUUGCUCAAUGGUCAUGUUGGCAAUUUUGACGGGGUAGAGAAAAACUCUCAAUAAAAAAUCAACCAAAACAAAUCGUAGAAAAGAUACUAAAAAGAAGGAGAAGAGUUGCGAGAAUCAAGGGAAAUACCAAAAUAAAGAGAUGUAUGAUAUAUAAUUACUCGUGCAUCAAUAAUUCUCCUAACGUCGAGUCAAAGCAAAUUAAUGGUUGUCGAAGGUGAUUGCCCAGCUCUCGAUGCACCCAAAUUUCAUGCAACUUUUCAUGCAUCAAUACCAAAAAUAGCAAAUAUAUGGAAAUUACCUAAGCUGUAGUUACCACGAAAUUUUCACAAAAAACCAUAAAAACGAUCCAAAUCAUCAACCUAAAUAUUCCUAAACAAAUCGCAAAUCAAUGUUGAAGAGACAUAAACUUUCCUCUCUACUCCUCCACUUUACGCUCCUUUCCCUUCGAUGCUGCUGCUCCCACAGUCGAUUUUCGCUUCACGGGUAAGCCAAAAUAUUCCUCCAUUGUUUUCGCGAAGAAGGGAAAAUUAGGUUCAUCAUCCUGAUCGCAAAACUCCUUGAUUAUCUGGGGAGUGGUUUUUCCACUGGAAAGCUCGUGAGUAUUCUCUCCGCUGUCGUCGUCUCUCGAUCCAUUCUUGGGUGCGGCCGGCAACUGUGUGGAAUGAUUUUGUUGUUGCUGUGCCGCGGUGGAGGAGCCAGGUUUCGUCGAGACCUUUCCCUUCGAUGCUGUUGCUUCGACAGUCGAUUUUGGCUUCACAGGUGAGCCAAAAUAUUCCUCCUCUGUUUCCGCGACCCAGGGAAAAUUAGGCUCAUCAUCAUCAUGAUCCCAAAACUGCAUGAUCAUCUGGCGAGUGGUUUUUCUACUGAAAAGCUCGUGAAAAUUCUCUCCGCCGCCAUCGUCUCUCGAUCCGCUCUCGGGCGUGGCCGGCAAUUGUGUCGAAUGAUUUUGUUGUUGUGGUACCGCGGUGGAGGAGCCGGGUUUUGUCGAGAAGUCGUCUCCAGAAUGCGAGUUGUUCAGAGACAUGAUUAACUGAAAGAAUGUAGCUAUGGAGUAUAUGAAAAAUUCUCUUUCUUUGGUGGUUUGGGGGGAUUAUAUACCCAGACUACAUGAUUCCUAAAUCUAAUAGGUAAAGGUUUUCUAAUCUAGUUAUGAAGCCUAGUACAAGUCGCUCUUUAAGUGUUUGAAGUCUUUAUUGGUUUAAAAAACUUAAUUGGAUAAGGGAUUUUUUCGGUUGUGCUUAUCGCAUAUUUUGAUAUAUUAAAAUUGGACUCUUUCUCACUUAACAUAUUGAUUGUUAUUGUUUGCAAGAAAGGAUCCACUGAAAUAGAUAAGUUCCAAAGGGGUGGAGUCCUAGUUCAAGCCCAAUUUUGCCUAUUAGAAGUCGCAUAUAAAGGAAUUUUAAUAUAUUACCUUUCGAUCCUAAACAGAAUAAGGUUUGUUUCUUUUUAUCCCUUCUUUCUGGCGAGGUGCUGGAGCUCUUCUAAAGUCAGGUGCAAGGUGCUGGAACUCUUCUUUAUUAACAGGAAUUCUGCUGAUUGACGGUCCGAGUUCACCUGGCUCUAGCAAAAACGGGGGAAUGCCAAAGGACAGCAGAAAGUGAUGUUGAAGUUUCUUCUGAAUAGUUUACGUGAAAGGCAAGAAACGAUCUGCUUUCUGGUCAAGCUACUGCUCCCAUGGAGCAUGUUCUUAGAUCGAUUGAAUUUUAACUUAACAUCGAUUUGAAGGCAAUUGAUGUUGAGUUAUCUUUUUCCUUUCAAAAUGAAUUAGUUGAUUUAGUAAAAUCAAAGACAAUUUAAGCCAAAUCGGAUUCCUCUAAAAUAGGGGCAACAAAUGAAUAGACUCGUUAAAACAUGAAAAGACUCUAGCGAAAAAAUGUAUGCGUUCAAAUUGAUUGGCGCGGAAUAUUGAAUUUGAUAUAAUAUGAAUCAGUGCAUGGUCAGGAUAUUUUAAAUAAUAAAGAAUAACAAAACUAAAAAUGGAUAACUCCAUAGUUUAACAUUCAUAACUUCACUUUCUGACUAAAUAUAAACCAAGAGAGGUGCGCAUGUUGAGUUGUGCCGUGAUCUCUCUUCUUCUUCUUCUUUUCCAGUGGAUGGAGGCCUCUCUGGGAUGUCUAGCGCCGUCGACAGUGAUGGCGACGCAAAUACGAUGUUUCAGUCCCCCACAAUUGUCGUAUGAAAAUUUGAUUGCGUAGAUUUCGAAUGCAAUUGCACUUACUGUAGCUUUCGAGGCUGUGGUCCACUUUCCACUGGAAAUACAAGCGCGGCCGGACCACAAACACCGCACUCUUCUUUCACAUGAAUAAUUGCCUUCAUAUGAAAACGAGGCGCCUGAAGUAAAAACAAGCUCGGAAGACUGCGUCACAUCACGGUGAUGGAAUCCUCCAUCUUCUUAGCCAUGCCUUGCAACCCCACCUCAAAUUUCCUCACCAAAUCUUCCAGCACGCACCCUUCCGCCAGAUCGACAGCGAACAACCACUCGAUCCUACACCAGCCUUCGCCGUCUCCAUUGCCAGAGAUGACUUUGACCGUCGACGCGUAUGAAGUGAACCUGAUGUUAGAGUUGACCAUCUCGUAGCUUUAUCUUCGUCCAAGCGGAUCUACACUGAUGAGUCGCUCCUUGGACCAGUUGAUGGGGCAAUUCUCACCGGUGUCACUUGUGCCUCUGGACGAGAGGGAGAAGCUGGUGCAGUAUCUCACGCAAUCGGGCUCGCCGUUCUUGCUGUGGAUGCCGUAGCAAUCGGACAGCCUGGGAAUUGUGGAGGUUGAAGAAGUCCACGAAGCGUGGCCAUAUCUGCUCUACACUGGCCUUUGUGACGCUCGUAGAGGCCUUGCCUUCCCACCCGUAACCUAGUUGGGACCCCGUUUGAUCCAUGUUUUGUUCCUCCUCUAUGCCAAAACAUGCACGAAGAGAGUAAAUACACACCUCAUUUACACAUACCCAUAUAUAUACAUAGCAAGAUAAUUAAACAAAUUUUGUAUGAGCAGGUGUAGGUAGAAAAAGCACAUUUGGCAUUGACUGAUGUCUCUACGGCAACUAUUUUAAUGUUCGACAGAAAUCGAGUAAUAAAUUCUUCAAACAAGAAACCUACAGGGUGCUUUGGCGAGGUUGUCGACGUAGAAAGUAGGGGGAUUCAGUUGUCCUGAUCAAUUUAGGUAUUGGUUGUAAUAUCUUUUCAAGAAAGUCGUUUUCACCGAAAAUUAACCUUAUGGUGUUAGACUUUUUAUUUAUUUUUUCAGGUGAGUACAAGAGGGUACAAAAUAUUUUUUGAAAUAUUAGACGAGGGAAACGAAAUUUUUAAAAAUAAUAUGUUUUCAACAGGAGCAUUUUUUUUUUCGUAUAAUUUUCUAGAGUUUACAACACAGUACAUGUUUGUGGGACUGAUGAGUAUGGGACUGCAACAGAGACUAAAGCCUUGGAGGAGAAGUGCACACCGCGGCAGAUUUGCGACAAGUAAUUAUAAUUUCUCAUGAUUUCUUUAUAUCAUCGCCGUGUCACAAGAAUGGAAGAUGCUGUGAAAUGCGUGAAAAGCAUAAUGAGUUUCUUCUUCUUAAUUGGACAUGUCUUCGGUAAAAAGAUGGAUGUGUUCUUUUAAAGGCAUCCCAGGUUUUUUAUGUUCUUGUUUGUGCACAUGGUUUUGACAGCGGUGUUAUCUUGGAAAUAUGGUGCAGUGGGUCACGGCAUUCAUCUCUGUAGGAGCGUUGUUGACGUGAAAAUUCUUUUGUUUACAUUCAUUUUUUUUUUCCAUAAAAUUGAUUUCUUAUGAGAUUUCUUAGUUCUAUCUUCUCUCCUGUCACGCCUCAGAUACCAUGCUGUGCAUAAACAAGUCUGAUUGGUUCAACAUAAGCUUUGAUAAGUUCGGACGUCCAUCAACCCCACAGCAGACUGAAGUUUGCCAAGAAAUUGUUUGAGAACAAUUGCCUUCUAAAGAGCAAUCAAUGUGAGAAGUGUCGAAAGCUUUUGAAUCUGAGUUAAUUGAUCCUAGGUGUAAGGUACCACACAUUUUCACUAGGUUUUAAAUUGUUCAGUAUAGGCCAUGCUUGUACAAGAGGCCAUCUGCUAUGCACUUUAAUGAACUGUGAAUGCGACACAGAUUACUACUAUUCAAGACGAUAUCAAUGCCUAGCUAGAAUGCAGAAAUUAUGGACUUGUUUUCAACAUAUAACAUCAGCCAUUGUCAUAAGAGCCUCUUUCUUUAGCUCCUCUGAAUGUCUGUUUUGCAUCUUUGACAUUACUGAGAAAUGAAAUGAAAGAAACAGAUGCUGGAGCAACUACUUUUUCAUGCAUGCUUUAAGUGACUUUAACAUAUUGUCCUGUUUUUAGGUGCAAUUUAUCUUAUUGCUGCUUGUUUUCAGGUUUGUCAGGCACCUCCGAGAAUCCGAGAUACAACCACUUGUUCCUCAAGCUCCCUCUGCUGAAGGAUAAAUUGGUGGAAUAUAUUAAUGAGAUGUCGGAAGCUGGAUCUUGGAGCCAGAAUGAAAUUCACGCAACUAAUGCAUGGAUAAAAGGACUGAAACCUUGAUGUAUUACAAGGGAUCCGAAGUGGGGAGUUCCUAUACCCCAUGAGAAGUUUAGUUCAAAUAUUUUGAACUCUCGUGCUUCAACAACUGAAAUUCUGGGUGAUGUCGUGACAGGGUUAAAGAUAUCACAACUUUUAUUUGUUUUCUUUCUAGUCUUCAUUCCUUUGAAAAAUGAUCUUGGCAUGUGCAUUUGCUUGUCUGUUGAUGCAAUGAGUAAGGUAUUCUAUGUUUGGUUCGAUGCACCGAUUGGCUACGUCUCAACAACUUCAUGUUACACGCCAGAAUGUGAGCAGUGGUGGAAGACUCCUGAGAAUGUGAAGUAGUUUCAGUUUAUGGACAAGGAUAACGCGCCAUUUCACAUCGUAUGUGUCCGACUUUUCUAGUUUUUCUUUACGUCAACAGCCUUUAAGGUUUAUUAAUCCUUUGAUCCCUUUUUUUUUUUUGGGUAAGAAGUAAGAAAUUAUAAUGAGCUUUAACCAACUAUACAAGAGGAGGUCACAGCAUCAAAAAACUUACACUCAAAACGAACAGAAAGCAUAGUGAGUGGAAGGGUGUUGAGACAAAAAAGCUGCCAACAAGGCAAACAAACUGGCCACAAAAGGCAACAAGACAAUAAGGCAAGGCCAAACAACGGUCAACCAACUCCCAAAAACAAAAGGCAGGAUGAACAUGGUCGACAGUCAGAGCAACCCGUGUUGGAUGCAAAUUGCGCAAUCCCAAGAUCUCCAUAACCAGAAUAAUAACAUGUAUAAUAGAGUAGAAAGAUUAACGCAUAUGUUUUGGAAUCAAUCGUACUUAAAGCGGAAGCAGAAAAGGGAUUACCCACUUAUCAGGGGAUUAUUCACGUAUCAAGUCAUCCUCCUCUAUUACCCUCCAUAUCACUAACUCAAUGAGGUGGCCCCCUCACGUUUAGCGUUAGGUAAACGCUCAUUAAGUGAGGAUACAUAUGAGAAUUAGGGUUAGAGAAGAAACUUGAACACUAUUUAUAGAAUUUCCAGCUAGGCCCCCUCAUUACGGGCCAGGCUCAAUUCGGCUCACACUAACCAGCCCCAUAUUAGACUAAUUAAGAAACAUUCUAUCUCACCUUAGACCAACCCUAUUUUACAGUAACCGUAAAAAUAAUAAAUUACAAUAUCAAUUAAUGUAGUCCACAUUAGGAAAACUCUUACAUUCUCCCACUUGGACUAAAUUAAUUGAAAUCGUACCGUAUGUGCGCACAUUAGUCCAGAGAUAAUUCUUAAUAGUCAAUCAUAUCUCAUAAAAUCUUAAACACCGAAUCAUCACGGUAACUGCAUGUGUAUACACAGAGCCUUCCAUGGUCACGAGUGCUCUCAACUUUAUUGAUAUGGAUUCAAUAUGGUAAUGUGUCAAAUGGAUAACAUCUCUCAUAGAGAUAUCCCAUUUGUCAGUCACCAUUCUCUUACCUUAAGCGUCACAAAAACUUGUGCCAUUAGAGAAUGCUUUAUGGUUCCAAUGAACCCACAUAUAUCUUAUUCUUACGGUUAAUCUUUAUUUAUGUACAACAAGACAUAUGGACAAGGCUAAUAACCGAAUGCCCCUAGCCUUCACUUAAGGUUUAUAUAGUACCUUGAGACUUUAUUAAUAUGUAUUCAACAUAAUAACAACACAUUCAAAUAUAUUUAAUUGAAUAUAAGAGUUGAUACAUAUCAAACCGUUACAAAGUGUAACGAAUCACAGAUAAAACUUUUAUCAAAGUAAAGCCAAAAUAGCUUCCACUAAACAACAGCAUCUCAUAAUGCUCCUAGGCCCAUGCUAAUGACAUGUCGCUCAAAUACUCAUGGGCAUAGGCCUUUAAUUAGUGGAUUUGUAACCAUAUCAUCUGUGAAAAUAUGUUAUAUUAUAACGUCACAUUUCUGUAUCGGUUCCUUUUGGUCAAAAAUUUUGACCACCAUAUAUUUAGACCCCUUGAGACCUUUGUAGUAAAUAAAUAAUACUACAAAUUUAUUAUCUCAAUACAACCAUAUGGGUCUAUCCAUAAAGUUAAAAACAGUCGACUCCUUCAUCAGGUUCUAGAGCCUAAUACUUCAAGUAACAAGCUAAAAGAAUGUUACUAACACUGCUUACAUAGUAGAAGAUGACAUAAAACUUUAUUUACUGCGCACCUUGCUAACAUAAAUAUGCAUUAUGUUAUUGAUCACAUAUCAUCUUAAUAACCGGCAAAGUUUACAUCUGAAUAUUCUACUAGCUGCAAGAAUUGAACAUGUUUGUAAAUUAGCAUAUAAUCUCUUGUCCUCUUUAAAUAUCUUAAAAUCUUCUUGACAACAACCUAGUGAUCACAUCCUGGAUUUAAUUGAUUUUUGUCUAGAAGUUCCAUCGCAAAUAUGAUAUUUAAUCUAGUGCAAAUUUGAGCAUACAUUAUACUUUUAAAUGCAAUGACACAAGGUACACCAUUUAAUUAGAUUUUCUUAAUAUCUGAAUAAGGACAAUGUGAUAAAUUCAGUCCAUCACCCUUAACAACAUGAGCAAUUCCUGGCUUGCAAUGAUGUAUAUUGAAUAUUUCCAAAAUACGAUAAGCAAAUGUCUUUUGAGAUAAAUCUAAUAAAAUAUGGUGAAAAUAAUCCUUAUGGACCUCACAAAAAAUGCCAUGCCUUAAAAUCACUACUAGUAAGCAAAAUAUCACGUACAUAAAGUAUGAGAAAAAUAAAUUUCCUCCCACUAACUUUGCACUAUAUAUAUUAAAUUACUUUGUUCCCAAUUGAACAAAAUAAUAACACUAUGAAACUUUAAUAGUAUUGUCUAGAAACUUUCUUAAGACUAUGAAUAAGACUUAUUAGUCUACACACAAGUUUACUUGAAUCAACUGCAAAAUCCUCAAAUUGCACUAUAUAGAUUUUGUAUUUAUUUAUUUGGCGUAACUCCAUAUCAAAAUAAAUUAUUAAUGUCACGUUCACUCUGAAAUUUUUUUUAAAAGUACUAAAAAGAAAUGUUUAUUUAUUCACUAUUAACUAUCCACCCCUCUUUCAGAGUAUAACUUUUAGCUACCAACUUGGUUUUAAAUAAUACAAUCUUUUUUUUUUAAAUCAUUUUAGUUUUGUACGCCAAUUGCAACUAAUGAAAUUGUGAUCUUUAGACAAAUCAGUAAGUUUCCAAACACUAUGAUGUUUCAUAAAUUGUAUAUCGCUUUUUAUGGCAUCUAAUCACAUACUUGAUUGAGGAUAUAAAAAAAAAUAUUUAUAUAUGUUGCCAAAUUAACCAUGUAAUAGAUAUUGCAGUCAUGCUCUCAUAAAUAGACUAUAUAAUCUAAUGGAAUAACUGAUCGUCUUUCCCUAACAAAUCUCCCGAGUAAAGUUACAACCACUUUAUUCUAUACUUGAGAGGUUUGAAAAAAUUUCAUCAUAAACUAUAUCAAUAAUAGUACCUUAAACCUCAACAAGUUUAUUCUAUAGUACAGGAGAUUCCAUAAUUAUCUGUACCACAAUUAUCUAUAUAGGCAAAGACAAAGAUACGGUGCAACUGGCUUCGGGCUCCUUCCCCCUCACGAAAGGGAGAAGUUCGAAUCCCAUAAGCGUCACAUUCGCGCGACUCAAACGCGGCUGGGUCUAUGGUGGUGGCCCAAUUCACCCCGGAUUUACAUCUAGGCUGCCGGCCGAGGGUGGUUCCCAGGUCAUAAAAAAAAAAAAAAAGAUACGGUGAUUUUCCAUCGUACUAUUAUCCUUAAUAGUCUGAAAGCAACUAUCAUCUACAAUUACGUCGAACUGUAAAAACUUUACAGAAUGUGAUUCCAUAAUACUUGUACAUUAUUUAGGGUCAUAAAAUUGAUACACAUUUUUAACAAUUUAGGUAAAAUACAAAAUAAUUCCGAGUAAAUCUAAAUUCGAACGCAUUUAAUAUUGGAUUAGAUAACAUCACUUCUGUAUGACACCUCUAAAUUUAAUAUGAUUCAAGUAAUUUAUGUCAAGUCUAUAACUCAAAAGAAGUUUAUGAAAUAACUUUGAUAAGAAACAUAUUUUGUAUGUGAAAAUGUUGUUUUCAAAAUAUCAGCCCACAGAAGAUCGGAUAAAUUAAUCUUACUAAUCAUACUCAUCACUAUUUUUAUUAUGAUGCAAUAUGCCUUUCGGCCAAAUCUUUUUGUUAGGACUUUCAAGCAUAGUAAUUAAGUUACCACCCCAGAAUCUACCAAGUAUUUGAAAAAUGACCCUUUAAGCUAUUUCGCAUUGUCAUACUCGCCGAAAUACUCACGACUACUAUUAAGUCUAACAACCUCUUAAGACUAAUUGUAAUUGUUUUAUUCUUUAUCUCGGUAAUUUUACUUUCACAAUAAUUUAUAGAAGUUUUUAGAUAAUCGUUAAGAGUAGACAGAAUAUCAACAUUGUUAACUUUUCUACUCUUCCUUUAGACAUGUGUGAGAUUAUUCCAUAAAUAGAAAUUUUUUGAAAACAUCUUCAACCAUAUACGAGAUGUAUAUGCCAACUUAAACACAAUCUUUGCAGAUGUGUCCUAAUUUCGGUAUUAGAUAAAACAUAACUUCAAGCCAUUAAAGCUUUCAUCAUCUUUUAGCAGUGCAGUCAGUAGACAAGCCACUUUUCAAUUGUUCCUGAAUGAAACGCUUCAUGGACAGUAAGCAAUUUCUAUUGCUUUUUUCCUAAACAACAAAUCAUAUGUCCACUACUUAAAAUUUGAAGCAGUAAAAACCUCAAUAAUAAUGGAGUUUAUCAAUUACAAAAAAUGUGACUGAAAAAACAAGCAAUGUAUAUAAUUAGCAUCAUGUGAGCACCGUGUAAUUUGACGUACAAGUACACAUCUUGAGAGUUACACGCAUAAUCAUAUAAUCAUCUUUAGGUAGAAUACAUGAUAUGCAGUUAUACACUCCCCACACGAUAAUGGUUAUGAGAAUAUAUUCCAAUUUUCGUGAAUUCAUCACCUUUGGGCAUAUGAACCAUUAGGAUUAGUUAUUUCUCCACCACACCAUCAUGUAUCCCUCCAUGAACUAAUACACAAUCACUUCCUUUGGGAGUAUGACCACGCAUUAGACUAGGAGACAUCUUAAUCAACAUACGAGACCGAAAUUUCUCAGACCCAAUCAAGCAUGCCACUUUAAAGGUCACUGCUCAAUUGAAUCCUUGAAACUCUCUCAUACCAUAGAUAUAAACUUUACUUUUCACAUUUUACCAAAAAAAAAAAAACCACUGGCCGUGGUGGCUCCGCUGGGUAGGCUUCAGUCCUUUAAGGGAAGGUCAGGAGUUCGAACCCCUUGCAACACAAAUUGCAAGGAGGCUGGUGGGUUAUUAAGUAAUUGACGCGUGACGCUAAGGUGGUGGUUUCCCCGCUAGCGACCGGGGUGGUGGUUUCCCCACUAGCGACACCUGGGGGUUUACAUGAUGGCUAUUAGCCAAAGCGGUUCCUCCAGCACAAAAUAAAAAAUAAAAUAAAAUAAAAACUUUACUUCUCACAUACACCAUGUGAUUUUAACUUUAGUGAUAGGGGCGGUAAAUCACUAAAAUCACAUAUCAUGCUAAUUACAUUGCUUUAUUCAUUAAUAAAAAUUAAUAAUACAUAUAUAUUUAUAUAUAUAUAUAUAUAUAUAUAUAUAUAUAUAUAUAUAUAUAUAUAUAUAUAUAUAUAUAUACAUGACAGAGAAUAAAACAUCUCUUAUGCAUCUCGAUUAUAGAUUACCAAAACAACAUAAAAAAACAAUACUGAUUUAGAAGAUCUCUCACAAAUUAACAUCAAUAGUAAUACAUGAUACACCAAAUCGACAAACCUGACAGUUGAUCCAUUAUCACUCAUGAGUUUCAUAAGACAAAAAAUGACUACAUUGCCAAAAACUAAUUUAUUAGCCAAUUUUUUUAAGUAAAAAAUUAUCAUUGUAAUCAACCAAUAGCCUAUUAAUUGAGUCAAACUAAAGAACCAAAUAUCUAAACUUUAAUAGUAUAUACUAUUACUCUGUGUAAAUGUUGUCAUACUCCUUAACUAUAAAAAAAUAUUCAACUUAAUGAACAUUAAUCAGUAACCAAAUGAGUGUACAAUAUGCAAUGAUUUAACUGACAUGCAUUACCCACAUUCAGCAAAUAUGUUAAUUAGUACAAUCAAUUUGGUCACAGGUUCUUAAGACGUAUAUCAUUCAAAGGUUACCAAUAUGUAAAGGAUGCAUGAGUAACAAAAGUUUCAUAACAUUUUAUUUCUCAUCACCUCAAUACAUAAUUCAAUUACUAUCCCAUAAUGGUUGUAUCUCAUUAAGCCAGUUUCAAUUGAUAAUAAAAUUUUAUUUUUAGUAACGAAUUACACCAUUAUAAUGUUUAUGUGAUAACAUACCUGUAACCUAACACUUGUAUUUCCAAAAUCACAGAAAAUACAAGAAAAAUCCCUUAAAAAUCCAGGUUUUUAGGGUUUUAUAUUUAUUUUCCCAUUCAAAAAAACUUCAAAAAGGAAAAAAAAAUCCCCCCGGAGGUAGGGGAGGUUCAUUGGAUUCAAACCCCCCGGGCCAUUGGCCGGUCGGCCGUUCCCGGCUCCCCCACCCAAGGCCUAAGUGGGGGGGGGGGGGGGCACCCACGCUACCCCCCCCCCCCCCCCCACGCGUGGGGCGCAUCUCCGACGCCUUAGCAGUGCGUGGCCGCGCGUGUGGGCGCGUGAGGCCUCCCUCGGCGACGCGCCGCCGACCUUCUUGCUCGUAUUGUCGAGCCCAGUCCGAAUUUGUGAUUUAAUUUUAAUUUUAUUGAAUAAAAAAUUUCGAAAAUCUCCAAUUAUGGCAAAAUCUCUGUGCGUUCGAGUUCUAGGGUUAUGGAGGCUUUGAUACCACAUGUUGGACGCAAAUCGUGCAAUCCCAAGAUCUCCAUAACCAGAACAAGAACAUGCAUAAUAGAGUAAAAAGAUCAACGCACUUGUUUUGAGAUCAAUCGUACUUAAAGCUGAAGCAGAAAAUGGGUUACCCACUUAUCAGGGGAUUAUCCACGCAUCAAGUCAUUCUCCUCUAUUACCCUCCAUAUCACUGGCUCAAUGAGCCGGUUCCCUCACGUUUAGCGUUAGGUAAACGCUCCUUAGGUAAGGAUACAUAUGAGAAUUAGGGUUAGAAAAAAAAAUACUUGAAUACUAUUUAUAGAGUUUCAAGCUAGGCACCCUCAUUACGGGCUAGGCUCAACUCGGCCCACACUAGCUAGCCUCAUAUUAGACUAAUUAAGAAACGUUCUAUCUCACUUUAGACCAACCCUAUUUUACAGUAAUCGUAAGAACAGUAAAUUACAAUAUCAGUUAAUGUAAUCCACAUUAGGAAAACUCUUACAACCCGAGCCAGACUUCGACGGUGAAACAGCUUCGAAAAGACUAGACUCCAAGCCCACGGAAGGACACGGCAAUGAGACGAAGGAGGCGAGAAGUCUCCAAGUAUCCCGUCUAUCCCAAGGAGGGUCGAGCAUCAGUCAUCAAAAAAAUAACCACCAGCCGCCAGAUUAGUGAAGCGUCAGUCACAGCAUCAAUCCUUUGAUCCUUUUUUCUUUCACUUUAUCAACAAUCUUCAAUGUCCUAUCUCUGCUUUGUUGGCUGAUGCCAUUACCUCUCCUCACUGAUACUAAACCUGUUGACGUUGACAUUAGUCGCAUGCUGUUGUUAACUUCGACGAAAAUCUUGGUUUUUAUUAGAGUGCGAAGUCACCUUGUGGAAUGUUUUUUCCUGAAUGACCCAUUCGGCAGUUUGCAAAAUUUAAUUGUGAUGUUGGGAUGACGAAAAUCGCAAUUGCUUAUUUUUGUUGACCUUAUUAUGUGACUGACAGAAAUUUCUAGUCUAAACUGUGUGCAACCAAUUCUAUAGAAUAGUCCAUCGGAGAGUUUUAAUUUUCAAGUUAUGCCUUGGUGUGUGUGACAUUAACUCGAAGCGAUAUUUCUCUUAGUGUCCAAGACAAGGUCCAUUUUCUACUGGGUUUAUUGGUUUCUAAUGUGAAUUCUCCUGUAAUUUCUGUGACAUCCUGAAUUUCGACCCCGUCCCGAAUAUAUGAAAUGGUCAUUUUGCCGACGCUCCUAUGGUCCUUUUUCUCUGAGCUGAUCACUCACGAGUUAACCAAUCUAUUGGGUGAAGCCGUUAAGGGAUAUAACUGCAGUAAAAUCCCUAAAAGCUAUCCGAUAGGUCGAAUUGGACUAGAAUUGCGUUCGGUUGAUUUUAACCACAAGAUGGAAUUCGGUUUCGGAUAUCGGACAUUCGAGCAUGUCACGGUUCAUGUAUAGGACGUCGUCUUGUCUUUUGGAGAAAUUCCAUCCAGUUCGGGAUUUUUACGGAAAAUCGUUGCGGACGAUUCGAAAAAUUAACAAAAAUUCGGAUGGACCCAAUUAAAGGAAAUUAGAACUUCCAAGCCGAGCUUUUGAGUGUCAGGGACUUGUAGAAAAUUGUAGGGGAUUUUUCUCCAUCAAAUUUGGACACCAAAUUUGGGAAAUUGUCAAAGAAAUUGGAAGUUCAAAUGUGACUUUAGAACCAAGGGAGGACAGCAUUAUUUUGGCUUCAAAUUGGAUAAUUUGGUGGAUAUUAGUGCAAGAAAGUAAGUGGGAACAUUAGAUAUUUGUUUGAGGGCUUUAAGGAGACAAGGCAUUUAAUUACUUGGCUAAGAUGGUUGACUAUAUUUCCCUCUUAGCUGGCUUCCACCACACGAUUCAAGCCCCCUUCAUUCGGACUCUCUCAGCCGCACACACACCGCAGCGUCGACUCCUUCUCUUCCGUGUGCUACUUCGCUUUCAUUUUCUUCUUGUCACUUCACCGUCUGCCCAUUCGCCAUCCACCAAAGCUUUCAUUUUUCCCUGCUCCGCUCACUCGGCCUCAACCCCACGAUCUUCAGUCCAAGCUACAAGCACGUUUGCAAGAUUUCCCCCAGGCGGCAACCGAAGCUGCUCUCCCACUAUCUUUGGUCUUCUGCCGCAGUAAAUCGAGUCAACAACCCAACAAGUUCCUCCACCGAAGAUGACUUCUCACGUGCCCUUCAUCCGCCGAGGCUCCUCCAUAUGCACGUGUCCUCAACUGAUCAACGCCAGAGAAUUUAGCCGUGAGUCCAGCAGAUUCGGGGUCAGCUUCUAUAGAUUUGUUGACCGUGAGCCCCACGUUCGGCCGUCCACGACGCCACCAGCUUUCAUUCCCCUUCGCGCUUCUACUUCGGUCUCAUUUUCCUCUUUCAUGAAUGAACGCCAGCAUCAUCGCCAAAGCUGCUUCCCCUUAAACCCUCAACCCUAAACCCUCAACCCUAAUUCCUAAAUCCUAAAUCCUAAACCCUAAAAACCCUAAUUCCUAAAUCCUAAACCCUAAAUUGUACAAAAUUGUCCGAUGUUUCAAAUGAAGUUCUUUGUUUUGUCUCCUUCCUCAUCCUUUUUUAGCGCAUUUUCUUCUUUCUUCUAUUCUUCGCCCUUGUCCACUUCCAAUUCUUCUUCCUCCUCUUCUUCUUCCCCAAUCUUUCUACAGGAGUAUUUUUCGAUUCUUCUCUAAUCUCUAAGUCAUCCUCAAAUGUGCAACUUUCCUCAAAGGUAUCCAGCUUUUCGAGCACAGGUUGACAGUCAUCACAUAGCCAAAUAACAUCUUUGUUGAGAGCUUUAGGCAUGGUUCUAAGGCAAUACCUAAAAAGAAAGGGAAAAAGACAAUCGUAUUUCAAAUAGUGAGCAUCUUUUACAUGAAUUGAGCUUGCAUAUGGUUGUGUACAUGUAUCGCAUAGUUCUAUGUGAGCAUGGUUGCCUAAGACUACGUGAUGUAAUUAUAAAGGAGGAUGUGAGAGCAUUAAUGUGACUAGAUUUGGUUUUAGUAAGUAUAGGUUUCGAUUAGUUUCUAAGGGGAAAAUUGGGUUCAAUUUUAUGAUUUGAGCCUAGUUUGAAUUUUGAUUGGAACAUCCCAUUUCAAAUGGCCCAUAUUCGAAGCGGGCCCAAGGGCCCAGCUCAAGUCCUCAUUUUCCCAAUAAAAAUGUAGAAGAUAGCUUUGAAACAGGUCUUGAUUAUGUGGUUAAAUUAUUAGCAUUAUUUUUAGUUUAAUUUCAUUUAGUUAGUAUAUAUUAUUUAGACAUUUUAGCAUGUGCCCUUGACAUAGCUUAGUUUUUGGUGCGUUGAUCUUCUAGACAAGAAAUUGUAUUCAAUUUGAAUAUAGCCUUCAAGACUUAAUAACAUGUCCAUAUAUAUUUUUGUUCGGUACUUUAUUGAAUUUACUUCUGUAUGCUUUAUUUUUUAUCAUACUUGUUGUGGUUACUUACUUUUUCUUGAUUGUGCAUUUAUACAUGGACAUGGUUUAGUGGUAUGGGUUCAUAAGCUUACUUUAUAUGCAUAUGAUCUACCUUAGAUUUUGGUUCGUUGAUUUUUUAGGCAAGAAAUUGCACUCAGUUCAUCAUAUGCUACGAUGAUGAAGACAUCAGUUCCACUUGUAUUUAUUUUUUCUUUGUUGGUAAGUAGCUGUGUGGGAAGUGUUUGGCAAAAGCACAUGCCAAGGUCAACAACAAUUUGCUGAGUGGAACUACUUUAAGGGUUCAUUGCAUAUCCAAGAAUGACAAUCUUGGAAUUAAUGAUAUAAUACACAAGUGGGGAUUCUCAUUUGUACCCAAUUUCAAUGAAGGUAUGUUGUUAUUUUGUAGCUUUUCAUGACCUAAUUGAUUUGAGUAGUUGGAUAUAUAUGUGCAAGGCAGGGACUAGAGUGUAUGCGAGAGUGUAUUUGGAAGAUUUCGCCCAAAGGUCCUUGUAGGCUCAAUGAAGUGACGGGGCAGUAAAAUGUUUGUUUUUUUUUUUGGAAUCCAUUAAAGCUAGUUAAAAAGAAAUUGUAAAUGUUGGACAAUUUAUCAAAACAUAGACCUUCAUGACCUGCCAAAGCUAGUUAAGGCUCAAUCAAGGGAAGACCAAGAUAUUUCACUCGUAAGUGGCCAUUUUGGAAUCCACUCAAAGCCACCACCUCUUCCGCAUAUUGACCUUCAUGACCUGCCAAAUGCCACUCAACGUUUUUGUGGAUUAAGCCCUGAGGCCAGCAGACAUUUGCUUGAAUCUCUAGAACAAAUGCUUCUCAUUCAGUGAAUCCUUGCCGCCCUUAAAAGUGAUCACCUAAUCAUCUGCAAAAUCCAACUGAGAGGGUUUGACGUGUGAGUAAAUAGGAUGAAACUUGACUUUGCUUUAUUCAACUGCAGCAUCUGCCAUUCGAGAAAGUAUCCCCCAUGACAAUAACAAAGAGGCAUUGUCUCCAAACCCUUUUCGCCUUUAAAGAAGCCUUGAAGAUGUCCAUUUAGGGAGAUGGGGAAAUGAGGCCUGGGAAUACAAGCUUUUAUCUGUUUCCAAAUUGAUUAGGAAACUGCUAGAUUUCCCUUACUGCAAGGACAGAUUUCCAGCUGAUAGACUCAAAUGCCUUCAUGAGAUCAGCUUUGCUAAUUUCUCUUUAGGAUACAAUAUCCCUAGGCAAGUUCCUGUCAAUUCAUGAGCCGGAUUAGCAUUAUCACAAUAGCUCCUCCCUCCAACAAAGGCAGCGUGUUUACAACUUAUAAUUUGAUGAAGUAAUACAUUUGAUUUAUCAGCAGUUACUUCUUUCUUACAUUUGGCAAAAUCAUAUCAUCGAGGUCUUUUUCCAUAAUUAAUCGUAUUAUUUCUUUUUUGCUACAAAAAUAUUUUAUGAAUAUUGGAAUAACUUUGUUUCUGUAAGAUUUUCGGAUAUCAUUUUCUUAAAAUGGAAAAUAGUAACAUGCAAAAGUGGGAAAAAAUAUCAUUCUUUUAUGAUAAUAAUUAAUAACUUGCUAUUUAUGGGAAUAUCCUAUGCCAUCUUGAUAUAAACUUGGAAAUAUGAGUGUUAUGAUAUGAACGCACAAUGAUUGUCUUGUAAUAGAAUUGUACUGAAAAUCUUCAAUGACAUGAAUUAGAUGGAUUGAUUUCAAGUUAUACGAGUUGAACUCAAUAUCGCAUUGACAAUCAAUUGGUUUUGCAAAGUGAUACUACUUUGGCAAGAAUACAAUCAACUCGCAGCUAAUAUUAUCACUCUUGUUGAGAGUGUUUGUAGAAACCUACUCUCCAAUCUGAUUAUAAACUUGACGGUCCGUCUAACCUUAGACGUGCCUCCACCAAAUGGGCUUAAAGUCAAAUUCGGAUCGUCCUAGACAAUGGCAUUUAAUGAUGAAAUCCGACCCUACUCGAUUCACCCAUUGCAGGCUGUCUUUAUUGAUCGCGUUUGCUUCAUUUGCAGGGUCACUUGGUAGACCUACUAAUCCUAAUGUAUUAAGAUUAUCGAAGCAACUUAGAUUUAGGACACGCUAAAGUAGCUUUUUGGAAUAAUCUCUCAAUGCCAAUGCACGGAGUCAGCCUUUAACCUGACCAGCAAUUUGUUUCGUAACGCAAUGACAGCAAGUCAACACGUCAGGCACAGCAAAAGUUAAUCUGAACUAGAACUAUCGCGUGAUCUAACAACCAAAGCAAAACGAAUUUUUUCCAUGGAUUUUGCUGCUUCACUUAGAGUACGACAGCAGCCUCCUGAACCGACCAUUUCUUGAUAUCCUUCCCUUAAAGAUCACUCCUGCGUAUACACGCAAAUUGUGCAGCAGAAAAGAGCAAAAACAUCGACAUGAACCCAGAAGAGAACAAAUGAAAAUGACUGUUAACUAUAUUGUUACGGAAAGAGUAGAACACAAAGCAUGAAUCCCAGCAAAUGAGUUGCAUCAUAAAGGUCACAAACUGAUCGAUUCACUGUACAUUUGGAUUGUCCCGUACUCACUCCAUCGCCCACUUCUUCCUCACACACCGGCGACGGCAAUGAAAGAACAAACGAAAGGUCACAAACUGAGUCUUAAAACUCAGAAAAAAAAUUCGGCACAUUCUGGUUUUCACAAGUGUCUUUCAACCCUUCUGCAGAAUCAAUCUAUCAUAAGCAAUUGACUCGUCUACUCAGUGGAAUAAGACUUUCUACAGCAGGGACCCAAUCAAAAUACCUUGCUAGGUGAACAAAUUCGAAGUAUUCCACAAUUGGGUUCCAGGAAGCUCGUUCUUCCUUAUCCAAAUCCAUUAGUAGUUCCCCGUUCCUGGUGAACCCAUGCAGUCGGGAUACUUGUCUACCAUAUCGAAGAGUAUACUUCUUUGUCCAAGAAUUGGGGACGCCAUACUCCCCCAUAGUCCAGACCGAACAAAUCGAUUGCGGUUGAGGUUGCCCAUAUGGCUCCUCCCAACGAAGAGUGCACACAGUGAGGAACUCAUUCAAUACUGAUAAAAUGACUUCUCUAUCGACACUAACUCUGUCCUUAAGCUCUUGUGACAGAGGCAUCUCAUCAAAAACCUCAUUGGCUACAUCAAACCAGAUAAUAGAUCCAUUUUUACGAUCCAUCUGCAGAUCAUCGUCCUUGGAAACGAACCAAUGUAGGUUUCCUUUCAAGAAGACCGCAGGUCUGGAGCCAAUUAAUGAAGGAACUUCACAAUCUAAUCUUGUCCAGGCCUCUGUGUAGAGUGAAAAGAUCUCGCCCAAGCGUCGAUUAUCAUCAAUUGGAUCAUGGAGAAUCCUCACGAUCUUGUAGUCUUUUUUUGAAGCAUCAAAGGCAAAUCCCACAACAAUACGACAAGUUCCUCCCGAAGUAAAUUCACGCUCGGGACCAGAUCUUGGGAUGACCUUUCCCCUUUUUGUGAAUAAAUUCCACAUUUCGAAUGAUUUUCCAUAGCUUUCUCCUCUGGAAACUCGCGUGACGCAUAUCAAACCGUCACGUGAAUCAACGAAGCGUAAAGCCGUGGAAGUUCUACGCAACAGGUAGGUGGCACGUGAAGGGGAAAAGGACUGACCCGCAAACAGAAAGCAGGAGGUCCCCGGAGUAUCGCCCCAACUUAGAAAGGCGAGAUGCCAAUGAGCAGAAUGGCUCAGGUGGAGGGCCACGAAACUGGGGUCAUCAACGGUGUCUCGCAAUGAGUGGCAAACGGACCUGAACCGAAGGAGCGACUUCACUGGCAAACGCUUUAAGAUGUCGGACACGAUAUCGUUAGGGAGGUCCGGGAGGAUGACAGGGAGCUUCGGGUAGUCAUCAGAGGAGGAACUCCGGUCGUCUCCGGAGGAGGCGGAGGAACUCGAGUCGUUUCCAGAGGAGGCGGAGGACCUCUGGUCGUCGUCGGAGAAGAUGGAAUAAAUCAUGAUGGUCAACAAGAGCGAAGGGCGAACCGGUUGAUCUUGGAAAGAUUUCUUCUCUUGAAGAAACGGUUGAUCAAAGAUUUUUCUGUUGCCAUGCAAGUUAGGAGAAGGCGGGAAAGAGAAAAUAUAGGGUGGCCCCGGUGCGCCAAGUCAGCGUGCGCCCCGACCAAUGAAGAAGUGACCGGGUGGCUCGACGCUGACUUGGCCACCGGGACUACCCAAGAUUUUCUCGGGGUUUAGUCGUCUCCCGUUUCAAGGUGGCUUCGAGUUCGAGAGUUGAGCAAGUUCAAGGCUCGGAAGAAAAAAGGGCACGGACCAGAGAGUCGCAGAAGAAGACGAACAGAGUCGAGAAGAGACCGUUGGAGUUUCCAGCGUUAGGUUUCACCCGACGGACGACGGACGAGUUGGUGAACCAUUACCUGAUUCGCAGUGCGCUUCGCAAUCCACCGUCCCAUCAUUGNNNNNNNNNNNNNNNNNNNNNNNNNNNNNNNNNNNNNNNNNNNNNNNNNNNNNNNNNNNNNNNNNNNNNNNNNNNNNNNNNNNNNNNNNNNNNNNNNNNNGAAGCCACCUUUUAACUGUAGAGAAGGCGGGAAAGAGAAAAUACUAGGGUGGCCCCGGUGCGCCAAGUCAGCGUGCGCCCCGACCAAUGAAGAAGUGACGGGUGGCUCGACGCUGACUUGGCGCACCGGGACUACCCAAGAUUUUCUCGGGGUUUAGUCGUCUCCCGUUUCAAGGUGGCUUCGAGUUCGAGAGUUGAGCAAGUUCAAGGCUCGGAAGAAAAGGGCACGGACCAGAGAGUCGCAGAAGAAGACGAACAGAGUCGAGAAGAGACCGUUGGAGUUUCCAGCGGGUUUUAGGUUUCACCCGACGGACGACGAGUUGGUGAACCAUUACCUGAUUCGCAAGUGCGCUUCGCAAUCCAUCUCCGUCCCCAUCAUUGCCGAGAUCGAUCUCUACAAGUUCGACCCUUGGGACCUUCCUGGUACUUUGAGACCAUUCCUCUGCUUCUCCAGGCUCUGUUGCUGACCAAUUUCUGUUUCUGCUUCUGUUGGUUUUGGUGAAUUAUCCCAUUCUGGGAAAUGGGUACUUUUUUGGUGAUUUUCUUGUGAAAAAAUCCGUUCUUUAUUUGGAUUUGUUACUGGAAGGGCAUGAUUUCUGAACUCCAACUGCGCCCUCUUCAUCUUCUCUCUCUUCUCAACUCUCUCGACUCUGCGUUCUGCUGCGACUCUGCGGUCCCUGCACUUUUUGUCCUUUGCUGUCCCAUAUUUCUGAUAUUAUUAUGUAUGCCUGAUUACUUUGACAUCAUUAUUCAGUACAUGAAUAUUGCACUAUCAGUUAAUCUAUUAUAAGUUGGCUUAACCAUGUAAAUGCGAAUUUUAUACAGUCAGCAAUAAUUGUUUUGAUGCUUCCAAUACAAUAUAGUGAAAGCCUUAAACAUCUUGGAGAACAGUGUCAAAGUUCAAAUGAUAUGCACAUGGCAUAGAACUUGAAAUUGAUUACAUUAGAAUAUGUAGACCAAGUGAUGGAUGACCUAAGAGAGAAGCUCUAGUGCUUAAUGGAGAGUGAAUAUGAUGUCCCUUCUCAUAAUUGUGGUCUCCAAAGCCCGUCAUGUGCCUCCCUACUAGCAUGUCAAAUAAAAUAUAGCAUAUCAGAAAAGUUUUCCACUUAUGGAUGUUUUGCACUCCAGCUUGACACAUAUUGAAUAGCUGACUUACCAGAUAUAACCUCACCUUUUGUUGGCUGGAAAUAUUUUUAAACUUUAUGGAAGACCUAUCCAUGCCGAAAUUUAUGUAAGGAUUUCUAACUUCUGAUUAUGGAUACUGUCUCCCAUUAUAUGAUUGUUCUCACUCACUUAAUCUUGAAAAUAGUCAAGUCAAUUUAAAUCUUGAAGAAGUGUCUGCAAUACUUUGCUCAUUAUUAUUAUUGUAGUAGUUUGUUUCUCUAUCAUGACAUAGCAGGAGUUUAUCAAGAGGUAUCAGAAAUCUGCACAGUGCACAAUCGUUUUCCUUGAAAAAUAGCAUAUACUUUCUCAUUCGGUAUAUUUUCUUAUCUUUCGGAUCUUUUAGGAAGAAUAACUUAUUACACUUUAUCCUGCUUAAAGUAAUUGCAGGACAUGCUUGGGAAUUGGAGUAUAAAAGCAAAUGCUCCCGGGGACAUUCUAUUUGUGGCUAUUUCAGUUCAGCAUCCCAAGCUUGGUAACUACUUCACAGCUACCCUGCAAGCCAAAAGAGUUUCCUCAUCAACUGUGUCAAAUCAUGGAACAUUCUUCUGGUUGAUGCCCCAUAAGGUGGCAUUAUGGAUAUACUAGCAUGUGAGUGAAACUGUCUUUACAGUAUGCCUGUAUGUUUUUUUAUCGAUUUGUGCUGCGAGUCUCAUGCUUGUUGAGAUUCUUGUGUCGGUAGUGUUUGGAAGGAUGUUUCCUGGAUUGUCCCUGUUUCUGUUUGAUUUUUUGUUAUAUUUAGAAAGGUUGUUGAUCAAUCUAUGGAGUGGAUGCUCGUUGGUGCAUGAUCCUAGGGAGAUACCCAUGUCACGAUGCUUCAAUUUCAUCUUAUUGAAGCAAAUUUCGAUUGGUCGUUGCAUGAACUAGGGUUAGAGAUCUUCUGGGAAAGAACACUAGGUCAGGACAAUGUGAUGGCUUGCCUUGAAGUCCUGUGUCCGGAGGUAGCAUUAUGAUGUUUCAUAAUCUGUUGAAUGUCUUUCAAAUUCCACUUAUCAUGGGAUUAUCAGAUUUGGUUGCUCUUUUCCUCAUAAAGGUUGGAGUUGGAGUUCAUUAAUGGUUAGAUUUGUUAGGUUAGAGCUGAGAUAAGCGACUGCUUUUGCAUACUUGAUGUCAAUGAUUGUUUUACCCGAAAAAUAUUUUGACUUGAGUCGAUUUUCUCAAACAGGGGGGAAAAGUUUGAGUUGAAAUGGUCCUUCACUAUCCGUGAAGAUAUACCGUCCUUUAUGUGCCAUUCAUUAUGGUUGCUUUUGAAUAUUUGCAGGAGGGGCAUAUCGAAGUUCUAUGAUGGCAAGUCGAAAUCUUUCACAAGCUUAGCAGAUGCUUCUGCUUCUUCAUCUGUUAAAGAGAUCGUGAAACCGGAAAAUGCUUACAGCAGAAGGCGCAGAAAUAUCUUCGCAUCCAGUCACGUGUCGGACAGAAGCCGCAAUUUUUCCCUGAGAAGCAACAUGGUGGGGAUAUCUAAGAGAAGACCGCUCACCUCGAGCAACGGCGCAUUGGUCUUGAAGGUUGCUGCUAUGUGCAACUCAGAGAGUUUUAGUUCCGCGAGUGAAGACUCUAGUACGAGCUCAGCAUCACGAUCUCCUCCUCAGCUUCCGCCUCUUCAUCCACGUAGAAAGGGUUCUCAUAACCAGAUAGCUUCUCCUCAAUGGAAUUUUUCGCCUUGGCGGUCAUACUCCUUGGCUGAUCUGCAGCAGUGUUCGAGCCCAUCGAGAGAAAAUAUUGGGUGGGUUUAACCCAACACGUAGGCGGUGAGUUAAACCAUUCAGCGACCGACGCGUGGCGCCACGUAGACGAGGGCGUCAGACGUUCAAAAUUCGCGCGGGCCGCAUGUGGAGCCCACCACUCUGACGCUCCCUGCUCUGCUCUCCUCUGCGACGCCUGAGCCCCCCGUCAAAUCGUCCUCUCUCUCCUCUCUCUCUCUCUCUCUCCCUACUCCGUUCCGUUCCGUUGCGGAGGAGAACAAAAAGGUCGCACAGCUGCUUCUCUUCCCCCUCCUCUGCUCUCUCUCUCUCCAUUCUCGCCGACGAGCUCUCUCUCUCCAUUCUCGACUCCGACGCCCCCGACUCCGAGGCUCCUCAAGGCGGUUGCCUUGGACGCCGACGACACCGCCUCCGCCUCCGCCCUCUCGCGACUCCGAUGCCCCCGACUCCGACGCUCCUCAAGGCGGUUGCCUCCGACGCCUCCGACGCCGCCUCCGCCUCCGCCCCCGACGCCCUCUCGCGACUCCGACGCCCCCGACUCCGACACUCCUCAAGGCGGUUGCCUCAGACGCCGACGACGCCGCCUCCGCCUCCACCCCCGACGCCUUCUCGCGACUCCGACACUCCUCAAGGCGGUUGCCUCGGACGCUGACGACGCCGCCUCCGCCUCCGCCCCCGCCUUCGCCCCUGACGCCGACGUCAAGGCCGACGCCCUCCGCUUCCGCUUCGGCGAGGGACAUCGACGACCUGCCGAAGAACGCGGCCAACUAUCCUGUCGGUCCUUUCGGCACGAGGUUAGCCUCAUAGAGUGGAUUGCGAAUCCGAGAUCUGCAUUUUAUCUCUUCGACAUGUAUUCUUACCAUGAGAUGUGAUAGUUUGUGUCUAUAGACUGAUCUAUUUACACUUGGAGUGCAUUAUUGGUCUCAUGCUGCUUUUGAUAGUUGUAUUUUACUUAUUAUUUAAUCAUUAUUCGUUUGAUGCGCUACAGUAACGUCUCGCGUUUGAUGUUUAUAUAUGGAUCUUCGCGCUGAUGAGUUCCUUUCCAUUUUGUGAAGACAUUCAAGUCAGAAGACUGUGGUUAUAGGCACUUCUAAAUAUUUGAAUGGGAGAGUUUUUUGGUUUUUCUGAGAAUGUUAGAUUAGUUAAUCGCUAUAUGUUCAAAUGGUGCGGAUGUUUUGUCUUUUCUGUUUCUGAAUGAGCGCUUGCUGUGAACUCAUGCUGUCACUUUGCAUUCAAUUUUGUCGAUCCAGUGAAACAAAGUGAUAAAUACAAUUGACUGUUGUUUUUCCCUAUUUGGUAAGUGCUUAUCACAAAAUGAAAUCAUUGGCUCAACAGGACCAGUAAAGCUACAUUGAGCAAUAAUUUUGAUCAGAACAGUAUAGAAUUUUUGGUCAAUUAUGCAUUGUGAAAGUGCGAUUUGGAGGCUUUACGUGCAUUCUUAUGAUAUUGGUCAGUAAACAGAAAAUGCAACUCAGUGCUAGGAGUUUAUAAAGUUGUAGAGGCAUGUCGCUUGGUGGCUGAUUGUUCAUUUGCGAGUCCAAGUUUGACAACCAACGAAAGCUGUUUACCAUUGAUUAUCGAGUUAAGGUAGGAGCCUGGAUUUCCUGGAGAAAAUGGUUCCUCAAUUACUACAGACAUCAGCAUAAAUCCUCGCUAAUCAUUUGCUCCAUCAUGCAAGAACGAGGACGAAGCAGCUGCAAAAGAAAAGGAGAGAGAAUGCCACGAUGAACACCGAGUAAAGUACUAACUUCUCAAGCAAAGAAAGAAGAUGCUUCCUCUAUGUUCUUCCCAAGGUUAGUCGUUCUUCACCCCCACAAAAAAGGAAAAUUAAAGAUUUAAAUGCAUGAAGUGUUUUAUAAAUAUCAGCGGCUCUGUUUUUUAACUUCCCAUCCCUUAGACCUGAUAAUGGAAUGUUACAUAUUUUUUUCCGAUUCGGGCGUCAUCAGAAUUUUCCUUGGGUCAUUUCUGUAUGUGGUAGAAUAUCGAUUCUGUCUCGUGUACUUCUUUUCUUGCGGAGUUUCUGGUGUUUCAUCCAAGGUUGGUUGGGUCUCCUAACUUCAUCUGGAUUUGUGCAUGAUAUCGAUCUCAUUUAAUAUUUGCCUCGGAAUCAUGGGUUGACAAUUUGACAUGAUUUUAUCUUCUUCAUUAUGUUGUUGUUGUUGUUGUUUUCUCCAAUCCUGAUAAAUGAUCUGGCAUAGCUGUAGAUGAUUCUUGUUUUUAGUAUGGUCAGUUCGAUCUGGGCAGUGACUUUCUGUUGAUUCAGUUGCUAUGGAAACUGAAUGAAUGGAUUGCCCAGUUCUUCUAUCCUUUUUCCCCGAGUGUUCGUUUCAAAAUGAGGUCCCAAGGUAAUGGAUACAUAUCAUUAUAUUUGUGUUGGCCUGUAUUAGGACAUGAACAUCCACAGUUCUAUACAGCAAGAGUUUGAUUUCUGCCUUGAUUUCCCUGUUUAAUUCAAAAAUUUCUUCUCUGCUUGGAAAUUGCUGUGGCUCGAAGAAUUGUCAGUAACAAUCAACCUUUUGAUCCCAAAUCUCUCUUUACACAGUUAUGCAUCAUAUCAGAGGCUGCAAUAUGCAAUUGUAUAAUAUCUGUCUCAAGUCAUCUCUGUUCUUUUCUUAUAUUUCUGGGCUUUUUUUUUGGCAUUUGUUGUCGAUUCUAGCAAGUACUCUUUUUUAGUGCUGGAUUUUAGGGGAGAGAAGAAAAAUAACCGAAUCAUUGGCUGGAAUGUGGUCAUUUUGGCACAUUGCAAUAUUUAAAUUUGUUGUUGGGAAAUGCAUAAUGUAAUUGCAGAGCCAGAUGUCCCUGCGUAGAAGGGUUGAGGAUUCUAUUAUGCCAAGCCUACUGUUGAGUGAUUCGACCCAUGCAAGCAUAACUGCUAAUGGUGACAUGAUAUUGUCAAUGUGUUCUGUGACAUGUCAUAUCAGAUUCAUAUCCACUUUUUGAUAGAUUGUUGACAAUGGUGAUAGGCAUGAUACAGAUUGGAGUUCAAUCCUUGAUGUGAAUAAUCCUCCAACAUGAUGUCUUCUGUAAAUCAAUCCUGGCAUUUUCAUGGGUUCUUGUUUGGUUCCAGAAAAAUUUUAGCAAUAGUUUUGAGCAAAAGGAAACUGUGAGCUAGACGUUCUUUUGCCAUGGUGCGAGAGUGGAAUUGCAUCUAACAAUGAUCAUUGUCUUGAUCCUUCCUAAUCACAAGGGCACACCAUAUAUCACAGCUUAACUGUUAUCGCCCAACAGCUUGUAUGCAUUUCUAGGAAUGGCUUUGUACAUCAUGAAUCCAUAAGCUUGAUGGACUUCCGUUUUCUUGUUCUAGUUAUGGGAACAACUUGCGUUUUGUGCCAUAAAACUUCGACUCCCACUUUUUUUGCCACGAGCAUCUGUUGUCUAGUUAAGGGUUAACACCCUGAUGCCAAUGUUAUUAGAAUCUCACUUUCUCUUAUUUGACUUUCCAUCGUGCUAGGAAAGUUUCAAUGUAUAGGUUAAUCUAGCCAGUUUGUUGGGAGAAACAUGACCACUGGACUGACUCGUAAAGUUCGGCUAGUCAAGUGUCCAAAAUGUUGGCAGCUUCUUCCAGAGCCAGCGGAGGAUGGACGGAUGUGUUAAAUUCACUGGUUAUUUUUUGCUUUUCAGAUUAAUAGAAGCUAAGGAUGUUGUCUAUGAAUGUGGACAAAACUGCGGCUGUGGACCUGGUUGUGUGAAUCGGGUGUCUCAGAGAGGCAUACAAUAUCGUCUCGAGGUUGUAUUUUGAUUGAAUGAUAUAAAAUCCUCCCCAAUGACAUCUCAAGCCACUUCUUUUUCUCAGAUUGAAUUCUGCUCAUGGAUUCCAGGUGUUUCGAGCCCCACGAAAGGGUUGGGCUGUUAGAUCAUGGGACUUUAUACCUUCAGGAGCACCAGUAUGUGAAUACAUUGGUAUUCUCAAUAGGGGUGAAGACAUGGAAAAUGCCUCUGAGAAUAACUACAUUUUUUAGGGCAAUUGCUUGCAAACCAUGAGGGGUUUUGGUGGAAGGGAGGUUAGCAUCUGAUACUCUGCCUCUCAUGACGAAAUUCCACUUAUUAAAGUUAAAUGCACACAUGCAUGUAAACAAGCUACAUGCUUUCAAUCCCAUGCAAGUUUGAAGAAAAAGAUUUCUAACACGGGUAUUCGUUGAUAUAUAAGUUGCAUGGGAAUAUUUUACUAUAUGCAACAUGUGAUUAGAUGUUUUUGUAUGUAUUUUAGGAGCACCAUAUUUGAGGACAGGGUGACUUAAUUACUAGUUCCUAAAUUAAUCUGGCUAAUUAAUAUUUCCAUAAUGAAUAGGGGUAAGAUAAAGCUUUUAAAAUGGGUAUGAUGGUAAAUAUAGAGUCAAGGUCAUCGAAAUAUAUUAAGUACAUGAACUUGAUAAGGGCUUAGCAACCGUUCAAGUAUCCAUGAGCUUGAGCUUAACUCCAGAUCAAUAAUGAGCUGGUAAAAUUCUAGAAUUUGGCAAGCCCAACCCUGAGUAGUGUACAACUAGCUUGAUUUGAUUACGCCAUGAAAAAUCUUUGUUUUUGAUGGAGUUAUAGGUGUUCUUUUUCUUUUUUUAUCAAAAAGACAUUUAUUGGGAUAUGCUGUCUCUAUAUGAACUAUACUCUUGCAUAUGAGUCCAAAUAUUUGUGGGGAUUGGUAUGAACUUGUGAUGAUACAAGCUUUUCCUUUUUUUUAAUUGCUUGUGAUUGCUUGAACAAUACCUAGUCCAUUAACUGGAUAAUUACACUGUGAAUAUUGUAGUUAAAUUUUUAGAGCAAUUUUAUCAAUUAAGCAUUUCAUAGAUGGAUCUCAACUUCUCUAAAUAAGUGCUAGGCAUUUGUGUCAUGGGGAUAAAGUGAUUGGUCAUCUAAUCAAAAGUAACUUUAAAAUUUGUUGUUGCAUUGCGCUGAAGUGUUGUCCACAUCGCUUGUAUAGGGAUUUAUCAUGGCCUAUUAGCUUGAGCUUUGGGGUUAGACUUUUGACAUGGUUUUAAGAGUCAAGUUUUAAUCUGUCCUGCCAGUUUUAUGUUUAUUUCACAUGUAGAUCCCUGAUCUGCAGUUCCACGUGCAUACAUAUGGUUUCAUUCUGAUUUGCACGUGAGACGGGGUCUAAAUUUUAUUCCACCUCACUUGUUUAUGGGGUUGGGGUCUAUUGCGACCUUAUCUGCAUGAACCCUCUUUCCUUUCAGUAACUUAAGUUUUUUGACAUUGUAAUUUCUAGCCUUUUUAAAUGGGAAUGACGUAGGAUUGAGAAAUGAAUUGAGUAUUUUCAUCAUCAGCAUUAGUAUUAUGUGGUAGGUGGCAUAUCGUCUACAAUCAGCCUUUUCAGUGCUUAAAAUUGAAAGUCUUGAAAUUUUGCUACAAAUAUGGAGGUUAGUUACCAAGGUAUUUGUACAGGAGAAUAGUGCUUUGUUUUGAAUAUGUAUUUAAGAUAUCUAGAUGGUUCAAAAGUUUGCUUGGCAACUUUUUUUGUACUGCUGUCUUGAGAAUAGUUUGACUAGUCUGUUUUCAAGUUUUCCUGAAUGCUGUUCUCUUCUAUUGGCAUCUGGCCGUUUCUCAAAUUUUAACAAGAGUUAUCCAAGAUCUAUACACUGCUUUGUAGUAUUGUCUUCUUAGACUGAAAGUUGAAAAAAGGAAAAGCAUGUAACUGUGUGAAAGCUAACUCGAAGUCACUGUCAAAUGCAUUUUUCUGUCAAGAACAGCCGAAAUGUGACUUCAUGUUUCUCAUAUUUGUCAUCCAUGAUCAGAGGAGGUCACGAGAUGCAUCCUCUGGGACAGCUGAUCAGGUGGAAAAGCAUGAUGAACAGAAAUCUGAGGUCCCAGAGUUCUGCAUUGAUGCUGGUUCAGCUGGAAACAUUGCCAGGUUUAUCAAUCAUAGCUGCGAGCCCAAUCUAUUUGUCCAAUGUGUAUUAAGUUCCCACCAAGACAUUAAGCUGGCUAGGGUGGUUCUAUUUGCAGCUGAUAACAUACCACCAUUGCAGGUAAUUCAUUUUUCUCUUGUGAUGCACUCUUCGCUUGGUAGCUAUAGACUUAAUUAAAUAUAUUCAGCAGCACUGUGUCAAGUUGUAGCUCUCUCUGUCUGUACUUAUGUGUGCGCUUACGAGAUAUAGGUGCAUGCACAUAGCUGCUAGUCUGAAAGCCUUGCGUAUUCAUGAAACUGACUGCUUUUAUUUUAGUAAACUUUUGCUGAUAGAUUUGUUGAAAGUAUGGACCACUGGUUCUCGCUAAUUUUGACGAACUGACAUCUUUUAAGCGGGUUUGUUCUGAUUCUUCUCAGCAUGACUGACUCCCAGUUAUUUUGUCUGUAGGAGCUUACGUAUGACUAUGGCUAUGCGCUUGAUAGUGUUUUUGGCCCUGAUGGAAAGGUGAAAAGAAUGCCAUGCUACUGUGGUGCAGCUGAUUGUAGGAAGCGCUUGUUCUAAAACAUUAAAACAUUCCAAGUGCUUGUUCCACCUUCUGUGGUUCUUAUGCUUUUCUUGGCCAAGCAAAUUUUGUGGUAAUGUGCUAUUGCGUAAGCUUGUCUGUUCCUGUAAUCUUGUCUCUGCCGUGACAGGUUUGAUACAGUAGGUUAGAUUCUAUAGCCAGAAACGGAGAGGGAAAGCAAAUAGGUUCUGUUGUGAAAAUCAAAGAAGUGCAUGUCGUUUGUCGGCUAAGGAAGUUUUGUGUAUUUAGGAUCUGUCAUUUUCCCGUGUUACGACACUUUGGGCUUGGAUCUGUCAAACCAAAAGUUCUCCACCGGAUACUGCGGCCUGGAGGUUUCUAGGUCCUCUCACGACCACCAGUCAACUACCAAAACUGCUGGCGUGGAUGGAACACCACCGUGCAGGAACAGAAGUCAGAUUAUGACAGACUGCAGAGGCUUCUCACCUAAAUGUGCUUCAAGCUAUAUAACAAGAAGGAUGACAUUGCCAUGUGGCAGAAAACCUCAAACAGCAGUUGCUACAAUCGCCUUGCGAAACCUGAUGCCUACCCACCGAAAUGCGAUGACAGCCUUGAGCUGGACUCUGCUUGGUAUACUCCGCUCCAUCCUUGCGUGGUUGUUCCGGAUCCAAAGCUCAAAAUUAUCAGUCUCAAAUCCAUCCCCAAAUGGCCUGAGCGACUGCACGUCACACCUGAGCGCAUGUCAGAAAUACAAGGAAGAGCGCGAGUGCUUUCAAGCACGAUGAUAGUAAGUGGAAGGUGCGGGCAAAGCACUACAAGAAAGUACUACUGCACUUGGGACUGAUAAAAUAAGAAAUGUCAUGGAUAUGUACAAUGUCUAUGGAGUUUUGCGAUACUCUGAUUGAUGAUCCAUUAUGGGUAUGAACGUUGCUUGUCUAAAGGGCAUACUCUUGCAUCAAGCAUUUAUGUGUGCAUAUAUUGGUACUAAUAAUUUUUGAACUUCAAUCUAACUUCUCAUUUGNNNNNNNNNNNNNNNNNNNNNNNNNNNNNNNNNNNNNNNNNNNNNNNNNNNNNNNNNNNNNNNNNNNNNNNNNNNNNNNNNNNNNNNNNNNNNNNNNNNNNNNNNNNNNNNNNNNNNNNNNNNNNNNNNNNNNNNNNNNNNNNNNNNNNNNNNNNNNNNNNNNNNNNNNNNNNNNNNNNNNNNNNNNNNNNNNNNNNNNNNNNNNNNNNNNNNNNNNNNNNNNNNNNNNNNNNNNNNNNNNNNNNNNNNNNNNNNNNNNNNNNNNNNNNNNNNNNNNNNNNNNNNNNNNNNNNNNNNNNNNNNNNNNNNNNNNNNNNNNNNNNNNNNNNNNNNNNNNNNNNNNNNNNNNNNNNNNNNNNNNNNNNNNNNNNNNNNNNNNNNNNNNNNNNNNNNNNNNNNNNNNNNNNNNNNNNNNNNNNNNNNNNNNNNNNNNNNNNNNNNNNNNNNNNNNNNNNNNNNNNNNNNNNNNNNNNNNNNNNNNNNNNNNNNNNNNNNNNNNNNNNNNNNNNCAUUGGACAUUUGUCCAUCAUUACGACAUCAUACUAUCAAGUAAUCAAUGACUAAAUUGCGGAGAAUGAUCAAUAAAUCUGUGAUGUCCUACUCCUUUGGCACUUGAGUUCACUAUUAAAUAUAAGAAUUAGAUCCAAAUAUGAUAUGAAUGUGGAAAAAAUGUCUGCUCAUCUUUUCAUGCCCUGCACCUUCACUACUAAUUCACAUCUUGGUGCUACUCAUAAGCAUCGUUUAAGUAAACAUCGGUAUGAAAACUUUCUAAUGAAAAAUAAGUAUUGGUGGACGUUGUUAUAUGAAACUCCAUAAUCAUUGACAAAGAAUUAUUUACGAUACAUUUUAUAAAAUUAAUUUAUUAAAGUACGAAAUAUUAUCAUCAUUUGACUAAAUAAGUAAACACUUUCAACCAUCAAAUAGAUUUUUAAGUCCUCCUUGUUCUCUGCAAUCUCAUUGAACAUCUCAAUGCACUUCUUGACAAGAUUUUUCCUUAUGACCUUCACAAUCUUCUUCUGUUGCAGCAUCUCACGAGAAAUGUUGAGGGACAAGUCAUCGGAAUCAACAACUCCUUUCAUGAAUCCAAGAUACUCUGGAAUGAGCUCCUUGCAGUUGUCCAUAAUGAAAACCCUCCUAACAUAGAGCUUGAUGUUGUUCAUCUUCUUGUGAGUAUCGAAGAGGUCGAACGGAGCACGUUUUGGGACGAACAAAAUAGCCUUGAAUUCAAGCUGCCCCUCAACAGAGAAGUGCUUCACGGCAAGAUGGUCUUCCCAAUCAUUGGUCAAGCUCUUGUAGAAGGAAGCAUACUCCUCCUUGGUGAUCUCCUCUGCCUUUCACAGCCAAAUGGGUUUCAGUUUGUUGAUGAGCUGCCACUCAUGAGAAACAUCCUUAAUCUUCUUCUUCUUGGACUUCUUUUCUUCAUUCUCCUCAUUGACGUCCUCAACAUCUCCUUCCUCUUCCUUCUUGGGCUCAUCGUCCUCAUCAUCACUGAUCUCUUUCUCGGUUGUCUUCUCAGUCCAUAGAUAGAUGGGGUAGCUAAUGAACUCGGAGUGCUUCUUCACAAGGUCCUUAAUCCUUCUUUCUUCCAGGUACUCCAGCUAAGGAAAACAGAGACGUGACGCUGUUAGCAUCACGUAUCAUCCAAAACCAAUGCAAAUCUUCUCCACCAAUUCAUAAAAGCAACCGUAAAUGAACUCACCUGGUCCUCCUUAAGGAAGAGGGUGAUCUUGGUCCCUCUGCCGAGUUGCUCCCCACUCACAUCUCUCGUAACGGUGAAGGAACGACCAGCCUAGGACUCCCAGAUGUACUGCUCAUCAUCAUUGUGCUUAGUAGUCAAAAUGACUUUCUCAGCCACCAAAUAAGCAGAGUAGAAACCGACACCAAAUUGACCGAUCAUGCUCACAUCAGCUCCCGCCUGCAAUGCCUCCAUGAAUUCUUUCAUCCCUGACCUCGCAAUUGUACCUAGGUUGUUCACAAGAUCUGUCCAAUUCAUCUCAGACGUUAAUAUCUACCAACAGUCUCACAACAUAAACAGUCUCACAACAUAAAGGAACUCAGCGUAACAGUAACCGUUAUAGCAUAGGAACAUAGCCAUAGCCAAAAGACGUGAGCAAGAAAAUUGAUCAAUCUCUGUCAGCCAAUUACAUUACCUCCAAUGUACGCAUUUAUUGAAGGGUCCUGAUGCUAUUCUUCUCGAAGUCUCUACUUGAAACAUACACUAAAACAGAAUAGCCCAGAACCACACAUGAUAUAACGAUCUCCGUGUGAGAUUUACAUGGAGAUGUGUAUUUUGGGGGCCAGUGAUAGGGUGCGGUGGCUUAAGUAAGAGCAUAUGUGCAUUUACCACGGCGUGCAUGCUGUUAAGCAUUUAGCUGUCUGUCUGUUGCUUCGUCACUUGUCUGCAGCCUUUCCACAGUUUGGUAAUUUGAUCUGACGCUCUUAUGAAAAAGAGGAAGUAUUUUCAUUUCCAAAAGGGCUAACAGAUAACAUAGCACAUGGGAACAACUUCUUUUGGAGGUGCUUUCCCCUUUUCUCUUUGCUUUUUCAGGAUGUAUAAUUAAAAAUGAACAGAAGUUACAGGAGGCUCUAACUUAACGUACCUCGAGCAGAGUGAUGUAAUAGAAAUCUUCCAUAUGUUGCAUCAGCGCACUUCCAUCUCUAAUUGCACGAUAUAUGUUUAUUUCAGUUUCCAAUAUCUUUUGUAUGAGUUCCUUUUCACCUUUCAUCUGCAAAAGAAGUUUGAGACCUGUCACGUUGCACUUGUGCACCAGCAAUGGGUUUAACUCACCAAUUCAUUUACAGUUACUAUCUCAACAUACAGUAGAGUAAAUAGACACGAGCUGUUCUGUCCAAGGUAGUUAAUGCAGACAUCUAAUCNNNNNNNNNNNNNNNNNNNNNNNNNNNNNNNNNNNNNNNNNNNNNNNNNNNNNNNNNNNNNNNNNNNNNNNNNNNNNNNNNNNNNNNNNNNNNNNNNNNNNNNNNNNNNNNNNNNNNNNNNNNNNNNNNNNNNNNNNNNNNNNNNNNNNNNNNNNNNNNNNNNNNNNNNNNNNNNNNNNNNNNNNNNNNNNNNNNNNNNNNNNNNNNNNNNNNNNNNNNNNNNNNNNNNNNNNNNNNNNNNNNNNNNNNNNNNNNNNNNNNNNNNNNNNNNNNNNNNNNNNNNNNNNNNNNNNNNNNNNNNNNNNNNNNNNNNNNNNNNNNNNNNNNNNNNNNNNNNNNNNNNNNNNNNNNNNNNNNNNNNNNNNNNNNNNNNNNNNNNNNNNNNNNNNNNNNNNNNNNNNNNNNNNNNNNNNNNNNNNNNNNNNNNNNNNNNNNNNNNNNNNNNNNNNNNNNNNNNNNNNNNNNNNNNNNNNNNNNNNNNNNNNNNNNNNNNNNNNNNNNNNNNNNNNNNNNNNNNNNNNNNNNNNNNNNNNNNNNNNNNNNNNNNNNNNNNNNNNNNNNNNNNNNNNNNNNNNNNNNNNNNNNNNNNNNNNNNNNNNNNNNNNNNNNNNNNNNNNNNNNNNNNNNNNNNNNNNNNNNNNNNNNNNNNNNNNNNNNNNNNNNNNNNNNNNNNNNNNNNNNNNNNNNNNNNNNNNNNNNNNNNNNNNNNNNNNNNNNNNNNNNNNNNNNNNNNNNNNNNNNNNNNNNNNNNNNNNNNNNNNNNNNNNNNNNNNNNNNNNNNNNNNNNNNNNNNNNNNNNNNNNNNNNNNNNNNNNNNNNNNNNNNNNNNNNNNNNNNNNNNNNNNNNNNNNNNNNNNNNNNNNNNNNNNNNNNNNNNNNNNNNNNNNNNNNNNNNNNNNNNNNNNNNNNNNNNNNNNNNNNNNNNNNNNNNNNNNNNNNNNNNNNNNNNNNNNNNNNNNNNNNNNNNNNNNNNNNNNNNNNNNNNNNNNNNNNNNNNNNNNNNNNNNNNNNNNNNNNNNNNNNNNNNNNNNNNNNNNNNNNNNNNNNNNNNNNNNNNNNNNNNNNNNNNNNNNNNNNNNNNNNNNNNNNNNNNNNNNNNNNNNNNNNNNNNNNNNNNNNNNNNNNNNNNNNNNNNNNNNNNNNNNNNNNNNNNNNNNNNNNNNNNNNNNNNNNNNNNNNNNNNNNNNNNNNNNNNNNNNNNNNNNNNNNNNNNNNNNNNNNNNNNNNNNNNNNNNNNNNNNNNNNNNNNNNNNNNNNNNNNNNNNNNNNNNNNNNNNNNNNNNNNNNNNNNNNNNNNNNNNNNNNNNNNNNNNNNNNNNNNNNNNNNNNNNNNNNNNNNNNNNNNNNNNNNNNNNNNNNNNNNNNNNNNNNNNNNNNNNNNNNNNNNNNNNNNNNNNNNNNNNNNNNNNNNNNNNNNNNNNNNNNNNNNNNNNNNNNNNNNNNNNNNNNNNNNNNNNNNNNNNNNNNNNNNNNNNNNNNNNNNNNNNNNNNNNNNNNNNNNNNNNNNNNNNNNNNNNNNNNNNNNNNNNNNNNNNNNNNNNNNNNNNNNNNNNNNNNNNNNNNNNNNNNNNNNNNNNNNNNNNNNNNNNNNNNNNNNNNNNNNNNNNNNNNNNNNNNNNNNNNNNNNNNNNNNNNNNNNNNNNNNNNNNNNNNNNNNNNNNNNNNNNNNNNNNNNNNNNNNNNNNNNNNNNNNNNNNNNNNNNNNNNNNNNNNNNNNNNNNNNNNNNNNNNNNNNNNNNNNNNNNNNNNNNNNNNNNNNNNNNNNNNNNNNNNNNNNNNNNNNNNNNNNNNNNNNNNNNNNNNNNNNNNNNNNNNNNNNNNNNNNNNNNNNNNNNNNNNNNNNNNNNNNNNNNNNNNNNNNNNNNNNNNNNNNNNNNNNNNNNNNNNNNNNNNNNNNNNNNNNNNNNNNNNNNNNNNNNNNNNNNNNNNNNNNNNNNNNNNNNNNNNNNNNNNNNNNNNNNNNNNNNNNNNNNNNNNNNNNNNNNNNNNNNNNNNNNNNNNNNNNNNNNNNNNNNNNNNNNNNNNNNNNNNNNNNNNNNNNNNNNNNNNNNNNNNNNNNNNNNNNNNNNNNNNNNNNNNNNNNNNNNNNNNNNNNNNNNNNNNNNNNNNNNNNNNNNNNNNNNNNNNNNNNNNNNNNNNNNNNNNNNNNNNNNNNNNNNNNNNNNNNNNNNNNNNNNNNNNNNNNNNNNNNNNNNNNNNNNNNNNNNNNNNNNNNNNNNNNNNNNNNNNNNNNNNNNNNNNNNNNNNNNNNNNNNNNNNNNNNNNNNNNNNNNNNNNNNNNNNNNNNNNNNNNNNNNNNNNNNNNNNNNNNNNNNNNNNNNNNNNNNNNNNNNNNNNNNNNNNNNNNNNNNNNNNNNNNNNNNNNNNNNNNNNNNNNNNNNNNNNNNNNNNNNNNNNNNNNNNNNNNNNNNNNNNNNNNNNNNNNNNNNNNNNNNNNNNNNNNNNNNNNNNNNNNNNNNNNNNNNNNNNNNNNNNNNNNNNNNNNNNNNNNNNNNNNNNNNNNNNNNNNNNNNNNNNNNNNNNNNNNNNNNNNNNNNNNNNNNNNNNNNNNNNNNNNNNNNNNNNNNNNNNNNNNNNNNNNNNNNNNNNNNNNNNNNNNNNNNNNNNNNNNNNNNNNNNNNNNNNNNNNNNNNNNNNNNNNNNNNNNNNNNNNNNNNNNNNNNNNNNNNNNNNNNNNNNNNNNNNNNNNNNNNNNNNNNNNNNNNNNNNNNNNNNNNNNNNNNNNNNNNNNNNNNNNNNNNNNNNNNNNNNNNNNNNNNNNNNNNNNNNNNNNNNNNNNNNNNNNNNNNNNNNNNNNNNNNNNNNNNNNNNNNNNNNNNNNNNNNNNNNNNNNNNNNNNNNNNNNNNNNNNNNNNNNNNNNNNNNNNNNNNNNNNNNNNNNNNNNNNNNNNNNNNNNNNNNNNNNNNNNNNNNNNNNNNNNNNNNNNNNNNNNNNNNNNNNNNNNNNNNNNNNNNNNNNNNNNNNNNNNNNNNNNNNNNNNNNNNNNNNNNNNNNNNNNNNNNNNNNNNNNNNNNNNNNNNNNNNNNNNNNNNNNNNNNNNNNNNNNNNNNNNNNNNNNNNNNNNNNNNNNNNNNNNNNNNNNNNNNNNNNNNNNNNNNNNNNNNNNNNNNNNNNNNNNNNNNNNNNNNNNNNNNNNNNNNNNNNNNNNNNNNNNNNNNNNNNNNNNNNNNNNNNNNNNNNNNNNNNNNNNNNNNNNNNNNNNNNCAAGGUUAGAAUUCUUCAUAAAAUGGAAUUCAGAUACUCCAUCACCAAUUUGCCUGGUUCAGAUAGGAUCUCUAAUAUCCUACCAAAGUCCAAUAGUGGAAAUAUUUGUUCUCCUCCCAGCAUUAUAUCUGAUUUCUGAAAGAUUGUUAUUAAACUUGUUUAUUAGUAGUUCUUAUUCACACUUCAUACAUGUGAGACAAUAUACAAGCACUGCGUGUUUGUGUCAUAUGCAUCUCAGUAGAUACUCGACUUUGACAUACAAGAUCAAAUGGACAAACAACCCCCAUGAUUGAUUCAAUGUCUUUGAAACAGAUAAGAGGUUUACUUUGUAUUUCAAUGUCGUCUUUUCCACCAAUAUAAUAAAGCAAGUUUAGCCUAUUAGAAAGGGCUGAGCUGGAGUGUGUGCAGACUUAGAUGUCCAGGGUUCAUAGCGUAUUGGUGUAAACUGGUUCUUCAAGCAUCUAAGAUUUACCCAGCGACUGAUUCAUAAUAACAAAAGAGAAACAAUGUUACAACAUCUUGGAGAAAGCUCUUAUACAGUAAUUGCCAGGUACUCAAAUAAGCAAACGUUAAUAAAAAGCUCUUGCUAAUGCUCAAUGAUUCACAGAUAGAUGCUGGAAGCUAUAGGCCUAAACGAAAACUCUACCUUCUAAUUGGAACUUCUCUUGAACAAUUACAAAUCAUAUAUAGAUGUUUAUUUCAAGAAGUCAAGAGUCUUCAAACAGAAAUCCUAAUCGUCCUUUUAAGAGAGCUUCCAACUAUGUGAUUGAUAUAAAAAUGUUUCCACACUUACCUCUAACUGUAUCUUCCCUCCACCACCCAUUCCUUCUAAUUCCACAACCAUUUCAUGUGAAUCUCCUGGAAACAGACAUGCUCAUCAAGAAAAAGUACAAUUUCCAUAUGAUAGUCAUUUCAUCCAUUGCCAAGGUCAUAGAGUAUCAAAUAAUGUUUCACAGGAGAAAAACUGAUCUGGUAUAUUGCUCAUUUAUUUGACUUCUGAACCACCCAACUAAACCACCACCAGCAUUGCACAAUAAAGUUCAAAAUACAAAUCGACAACAAAUUCAAUGAUUCUCACCAUCACACAGAAGCUCCAAACAGAUUCCUGCAUUGCCCAUUCGCUUGUGUGGAGUUACCAAGUUUGCAUCCCAAGCUGCCACCUAGCAUCCACACCACAGUGAACAACAAAAAGAUCAACAAUUAUUCAGCUUCAGUUCAUGCAUUUAAGGAUAGCUGUAUCCAUUUGCUGAGCGCCAAAAUCAGCAAGGACUUGUACCAAAAAAAAACAAAAUGGUGGAGUUGCUUGCUUCGUGUUAUGUUAAUGCAAGAUAUAUGGCACAAUCAACUUGGGAUUGUAUCAAAUAAGGCAACAAAUGAGCAAAUCUCCUUAGCAUGUAAAAGAGGAGUCCAAAAAUUGAUGCAGCAGUUGGCCCCCUCAAAAUGGCGUUCAUUCAUUUAUUACAAAAGUAGCAUCACAUAUUUUUAGGAUAAGUCCUUCCUAAACAUGCCAGCAAUUCAGUCUCCAGUUAGUCCACAGAUGCAAAGUGGAAAGGAAGUAAUGGAUAUCACUCUGGUAGAGGCUUCACCUGGAGGUUUUUAGUCGAAGGGAGCUUAAUGUUAAAAGUGAAUUCCUCAUUCCAUGUUGGCUCUUUCUUCCUGUCAGCAAAUUUGAUUGAGAAAUAAAGUUGCAAUUGUUGGAACCAAAAGGAUUUGGAGGGAGAGAGUAUAAACACACAAAGAGAGAUUAUAUUACAUAAUAUGCCUUGUAAAGGCUUAAUGGAGUAAACACACAAGACACACACAAGCUUUGCUAAGCUUAAAACUCUCUCUAAAUCUCACUCUCACACUGUCUCUCUCCCUACUAAAAAUAAACUAACGUAACCCUAUAUUUAUAAGCAUCUUCACCGCCUGGACUCCACCGCCAUUAUCUUCAACGUGCAAGAGUUGAAGUUGAACCUUUCUUCUUAGCAGUCAAAAAUUGUGGGCUGCGUUUCCUUCACGUGCAAGUACUAGCAAAGUUAAACUUUGCUUUUUACUCCUUGAAGACUCCAGUAACAAUUAUACUAUUAUUUUAAUAUGUGCCCAUUCAUUCCUUCAGGGGAACACUUGCUGCCCACGUCCAGACUUCAUGCAUAAUGGGACUUCUUGUUUUUAUAUUAGGUGUUGACUCCAACAGCAAUAAGUCUGUAAAUCCAGAGUAAACUUAAUUUUUCGUCCAUAUGCAUCAUAUGCUCUCAUCUCCUGUAUUCAGUAUACAGCAGAUAACCUAAAUUGCAAUUAGCCAAUGUAAAAAGAGCUAAAGAUUAUUGCUUCAGAAGCUUCAGCAAAAUUGUUUUGCAGAAACUGAUGGGGAAUGCUAAUAAUAUGUCUUAUCAUUUAGGUCAUCGUGCGAGAAGCACAAAAAAUAAUUAGUAGCUGAUAUAUAUUGUAUUUCUCGUUUUAAAAAGUGAAAGCACCCUUUAACAUUUUAAGGGAAGGAAUUCCAUAGCCUGCACCAACUUAAUAUAACCGCUCCUUGAGUACGGCUUUGUCAACUUGGGAAAUUACAUGGGCCGUGUGGGGUAUUUUAGAGAGGAACUGCUAGCUACGUUUAGUAAAGAAGUGUGGAAAUAAGUACUUGUGGUCUAUGCGGCUGCUAGAACUGCAUAAACUCCCGGAAUUUCCGUGGCAAUGAAAGUGCUGUUUACAAAAUUUUUAGUUUUUCCCUUGUAUACACAAGUUUCCAUGUAUGCCAAAAUACUCUAUAAGGUGGUAGGAUAAAGUAAAGGAAGUACCUUGACAAUAAGUAGACACCCCAUUGGACCAAUUACAGCUCGGAUGCCCUGAAAUAUAUACAAUAGAGCAAAAUGAAUCUCAUAGACAAGGAGACAAAACAUAAAGCAAGAGAUCCAUGACAUUUUACUUGUUUAGUCAUAUAAUCAUGAGAAAACAUACAGCUAGAACAGCAUCAACUGGUGGAGAAGCAAAAACAUCACCACAUAUUGCAGCUGCUAGCAUCCCUUAACCCACGAAUCCAGAAUGAGCUGGCUCAUGGCCGCUACCGCCACCUGACAAAGAAAUAGCAUUGAUCAUUGAACUGGAGAUUCUUAUGCAUAAAUCAUGGCCCGCUGUUGAAGUCCAUCACUUUCCUUCUAAAUGAUUGAACUGUAAAUGAAUUAAUUGGGUAGAUGAAGUAGAAGCUGUGGGGAAUGAGGAGUUGCGAACAGAUCAACGGUUUCUAAAUGAGAGGUAAAAAAUGUGUUUCUGAAUAUAGAAACAUUGGCAGGAACUGAAAGAUAACAACCAUAUCACGCUGAUGCCAUGGACAUCACCGACAAAAUAAGAAUUCAAGAAAUUCAAUGCGCACAAUUAGAUUCUAAAACAUUAACAUAGAAAUGCAGGGAAGACAACAUUAACCUGAUAUAACGACGACCUUGUCAUAUGUAGCAGGCGAAAUAUCAGCCCGCAACACGACCUUCACCUGCAUUUCCACCAAUAGGAUUGGAAUGGUCGUGUAAGUUACCGAAUAAACUGUAAGACUAAUGAAAGAAGCAUAAAAAAAAAAAAAUUACGAAAGGGCGUCGGGGGCGGAGGUGGCGUCGUCGGCGUCGGAGUCGGGGGCAACAGAGGCAACGGCUUGAGGGGCGUCGAAGUCGGGGACGACGGAGGCAACCGGCUUGAGGGGCGUUGGAGUCGGGGACGACGGAGGCAACCGGCGGACCCGCAACACGACCUUGAGGGGCGGAGGCGGAGGCGGCGUCGGAGGCGUCGGAGGCAACCGGCUUGAGGGGCAUCGGAGUCGCGAGAGGGCGUCGGGGGCGGAGGCGGAAGCGGAGGCGGCGUCAUCGGCGGGGCGUCGGAGUCGAGAAUGGAGAGAGAGAGCAGAGGAGGGGGAAGAGAAGCACCUGUGCGACCUUUUUGUUCUCCUCCGCAAUGGAACGGAACGGAGUAGGGAGAGAGAGAGAGAGAGGAGAGAGAGGACGAUUCGACGGGGGCUCAGGCAUCGCAGAGGAGAGCAGAGCAGGGAGCAUCAGAGUGGUGGGCUCCACACGCGGCCCGCGCGAAUUUUGAACGCCUGACGCCCUCACCUACGUGGCGCCACGUGUCGAUCGCUGAAUGGUUUAACCCAUCGCCUACGUGUUGGGUUAAACCCACCCACAUGGAGCCCGGUCCUUUCUGACUCAAUGUCUGAAAAUGGGAGGGGAAGAGACGCACGCUUGCGUGCAAAUGGGAGAAUGGUGCAGAGUUGCGGGCCCCAGCUCCACGUGUCGACAUGUGUCGAGUCCUGAUUAGGCGGGCACACGGUGACUUGGAGGCCCACCCAAUAUUUUCCACAGAGACACGAGAAGACAGGGGGGGUUUUAUAUAUAGAAAUUCAGACACGUGGGAAGGAGGGAUCCCACACAGCGACCGGUCGACUGUUCAAUCAGGCCGACACGUGCGAGAGGACUCGGGUUAUGUCAUGGCAUCCAUCAGCUGAUCUGUCUGGACUCGGCGAAUGGUUUGAGGGGAGGGGCAGUAGCGGUAAUUUAAAUGGUCUCUUGUGACUCCUUGAAAGUUUCUCUCCCUGCCCUUUUGGCCCUUCGUGGAGUCAAACCCUUUUGGCAAAAGAUAUCGUGCCAUGUUACCCCCCGCAAUGAAAUCCAAGACAGAUAUGUUAUCCAAUAAGGGUAAUUCUAGCGUGACGGUCUCACCGUCUCACGGUCAAAGAAUUACCGUAUUGGAUGGAGAAAUAUCUGAUAAUAAGUUCUAAUUUUGACAUUUCAAGUUAUUGUGUUUUAAUUUAUAAACCAAAUCAAUUUACAUUUUAAACCUCUCAAGAUUUAAAAAUUCUCUUAUUCACGAGUCCAUGAACGACAAGUGUGGAAUGUGUCAAGGAAAUUUACUCAUCUUGUUGGACAUAUUGUAUUCUCAUAUCAUGUUGAUACUAGUAUACCUGGUCGCAAAAUUUGAAAUGAAAUUACAUUUACGUAGCAGAGUAUGAGAAUGUUUCUGUUUCUCAUUAUUUUUGUUCUUUUGUUCCCCGAAACAAAAAAAAAAAAAGAACAGAAAGCUAUUUGGUAAUGCUAAGUUGUUUUUUAUUCCCCCGAAUAGAAAGUUAGCCUGGGAAUAGAUUUGGAAUAGAAACGAUAAGUAAAAAAAAGUUCCUUCUUGUUCCCAGGAACAAUUUUUAAAAAUAAGCUAAUUUUCUUUUCUUUUUUUUCUUUUUUUUUUUUCUUUCUUGCCGCGGCUACCGUCAAUCACCCAGAGCCACCGCCCACCGCCGGCCACUACCGCCACCGUUGCCGGUCGCCUGCCACUGUCGCCGUCACCGCCGCCGUUCGUUGGUCCCCAGCAGCUGCCGGUCGCCAGUCGUCGGUCGCCGGCCGCCGCUGCCACCAGUCGCCGGCCGCCACCAUUGCCGCCAAACGCCAUCACCACCAUCGAAUGCUGCCGUCGCCGCAAGUCCAUCGGUCGCCGACGACCACCGGAGGCCGAUGGGCUUGCAGCGAUGGUCGGCGGUGACGGUCAGCGGCCGGCGAUCGUGCAGCGGCGGCGACGAUUCAUGAGUAAGAAUAAAAAAAGAAUAAAUACAAAAAAGAAAUUGUUGCGUUACCAAACGUAUUUAUAUUCUUUUUUUAUUCCAAAAGUAGAAAUUUUGUGUAGUUACCAAACGGGUUCUUUUACUCAGAAAUUGUUCAUCGGAACAAAAAUAGAAAAGAACUAUUUCUGAAGAAGAAAAAAAAAAUUCUUCCCCGGAACAAAAGCGUUAUCAUGCGCAGCCUUACUAUCAUGGAUCGAUUGUUGUGAUGAUUAAAAUAUAUUAGUUUUUAGCCAAUGAUCUCGUUCAAAUUGGCCAUAUGAGCAUAGGUUAAAAGAUCAUCAAAACACAAAUGGCUCUAUGACCUACCCACUAGACAGCAAAGAAGUCGAAAGAUGUGGAUAUUCUAGUUUUCUCCGGCGAAUUUAAUGGGGAUGGUUUGAUAACUUUCGGCGGCUUUACUACGAAGGUCAAACGACGCUGGAAGGUGGUGAGACUCGGACUAUAAUUGACCACGGUUGCACAUGAAAAUAUCUAAUAUAUUAAGGAUUUUUGGUGAUGACCAAAAAAAAAAAAAAAAGAGCAUUUUUGGGGUUAUGCAAGUAUCAAAUCACUCGUUCUAAAAAACCAAUCAAAUCUCAAAAGUCAACAAGGACGGGUCAUAGUAGUUGUUGAAGUUGUCGAGCCCCACGAUGCCGUCGCCGCGCUUCUUGAGGGCGAGGGAGACGUGGGUGCCCACGAAUCCGGCGUUGCCGGUCACGAGGACGUAGAGCCCGUCGGGGCGGUGCACCUGGGCGGAGUCGCGGACGCGCUUCUCCCACUGGAUGCCGCCCCACGAGGCGGUGAAGUAGCAGUUGCCGGAGUCGAUGAAGCUCUGGAAGCUCAGGUACGAGGCGGUGAGGGCGACGAGGAAGAGGGCCCACAGGAAGAGGGUGCUGGUGGAGGCGAAGCAGUGGUGGAACUGGCAGUCACCGGAUUGCCCAUAAGUGGGGACUGUGUUUUUUUAUUUAACGAUCGGCGAGCGGCUGUGCGCGUUGGCGAUACCUUUCCUCGGCUUACUCGAGGCCGUGUUCGUGAACAUCUCGCUCUGCUUCGACUCCGACCGUCCUCAGAGGCACUCCUACAGCCUCGACGAACUCUCCCGCAUCGCAAAGAACACGCCAUGUCUCUCUCUCUCUCUCUCUCUCCAUCCGUUCCUGUACUGUCGUUGUAUGACGGAUUAGCCGGAAUGAUUUACGUGUCGUCGUCGCCGUCACACCUUCAACAAUAAAGGUAUGUGUUUAUAUUUGACCUAAUAUCCUAAAAAACCUCCAACCUUGAUUUUUAUCCUAACUUUACAUUUUCUCUUAUAAUUGGGACUAGAAUUAGAGUUGGGGUUUUUUUAUGAAAAAAAGAAAAGAAAAGAAAAGAGGGGCCGCUACUUUAUAUUGCUUUUGCCUUAUAAAUAAGAGGGGCCGGCCCAACAGGCUCUGAAGGAGCAGCGGCUAGCAAAAAGAUAAGCCUCAGCCUCACCCUGUCUAUCUUAUCUCUUAUUCUAUUGGAUCCUGCAAGCUGAGGCAGAGCAAUGCUGCAUUCAGUUCCGGCGCAUAAAUCUGUGAUUUCAGGGUUCGGUCGGUCGAAUGGGCAAAUCUCCCUUCUUGAAUCAUGGUCGACUAAAUUUCAGACCCGUUUCCCAAUCAGGUGCUGCAUUACUUCCUCCGUUUGGAGCGGGAGGGGUGGAUUCAAGAGGCACGUGGUCGUCCAAGGAGCCCAUCCAAAUUCGGACCAGGAAGAGGAAGACCAAGAAGAGUUUCGAGUAAUGACAGCAACGAGGAGCCAGUACAACGACAUUGUCAUAGUGGACACUGCAAGAUCCCGGUUCCUGUUGUUGGACUCCACCCACAACGUUCACAGCAUGGUGAACAAAGGAGAAGACAAAUGGAGUGGUUCCUACUGGGACGAGUUUGCCAGCCUGCCAGCCAUAGUCCCCGAAGGCCCCAUCGCCAUCUUUGGAUUAGGGGGCGGGACUGCUGCUCAUCUGAUGCUGCAACUGUGGCCUUGGUUGCAGAUUGAAGGGUGGGAGAUUGACAAGGUUCUGAUUGACAAGGCCCGAGAGUAUAUGGGGCUCUCUGAUUUGGAAAAGCCUACUCGAGCAGGUGGGAUGCUCAGUGUUCACAUUGGCGAUGUCCUUUCUCCUGUGGUAAAGGAUGAUGGAGGAUAUUACUCAGGGAUAGCAGUCGACUUGUUCACGGGAGGCAGGGUGUUGCCGCAGUUGCAGGAGGUCGAGACUUGGGUGGAGUUCAAGGAGAGGUUGAUGCCCAGUGGCCGCAUCAUGGUGAACUGUGGGGGAAUUGAUGACACCGAUCCCACAGGAAUCACUAGAAAGUGGGAGCUGAAUUCCACAAUCAAGGCAAUGUUGAGUGCAUUCCCAGGAGAGUUGAGCUGGAGAAGAACUGCACAGGCAGAAGGCGAAAACUAUCUAGCCCUCACCGGACCUUCGCCUGAUCUUGAUUUGUGGUCUUCCAGAGUCCCCGGUCGUUUGAGCAAGAAUGUCAGAGAAUGGAGGCCUUGCAUUUGACUUAUCUUGCCCGAACAAAAUUGACCUGUAAAUAGCCCUCAUUUCAUGAUAUGUUUGAGACGUGCAGGAACCGUGUUCUAUCCAUAUUACUAAAGAGAUCAUUUGCAUCUGCAUCUCCUCUCUUCAUUCAACUUCAUCUUUGUUCGAAUGUACCAUCCAUCAGCCAGGUAAUGGUACUGGAUGCCUCCUCCACUUCUCAUGCUAGAUUCUACAGGGGUACGAUUAGACUUCACAGCGGUCCACAGCAAUGUUUCGUUCUGAAUGGUCUUCCCGCAAACUUAUCCCCACUAUCUGCGGAUGUGUAUUCCAAUUUUUGACAGCAAAUCAUUUAGUUCUGCUAUAUAAGCAAUGCUUAUCAAACCUAUACGAGUCAAGACUUUGUCCUUACAAUAUCCACAAAAGGAAAUGAGGAAGGGCAUAUUUCUGGUAUAAAAGAACAAGAAAGGGGACCUUCUGGACGUGAUUCCAAAAGGGAACCGACUUGAUGACGAACGCCUUGAACGUGAGAAUCCAAUGGGUGAGUACGUGAAAGUUUUAUAGAACCCAUCACGCAUUAAUGAAUGGAAACUCGGGAUAAUUUCAGGAAUCAUGUUUGAGACCUCCUAUUUUAAUACCCAUUAGACUACACUUUGUUCUCAACAUGAGAUUUUUUGCAUCGUAGUUAUGUCAGGGUUCGCACCUGCGCUGUGUGCAUAAUCCACUUAUUCGGAUCUACAGGUGAUUAGUUGGGGCUAUGGAAGUACCCUCUGAAGUCCUUCGGAUCUAACGCCACUACUCGCUAAGCAUUAAUUCAAUGGAGAUUUUGCCAAAAAGGUCUUAAGAAAAUCAAGCAAUUAUACGAAGAAAAGAGGAAGAGAAUUUGGAAGCAACAUGUGUAUCCCAGUCAAUCAAACAAUCAUCAAGAGCCUGCCUUUCACCUUAAGAACAAUUUUAACCCACUUUUCAAAAGUCUAAAAAAAGCACAGCGUUCUACCCCGCACGAUAAUUUUGGCAUCUGUCAAACUCCGUCGAGAAUCACUGUUUUUCAAAUCUUAAUGGCUUAAAUCGUGGAAAUUUGCUACUAGCAUCAAUUUCGCUUUGUUGCACGUUCGAUAAGAAAACACUUUAGAUGAAUAAUUAAACGUUGUUGGAUUUUGGGUUUUAUUUCCAGUUAAAACAAGCUCUAUCUCCUCCCUCCCCACCUCAAUUUCAGCUGAACCAUCACCGGCAUGACACUGACCAUCAUCGCUUCCGGACACGUUCACUUGCCAUCGUCGCUAGCCGGGACAGCAUUCGCCAUGCCCAGUCGCAACAAUAAGGCCGCUGAUGGAGCCACCAACGAUCGCUGUCAUGGCCAUAUCACCACAACCACUCACAUCUUUCUCCCGCAUAUCUGUCUAUAGAAGAAAUUUUGUGCCUUAAUUCAUGUUCCAUAAGAAAAUUGUCCGAAAUAUCUAAUGUUUAUUGUACUUUAACCAAUUUACUUUUAAAUAUUUUAAAAAUUUUCUAUUGAGUCGUAAAUACUUUCACAUUUUGUUAAUUGAGUUCAUUCGGACAAUUUUAGAUGGGAAUUGCUAAUAUAGAUGCCAAUCAUUCUACGUGACACGACCUAUUGAGGUCAAAAAUAUGUAAUGACUCCUAUUAUACUUUCUUGUGAUAGUUGCUCAGUCCCAGGUUGUGGUGUUUCCUAACUACUUAUUGAUUUAAGGUUUUGUUCAUCCUACCGACAUUUCGUGUGAUGGACGUUGAGAAACAAGGUGCAAUUCGCACCAAUACUGAACUUUGACAUAACGAACAUGGUCCCCUCCUAUGGUUAAGGAUGAUCACACUAAAUUAAAUACAUCAUAUGAAACAAUGGUAACAAUUAAGAAGAGUUUUACUUUUCAACACAAAUGUAAGAUAUGGGUCCAACCCAACAGGCCUUAUCCGAUUGUAUUCCCCAUGAAUUUUAAUUCACCAAGGUCACCAUGAGAAGAUUUUUUAAUUUAUAAGAUCAAAAGUAUAAGGAAUUUGUAAUAGAUAAUUUGUUGUAUGGGCAAUGUUAAGGAAGACAAUGCUUUUUAUUUUGGAUGGAAUUUCUCAAGGAUUACGACUGUGAUAUUUUUGACCACCCUAGGAAAACCAACAAGGUGGCUGAUGCUCUUAGUUGGAAAUCAACUAUCGCACAAGUGAUGGUCUGGGAAUGCAGUCUUCUUGAAGGAAUUCAACAUUUGGAAUACAAAUUUGACGUAAAUCAGCUUUCUAAUCUUUUGGCUACCCUUAUAAUUGAAUUGGAAGUGUAGUCAAAGAUUAAAGCAUUACAACAAGAUGACCAUGAACUUCAAAAAAUUCGAGAAGGAGUUUCAAAAAAGAAAAAGGUAGAUUUUUAAGUAACUAAAGAUGGAGUAUUGAAAUUCCAUAGACGAUUGUGCAUACUCAACAAUGCAAAACUAAAGAAAGAAAUCCUAUCAAAUGCUCACCGAAGUAACUAUAACAUACAUCUAGGUAGUAUAGAGAUGUGAUGGAAUCUCAAAUAAUAAUAUUGGUGGAAUGGCAUGAAGGUUGAUAGUGCCAAAUAUGUCGCCAAAUUUCUAAUGUGUCAACAAGUAAAGGCAAAGCAUUGCAAGCCUGGUGGAUUACUUCAACCUCUAGAAAUCCCAUAAUGGAAAUGGGAACACAUCACAAUGGGCUUUGUCAUGGGACUUUCAAGGUGCCAAAGAGGCCAUGAUUCUAUUUGGGUAAUAGUCGACAGGCUGACUAAGUCAACUCAUUUCUUGGCAGUACAAAAGGAUUUCUUAUUGGAAGAAUACACAAGGCUUUAUGUCUAAUAGAUAAUUUGAUUUCACGGAGUGCUAGUGACAAUUAUUUUGGAUAGAGACCCCAAGUUUACUGUCACAUUUUGGAAAAGUCUUCAGAUGGCUAUGGGAGUGAAACUUCAGGAUAACAUAGCUUAUUAUCCACAGACAGAUGGCCAAUCUAACAAGACAAUCCAAAUGCUCAAAGACAUGCUACGAGUGUGUGUGCUUGAUUUUAAAGGAGGUUGGGAAGAAUAGCUACAUCUCAUUGAAUUACCCUACAACAAUAGCUACCAGUAGAGAAAUGGGAUGACACCACUCGAAGAGUUAUACGGACAAGCUUGCAGAACUCUAGUUCGUUGGGAUGAGGUCGAGGAAAGAAGGAUCCUGGCUUAGAGUUAGUCUAGAUGUCAGCAGAUGCAAUGAAAGUGAUUAGAGAAAUACUUAGAAUUGCCCAAAGCCGCUAGAAAAACUAUGCAGAUAGACAAUGCAGUCCUUUAGAAUUUCAAGUUGGUGAUCACUUCUUUCUUAAAGUGUCACCUAUGAGAUGCAUGUUGCAUUUCGACAAGAAAGGAAAGCUAAGUUUGAAGUACAUAGGACCUUUCAAGAUCUUAGAAGAAUAAUGAAUUUAGUUUACAGGUUAGCACUUCCGCCCAGACUUGCUUAGGUGCAUGACAUGUUCCAUGUAUCUAUGUUAAAAAAGUAUGAGCCAGAUCUGGCACAAGUGCUAAACUCUGAAGAGAUAGAAAUGAACGACAUAGUGUUGUAUGUUGAAAAGCUUAUGUGGAUUGCAUAUAGAAAAGAGCAAGAGCUGUAGAAUAAAACCAUUCCUUAGUUAAGGUUAUUAGGAACAGCAUGGGAAAGUUAGGAAUCGAUGAGGCUUCGAUAUCGGCAUCUAUUUAAGGAAUCAGGUAUGUCUUUGAAUUUCAAGGAUGGAAUUUCUUUUAGAGGGAAAGAGUUGUGACAUCAUCAACUCGAACCCCUAACUAGACCAUGAGGAAUGGACUAAGGAUUGGUACAUCAGUAACGAGUAUAAGUUGUGACUUAAUGCUAGUAAUUGUUCACGAGCCGACUAGAUGGUUAAGGGCAAGGCAACUCAAGAACAAGGUUGCGAUAGAUCAUAGUGAUUGAUUGUGAAAGGACCAUUCCACCAUAAGGAUUGUUAUGGACAAUCACGUGCCAUCAUGAGUUAGUUAAUGGAUGGGUAUAGAUCGAUUCAACUCAAGUAUAUACCGGUCGCGGGUGACAGCACGAUCAAUGUAUUGUUUGUGAAUGACCUUAAUCUGAUCUCAAACGACCAUGAGUCAGGGCAAGUUGAUUGAUCCUACUUGAUUAUAUGGCAACUAAAGAUUAUUCAUGGAUGGACCAAUCUCAAAAGAAAGUCCUAUGUAAAACCUUGAACAGGCGUCGAACUCAGUUCAAGUUUGACCGCGCGAGUUUUGCCAAUGCCGCCCAUAUUCAUGUAGGUCACAUUAAUGCUAUUCUCCAUUGAAACUUAGCCAUGAACCUUAGUCCGAUUGCGAGUGUUGAUUGUAGAUGCUAUCAAGACAUUCCUAUUCAGUUGAAUUAAUUUUAGUGAACCAAUGAGUAGAUUAAUCGGAGAAAUGCACUAAUUUGAAGACAUAAACUUUAGUGGACCUAGAGGUCAAACCAAUUUAGCCUAUUAAGAUUUAAAUUGAGAUGAGACAAAUUUUGGGAGACCAUUCAAAUGGUGUAGGUGCCACUUCGGUGUUAGGGGUGAGCAACAGUCUAGGGUUGACCCUGGACCGACUCUGGACUGGCCCAACCCUGCCGGUCCUGGUCCGGUUCCCAAGGGGACUGGAUCAGUCCUUGGUCCUAAAAUUCCAGGACCAACACUGUACGGGUUGGUCCUUGGUCCUAAGAGUUUUGGGUCGAUCCAACCCUGAACCAACCCUGUAUAUUAUAUUAUUUAUAAUUCUUUUUAUAUAUUCAAACCUAAGUAAAAUGUCUAUUAUAUUAUAUUAUAUUGAUAUAUUCUAUCAAUAGCACUAAUAGUAAUUUCAAUUUAAAACUUUUGUUGAGUAUUAAUUAUGUGUCAUUUGUUACCACCCACCUGGGUGGCGUAGCUGGCUUUGAGCCUCCUCCCCCUCAUGAAGGGGAGGGGUUCGAAUCCCCAGCGCGUCGCAGGGUGACUUACCCGCUGGCGUGAGUGUGGUAACUAGCUUGCGUCAACCCUAGGGUUUGCCCGCCGGCUGUCGGUUUACGGGUUUCCCUGGGUCACCAAAAAAAAAAAAUUUAUGUGUCAUUUGUUUUGUUUUCGGUGUUUAAAAGUUCAAGUGAAUUAACAAGAUGUGAAGUUAUAUAUUCAUGGUUUAUAUUAAGUAUUUUGAACUCUUAUGGUUUAAUUGUAUUUUACUAAUGAAUUUCAACUGCACUUUACUUUUCAAUUUGUGUCAAAUGGUAGAAGUUUUUUAAGAGUAGAGUAGUAUUGCAGUUGCUACGUUGAUUUGCUAGUCAAGUGGUGUGAAGCUCAUUUUUUGGUUGGGUGGACUCUACAUGAUCGAAUGCAAGAAAACACUUUUGCAUAUGGUGUUAUGAAUAUUAAACAUAGAUGAUUACAAGAACUUUCCAUCCUGUUUCAUAUCUCGAUGAGCGGUUAGAAGGUAUGAAAUUUCUAUUAUUGUGUCAUAUUAAAUUUGUUAAAUAUGUAUUGGUAUUUAUAGUUUAGUUGCACAAUGCCGCAUUGUCGAUAAAUGUGUAAUUUGAAUUUGUAGGUUUGCUUUUUUAAGGAGUAUAAAAAAUAAAACGAAAAAAAUUAUUGAUCAGUCCCGGGUUGACCCUGGAACCGGACCGAACCCAUUGGGUCGGUCCGGUCCUUGGUCCCAGGCUCAAUAGGGUCGAUCCUUGGUCCUAAAAAUUGUGGACCGACACUGUACGGAUUGGUCCUAGGGUUAGGGGGUGGCCCGGACCAACCCGGACCAUGCUCACCCCUAUUUGGUGUAGACAAGGGGGAAUGGACCAUUUUACCCUUAUUGAACCUAGCCAAUAAUUGAGAAAUCGAGAAGAAAUCUUGGCCCUUGAACUUGGAUGACGAUCUUGGCAAAGAUGGAGGAUUACAUCUUGUCCUCCAAGUUUGAAGCCAUCAUGAAGAGAGAGCAAUAAUGCAUGGUGUAUUUAAUGUGAUUGACUCAUUUCUCUCUCUCUCUCUCUCUCUCUCUCUCUCUCUAACUCCCCUUUCAGCCGAGACCCUCCUCUCCUCUCUCUUUUUCCCUUUCUCUCGCUUGUUCGCUGCCCAUUGCCCACCUAGUUGAUGCUCAUUGCUCGUAUGCCACUACAUGCCUGUCUGCUCAUCCGUCAAGUUGUUGCUGUCGCCGUCCUCAUACCGCUGCUAUGUUGCCAUCCUCUAGCCCCCAUCGAUCGCCUCUCAUCUCAUCACGGUUGUCAUAAGUAGAUUUGUUAAAUGUUGGCUAGGCUAUUGCAUUACGUAAGUCGGAUUUAGAUCCGUUUGUAGAGUUGUUAAACCCAUCCUAAGUUGAACAAACUUAUGUGACUAAUUUUGUAUGGUUUGCUCAUGAUUUACUUGGACAUAAUGAGUGAGGAGUGAGCAUGAUUCAUGGACAUAAUUUGUUUAAGCUUAGAUUAUUGCUUGGGCUAAGAGAUUUACUGUGAUUAUUGCUUGUGGACCAUUUAUUAUUGUUACUUAGGUUUAAUCCUCAUGUUUGAUUGUCUUGGUUGGUUGUAUAUGGUUAUGUGAUGUGGUUUAUUGUAUGUUAUGACUAUCGUGAUUGAGUCGUCCAUCUAUGUUGUUAGGAGAUUUGAUAUUUAAGCAUUAUGGUUGCAAUAUGGAUGUGGUCUUUGCAUGUAGAAGUCCAUAAGUCAUAGUCAAUCCUUGAGUUGAAAUCAAACCUCUGAAUCUAGUACAAUGUUGGUUCUUGGGUCACUCUUUUAGUUUGGCAAUAUUGAAGCGUAUCGUUCUGUCGCAACCCUAACUCCAUCUCUAGGGUCAUGAGCAACAAGAGUUAUUUUCGCGACGUCCCAGACUCGUCACUGUCUAGAUUCUUUUUAUCUUGUUAUUAUGCACAUGUGAAAACGUGAACAAAUAACUCCCUGGACAAACAACAACUGGAAGACUGGGACAUACAUCACACAGAACAUAUUGAUUUAUGUUAUAACAAUACUUUUAUAAGCCCUUUCUCUACGAGCCCUCUUUUCUUUUUACAUCACAAUACAAAUUUUCCACAUGGGCCAAGGGAAAUCUUAUCUCCUCUAGCGUGACUGCCGCUCCCAAAACUAACGUAAGAAUUCCAUGCCUACAAGACCGAAAGAUGAGGGGUGAGUUUUGGGGAAACUUGGUAAGUAAAAUUCCUAGUUCUCUACUAGUAAAGCAUCUCAUCAUCAAAAUCUAACAAGUACAGAACUCGCAAACAAUGUUGAUGGCAGAUCAAUCGCAAGUCUAUUGCCACCUCUCGACUAUCUAUAUGUGAUCCAAUUUUAACUAACCAAAUAAGUCAUUUCACCAAACAAGUUUAUCAACAGCACAUAGUAACAUGUUCAAUAUGUUAAUUAACUAUAUAAAUGGUUAUUCCCAUACUUUUAGGAGCUUCCAACUGUAGAUUGGGCAUCUGGCCUCAGGCUAGGCAUCCCAUACUCUCAGCGGCUUCUUGGCUCAACUAGGGCAUCCAACUAUCAAGCUACGUAUCUUAUAUUUUUAGAGGCUUCCUGGUUCAACCAAGGCAUCCGGCCAUCAACCCAAGCAUCCUAUACUUUCAAGAGCUUCCUAGCUCAACCAAGGCAUCCCAUUCAAUGAACGAGAUAUCACCGCCAAUGCUAUGAGACGACAGACGCUUUUUCCUCUUUAAGUGCACACACAUAAGUGCAUUACACAAGUCGGUUGUUAUCUUUUCUCUUAGCCAACACAUGUAUGGCCCGAAAGCAUGCCCAUUCGUUUAUGUGCCAUGAGUUCUUGUGCUACACUAUUUAUGCCGAUUCAAGGCCUUAUGAUUUGGAUGACCUUGCCUUGUGAUGAACUCAAUCCAAGCGAACCUCGGCUUCAUUCCCGAAUGUACAUGACACAAGCAUACGACCAAACACAAUUGCAAGUAAAACCAAACAAAAGACAUCACACACCACCCAUGGCUUGACGGAUGAGCACUUAGCUAGCCUCAACAAUGAAAUCUACCUUCCAAGGAGAGAAAAAAGGAACCUUACUUACCUUGGCAAAAUUGAGAACUAACCUAGAUAGCUUGGUGAGUUGAGGAUGCAAGGCCGAGAGAAAUGGCAUGCAAGAAAGGAGUAGGAGGAUAAGUGAACUAAAGAUCGGAGAGAGUGGAUGAGGGUGGUUCUCCUAUUUAUAAGCCAAGCUUCAUUAAUGACCCUAACUUAUUCUUCAAGGAAAAUCCUAUCGUCAUGAUUACCAAAUCUUCUCAUUGCCACCUAAUUUAGCGAGUCAUACCUUCAUUUAAGGACUAGCCUCCAAGGAACACAUGGUACUUAUUCUCCAAGUCACUCCUAGUUGGUCCACCUAAGCUUGUGAGUCACCAUUUCAUCAUUACUUGGCCUAACUUAAUCUCCAAGGAAAAUCUUAUGCAAUAAUGAUCAAAUCCUCAAAUGACCACCCAAGCUAGUGAUUCAUCCCUUCAUUUAAUACUUAAGAUAUGGCCAUCACAAGUCUUGGAUUUUUGGCACAUUUUUCAUUUUUUUUUUUUUUUUUUGCUCAUUAAGCCAAGGAUUCUAGAACCUUCCAUGGUAUGGCUCACUUAAGCCAACUUGCCAUCUAAGUUUCUUCUCUUUAACACACUAAGGUCCAAAAGUAUUUAAUACAUUCUUAUCUUCAAGCCAAGAAAUCUCUAGAUUAGCUUGCUCCUCAAGUUAGGCGUGCAGCCCUUUCCCUUCCAAGUUGGGCAUGUGACCAUCUUAUCCCGGGGUGAAAGACAGUUUCGAGCAAUUUCCAAAAUCGUCAUCGUUACCUUAUCAAACGGGCUCGAAAAAUUAUAAAAUCUUGAUAUGUUAUAGAGAAGACCUCAAAAACCAUUUUUCGUGAGGGAACUUAGCCAAAUUUGUGCUGUGCCAAGAGCAGUAAUUCAAUAAACAAAACCCAAAAAUUCAUCCCGUUGGUUUUAUAUCAAAUCAAAUCAACCACGGGUCGAACUCACGAAACUCCUAAAGGCUUCCCAUUGGUUUUAUAGAGGAUUAAGAGACAACCAUUGGACAUUAUUUAAUCAAAUUCCUUAUUUAUCAGUAAACCCUAAAUUUUGGAUAAGUGAAAUUGGGCUGGAAAUUAGAAGCCAAAAUGGGGCCCACGAAUUUGGAAAGGCCAAGGCCCAAUGGGCCACAUUCCCUUUAAAUUUUGUCCACAAAGGCCCAAAUAGAUGGAAAUUAUAGUUUUGCCCUUUAAGGCCCAUUAAGCUUGUUUAGGCCUAAAUUGGAUUAAUUAAGCCCAAGCCCAAGUUUGUCAAGCCCAAGGACAAGCCGUUUAAGACAAAUGGGCCAUUUUGGACUUGGUCCAUGUGCGUGAAUAGUAACCUACGUGAGUAGUGCCCAUGAAUAGUACCUAGCAUCUAGAAGGCUUUGACUUUUGUGGCAAGGAGGGAUAUGAUUUAUUCUUGCUCCCCAAGUUGGAAUGGAGGGCCAAGAUGUGUUCUUGCUCCCCAAGUUAGGACAAUAUGUCAAGGAGCAUUAAAUGUCCAACUACUUCCCCAAGUUUUCCUCUUUUUCCAUCAUUUCUCACUUUCUCUCUCUACCCCUUAUUUGGAUGAAUUUCCUCCAUCACUCUCCCUCAUCUCAUACCCAUUUCUCUAUUUUUUUUCCCUUUGGUUGUGGUGGCUGUGAGCCACCAUCCACCGUUCAACUCGCCGAGCUACCCUUGCCGCGAGAUCUCGUCGUGCCGUCAUUCCCGCGUGUUGGCCGCGAGUCCUAAGCCAUUGCUAGACCCCUCUCAAGUCGUGUGCUACUGUUCCUUGGCUGUUCUAGCCUUAUCGUGGGCUAUUGACCGCCAAUCUGCCACCACCACGGCUUGUGGAGCCUUACCAAGAGCCGCCACCAUGCCAUGAGCCUCGCCGCCACUUGCCGUGGCCUAGUUUUGGAAGUGAGUAGCUUCCUAACCCUUGAUUAGGGUAGUAAUUGCGCUAAGGAGUAGAGUUAGGAUUGGUUAAUGGUUAGUGUUGAUUAGAUUAGGUGAUAAGUGGAUUAAAGUGAUAAGUAGUGGUGAUAAGCUAUCACAAUCGGUGAUAAUUGGAUGGGUUAGGUUAUCACGAUAAGUGAUGGUUAUAUGUGAUAAGCUAUCACAAUAGGCUGUCAUUAGAUGUGAUAAGUUAUUGUAAUAGGCUAUCGUUAGAAGUGAUAAGUUAUCGUAAUGGGCUAUUGUUAGAUGUGAUAACCUAUGGUGGGUGGCACGAAAGCUAAUUCUCACGGGAAGGCAACAGACAACUCAAGUUUUUGGAGAAAAGUCAGUUGGAGUAGAAACAGGAUGGAAGGAAAACAAGGGAGAGAGAGGUCGGUCGAGAGAGGGCCGAAGGAGGGGAGAGAGAGAGUGAUGGGAGAGCUGUUGCACUCCUCAUUAAGGCCCAUAAAGCAUGGCCCAAGUCCCCAUGCAAGAUGACCUCAUCUUCUAUCUCUUCUCUUGCCUUAUCCACAUGCUUUUAGGGGCAAAAUGGUCAUUUCCACCUUGCACAAAUUCCCAAUCUACCCUUGGGCCGAAAAUUACGGGCAGGCCUAAGAAAUGGGCUUGGAAAUAAAUAGGAAUGGACUUGGGAAUUGAUUGGGCCCAAAUGGACUAAAGAUUGGACAAUGGGCUUGGAAGAUAAAAAGGUGGGUUGGCCCUAAUGGGCUCACUUGCUUGCCUUAGGCCUACUAUGGUGGUUGUCCCACCUUGGGCCUAAGGCCCACAUAGGCUUUGCUCGGCCCACGUCCUCUCAGGCUCAAUUCCUCAGAACGUAAAUCCUUUUUCCCCACACUCGGCUUGCCUGGCACUGCUGACUAACGAAGUAGCUUCAUCCAAAGUUCGUCCCGGACGUUCCCAAUAAUUCGAAGUCCAAUUUUGAGUUCUCAUACCAUGUCAAUUUCGCCCCAAUGCCAUUUUGGGUACAACUUAGACUGACUGGCGGCUUUGAGGAUUCACGCAUAACCGACUCGUGCUAAACCACGUUCAAGACAUCUCAACACAUGGACGUCCUUAAGUACCUAAAAUAGCGGAGGAUAGAUUCUUAUUUCAAAGUACAUGAUUACCGAGGAUCAACCUAGGGUCGUUCAUGGGCUCGAUAACAGUAAACAUAAUCACCCAUCAUUCCAUUACAUUCUAUCCAUGAAUCGACUUUUAGUCAUCCUUCAAAUCGGCCUGCCUAACUACAUGAUUGUUCUCAUGCAAGUCUCACGAUCAAGUAGUUUUCCCAAGUCAAGUUCUUUAGUUGUACGAGUUUUGUCCUCAUUAGCAUUUCCCCUCAAGGUCAAUAUCUCAGGAGUGAUCUAUUCCGAGUGAGAUCAACCAACAAUAUAUUGACGAAAUUCACAUUCAUUCAUCCCUCAGAGAGCUUGAAUUUGAGCAUGUCACAAUAAAGAUUGGGAAAAUGUCAUUAUUCUUUCAAAAUUUUUGAAAUAGUUUUAUGAUGCCACCACUCAAAUGUCAAAGAGUUUAUAUAUUACUUCGAAUGAUUAUUUUGAGGGGAUAGGUUUUUUGUAUAAAUAUUUGAAAGAUGUGAGUAAUGCUAUGGAUCCUAAGCUUAGAAUUAUGAAUAUGAAGAUAAAGGAGAAGUUUAAUAAAUAUUAUGAGAGUUUGGAUAAAGUAAAUAUGAUGGUUUUGAUUGUAGUGGUGUUAGAUCCUACAAAAAAGUUGUAGUAUGUGAAGUAUUGUUAUGAGCAAAUUUAUGAUGAUGAAGUUGAUAAGAUGCACGAUAAGGUGAAAUACAUGUUGGAGCAUUUGUAUACAUUUUAUGAGCAAUAUCUUCUUGAUCAUAAUAACUAAUAUUUGGGUGGUCAAACUAUGACUAUUGGAAGUAGCAUUGCUUCCAAUACCGCCAGAAAUGAUGGAAACGACAAGAUUAACAUCAAAGCUUGGCGAAAAAAACUUUUUCCAUCAAAAGAAAAGAGGGCGUGAUAACAACAAAUCAGAUCUUGAACAGUAUCUUGAAGAGGAUUCUGAAGAUAUUCUUGAUUUUGACAUUUUUGAUGUGGUGGAAGAGUAUUGGUUCGAAGUAUAAAAUUCUAUCAUUGAUAGCUCGGAAUGUUUUAUCUAUUCCUAUAACUACUGUUACUUCAAAGUCAACUUUUAGUAUUUUGGGCUGCGUUCUUUAUGGUUUUAGAAGUUCUUUGACUCCUAGAGUGGUAGAAGCUUUAAUUUGUACUUAAGACUGAUUGAGAACUGCUCCCAUGCCUAUUUAUGUUGAAAAGUGCCUUGAGAAUGUCAAAAAGUUUGAAUUAGGUGAGCUUAAAUCAUGCAUAUUUCUUUUUACUUAUUAAUUCUUUUGUAUAUCUAAUGAAUGAAUUCUUGUUUUUUUUUAGAUACGGAUUGUCUUACUGAGGAGAUUACAAUCAGUAAAUAGAGUUUGCAUGUUGAAGUUGAAUGACCGUAAAUGGUGAGAUGUUCCAUCAAUGACACUAAUAGUAAUUUCAAUUUAAAAAUUUUGUUAAGUAUUAAUUAUGUGUGUUGUUUGUUUUGUUUUUAGGUGUUCAGAAGCUAAAGCGAUCAUCUAAGAGUUAACAAGAAGUAAAGUUGUAUAUUCAUGGCUUAUCUUAAGUAUUUUGAAUUUAUUGUGGUUUAAUUAUAUUUCACUAGUAAUUUUCAGUUGUACUUUGCUUUUUAGUUUGUGUAAAAUGGAAGAAGUUUUUGAAGAGUAAUAUUGCAGUUGCUAUAAUGAUUUGCUUGUCAAGUGGUAUGAAGCUUCGUUAUUGGUUGAUUAGACUUUGCUUGAUUAAAUGCAAGAACCGAUUUUGUAGAUAAUGUUACAAGUAUUAAUGAUAGAUGAUUAUAGGAACAGAUGCCUGGAAAACAGUUUUUGGCCUAGAAUUCUUUUCUCUUAAACUUCUUAUCUCAUCCCAUUUCUCCGAACGGAAGAAUGAUUCAAAGACAAAUCAAAAGUUAGAAAAGUAUAACAUGGUUUAGCGAUGGAAACACUUUAUUUCUAUUAGCAAUCCUGAUCGUUUUUAUAGUUUCUUGUUUUUAGUAAGUGUGAAAUUUUUAUAGUUACCUUAUCUUAAAUUUAUGUUGAAUAUGUACUUAUGUUUAUAGUUUGGUUGUUCAACGCCAUAUUAUUGAUUGAUAUGUAAUUUAAAUUAAUAGGUUUGUCCAUUUAGAGAAUACAAAAAAUGAAACAAAAAUAUUAUCAGUUAGUCUCGAGUUAACCUUACAAUUGGAUCGAAUCCAUAUGAUCAGUCCGAUUCUCGAUCUCGGACUCAAUUAGGUUGGUCUUCAGUUUCAAAAAUUAGAGACUAACAUUGUGCGGAUUGGCUUUGAAUUAGACGCUGAACCAGCAUUAAAGGAACACUUUCCUUUAACAUGGACACACGGAAGACACCGGGGCGCUAGACAGCUUCAGCGGUAAUGCGAGUCUUUAAUAAUCGGCACCUAGCCUGAAAAUUCGGUGGACGAGAGUCGGAAUGUCCUAGAAUGUCCAGCAUUAAAUGAAGAAGGCCUUUUGUUUAUUAAUUGACUCGACGUAUGCUCCAUCUACGUGGCUUUCUCCCCUCCCCUUCUUUUGUAUUUGUUAAUAAUUGAAGAGAGAGGAUGGCCCUGUGCAAGAACGGCUAUAGUUUUCUUCCCCUCAUUCAUGCAUGCAAAUGCACGUACAUAGAGGCAGAUAAAUUUGGUAGACGUGGAUGCUGAUUGUGGGCAACUGUGCUGCCAUUUAAUGAGUUCGUAUUUGUGUCUCGUUUCUCCUAUAAAAGGAGGACCGCAAAAGAGGACCGAGGUAGAGCAAGAAGAGAGAAGACUCGUGAGCCUUCCCGGAGACGAGGUAGAAGCUCUCGACAGAGGGAGAUUUUUCCGUUGUGAUUACACAUAGUGAUUUAGCCAGUUAAAUUUUUAUGGGUAGAAUUUAUUUAAUAACUUGAGUGAGGUUUUAUUUGAAAAUUCUGAGGAGUUAGAUAUUGUGUGAGUUAUUAAGCGUAAUUGGGAGUUAGAAAACACCAAGAGGGUAUUUAAGUACUCAAGUAAUUGCAAUCUUUAUUGUAUCGUUUUUUUAAUAGUGGGAUUAUGUAUUGUUCUCUUUGUGGAUGUAGGUUUCGAUAUUCUAAUCGAAUCAUAAAAAUUUGAUGUCGGAUUUCCCCUCCUUUAUUCUAAUUAAUUUUAACCAUUUUGCUAGGCCAUCUUACUUCGCAACAAAUUGCGUCCGCACUCCUUUCUCAAGAAACCCAGUCAUUCAAGAAGCAGAGCAUUGCAACUGCAAACAGCCAAAGCCCAAACGCGUACAGAAGGAGAGAGAGAGAGAGAGAGAAUAGAAGCAUGAGUGCAUGCAAGAACCAAGCAAUCACGACCCCCAGUGAAGAUGAAGAGUUCUUGUUCGCCAUGGAAAUGAAUGCUCUGAUAGCACUCCCCUUGGUCUUGAAGGCCACCAUCGAACUAGGGAUCCUCGAAAUACUGGCCGAGUGUGGGCCUAUGGCUCCACUUUCGCCUGCUCAGAUUGCCUCCCGUCUCUCCGCAAAGAACCCGGAAGCCCCCGUAACCCUUGACCGGAUCCUCCGGUUUCUCGCCAGCUACUCCAUCCUCUCUUGCACUCUCGCCCAAGACACAGAAGGCAACCCCCUGAGGCUUUACGGUUUGGGACCCAAAAGCAAACACUUCGUCAGAGCCCAUGGCACUGCCACUUUUGCUGCCCCCUUGAUGCUUAUGCUUACCGACAAUAUCGUCACUUCUAGCUGGUUUUUGCUUCUUCCUUCCUUCCUUUCUGCUGUGUUGAAUUGGCCAUGUCCUCCAUCACAUGCGCCGUAAGUAUAUCUUGAUUAUACCGUGCAUGACUUACAGGUACUGCUUAAAAGAAGAGAUUAUGGAAGGAGGAGACAACUUCAAACUUGCCAAUGGACUGCAUGUUUUUGAGUACACUAACAAAGACAGGAAAUUUAAUGAGAUAUUCAACAACGCAAUGCAAGCCCCGACAAACAUGUACAUGAGUAAAAUUGUGGAAUCUUAUCAAGGCUUCAGCAACGUCAAGACGGUGGUCGAUGUAGGUGGUGGCAUGGGUGCAAGCCUUAGGAUUUUGCUAUCCAAGUACCCCCACAUUCAUGGCAUAAACUUUGAUCUACCUCAUGUGGUCAAAGAGGCUCCUCCUUAUCCUGGUAAAGUUUAUUUAUUUUUCCCCUUCUGCUCCAUCUUCUUUUCUAAAAAAUAUCUCUCAUAGGGAUGAACUUUAUUAAGGAAAGUUUGAUUAUGUCGCUAAGUUAUUCAUAUCAUACCCUUAACACAAUUGUUCGAGUGAGUCAUCGCAAAUCGAAUACAAUUCAUACUGUACAAAAUCGGCUUCCAUAUAGAGAUAGAGAAUGAACUCUUUGGAUAAAGCUGAGGUGUUUGAGGAUGGAUUGAAUCACUUAUCUUUUGGUGACAGGCAUAGAACAUGUGGGAGGGGACAUGACAAACUACAUUCCUAAAGCGGACGUCAUUAUCAUGAAGGUUAUUCCUGUGUUCAAAAUAUCCUUAUUAGACACUAUCAAGCUCUUCGCAUGAUAAUAUGAUUAUUUCCAUAUAUUGCGGUUUGUCGGUUUAAUAAUGGCUACACAGCUCCUGUAACCCUUAUCUACACAUCCCUUAUCCAUCACUACUGCAUCGGAUGGUUAAUUACUUGCUAAAAAUAAAACUACUCAUAUCAAUAACGUUAUAAGUGGAAUGUGUAAAGAAAUGUUAAACAACCUGGAUGCUUAAUAUGUAUCCAAAACUAACUGAUCACCGGUCGUUUUGUAGUGGAUAAUUCACGGUGCAGAUGACAAGUUAUGCGUCAAGCUACUCAAAAACUGCUGGGAGGCAUUGCCAGAGAAGGGCAAGGUCGUGAUCGUGGACGCUGUCCUUCCAGAGCAUCCCGAAACAGAUAUCAUCACGAGGAACGCCCUCCUAGCGGACAUGUCCGUGCUGAAUAUCACUCCCAGCGGAAAGGAUCGGACAGAGAGAGAAUUUGAGGUCCUGGCACGUGCAUCCGGCUUCGAUGCUCCGAAACUUGUGUGUCGAGCUUACAACAUGUGGGUAGUCGAGUUACACAAAAGGAUGUGAUCUCUUCUCAUCAUAAGCAUGUAUUGAGCUUUCCCUAGGGAAUUCUCUGUAUGUUCGUGUUGGGUUUGGACACUUGAGCCAGACCCUUAACCUUGUGUGCCAUCUUAAGGAAUAAAUUAGUGCUGAUGGAAAAAUAAUUUCAUGCUUUACCUGAACGGUCCCCAAUGUCCUAUAAUCAUUCUUUUUUGGGAAAAUUCAAAAGUCCAUUUCACCCUUAUAUACGAAAUGUCGUGCAAAAAACCAUUAAUGUCAUUACCCUUCAAAUAAGAAGAAGAAACUAAUUAAAGAUAAUUAUCUUUAAAAGGGCCAAGUACCCAAAAAAUAAAAAGCCCAUGCACAUCCUUUCACAUCAAGAACAAUUGUAUUCACUUUUUCGAAAGUCUUAAAAAAGCACAGUUUUCGGCAUCUGUCAAAUUGCAGCGAGUCCGUCAAAACAUGGGGAGCUCACCCAACACAAAAUAUGGGUUGAAUUGAGUCUGUCAAAUAAAGUCCGAUAACAUGGGUUUGGAUAGAUUUUAAGUUCAAUCCAUAUAAAAAUUAUGGGAAUUGAUCAAGUAACGGCACCGUUACUCUUUCAAUGGUGGCAGUGGCAUGUGCACCGCUAAUUCUUUUACUUAUUUCUUCAGAAAAUUUGGAAAAUAAUUUGUCACUUGGGACUUGCUCCACUUCCACCCUUAUUUUGUCACUUGUAAUUUGAUUUUUCUUUUUGUUUGUUUGACAUCAAAAUAAAGAGAGAUCAAUUAAUUUCUUUUCUAACUUAGAGAAAUUUGAAAGUUUGCAAAUCAAAAAUAUUAUAUUUGCGCUUGUUAUUUAAUUUUCAUCUUACAUGAGUUUUCUUAAGUAUAUCAUUUAUAUCUUCUUCUUUUUUACCAAUGUCUACCAUUGAAAAAGAAUAGCUCAAUUACCCCCAUGAUUUUCUUCUCCCUUCAAGAACUUCAUCCAUUUGUUUCUUUAAAUAUGAAACUAGUCAUCUUCAUCAACAACUAAAAUGGGUGGCCAGUAUUGCACCGUUACUCAUUGGAAGUAACAAUACCGUCAUACUAACAGUGUCCUAAAAUUAUUAAUAAGUGUCCACAAAUUCUAACACUCACCAAAAUGUUUAAUCUCCCCACAACAAACACCAUCGGUCAUGCCAGCCAUAAUAGUCGUAGGUGCUCUCUCUCCACCCCCCCCCCCCCCCCCCCCGGCCUCCCCCUUACAGUUUUAUAUGGUCCACCAAGGGACGUAUCCUCGAUCUUAAUAGAUCAUAACUGCUCAUAUUUAUUUGUAACCCCUAUAUAAACUGUCGUAACACACAAAACUUAAGUAUGAACAAGAUUUACUCUUUUUUUUCCUCCAGCAGUCAUAGGGUGACUAGAGAUCCGUUGCUCAAGGGCCCUCGAAUUUAUUAUUUGGGAUGUUUUGAGAGUAUUGUAUUUUUGUGUGCUGGAUCAAAAUAGGUUAAUGGUUGGGUAUGUGGUUUGAUUGGUUGAUUCAAUCUAGGUUUGAAACAAAAGUAAUGGUUAUAUAAAAAAUGAAGCUCCUAGAAAAUAGGAGGAAUCAAUCUACUAGAGCACAUCUCCUCUUACUUGCCCUAAACCUUAAACCUUGAAAUCCUAACUCUAAACCCUAUUGCCUCCAUUCAAUAAAAAAAGGAGAGGCCUUAUGUGAUUCAUUUUGCUGAUUUUUUGUUCAAGAUAGAAUUCCAAAAAACAUAGACCAAUCCAUACUUUGAACUAAUAACUAUAGAACAUAAUAAGAGCGUCGUCUAAUUCAAUUCAUCAUCAUGAAUAGCCUAUGUAGCUUUUGAUAACUCUUCUAGCCAUGCAUUCUUUGGAAGCUUUGAAUUCUUUCCAAUCUUAGGCCUUGACUCACCCACCAUGGAUGAACAUUAAAGAAGAACCUUUAGGUUUCCGGGACAUUGAAUUCUCAUCAUGGUUGUGGUAAUAUCUGCUCCUCUUCAAAUUUUUGACGAUAUGAAAAAAUCAAAAGCCCCGCCAUCAAAAUCUAUGCCGUCCCUAUUCAAUCAUGGAAGCGGAAAUGCCUUAAGUGUCCCCUCUAGUCAGGAGUUGAGCCUACCAAUCACUAAUCAAUACAUUUUUCUCUCAUGUGUUUUUUCAUUUAUGGUUUGAUAUUCUUGUACUACUGGAACCACACCAAUCCAUCCUGGUUAUAGCCUAGCCUUACUAUGCUUACACAUGAGCUCCCAUUCUAGAUUGUAUUGGCAAAAUUGAUAGGGAAUUGGCUUCAUGUGUAGAUAGGGUCAAAUAUGCAAGGAAUGCAAAGACACAGACCCCUUCCUUCUCUUUUAGAUGAAUGGAGUGGUUUAGAAUUGCUCUUCAUAGACAAACUUGGGAUUUGCAAUCCAAGGUAAGAUCGGUUCAGGAUAAUUGGGUCUUUUACUAUCAUAAGGAUGUGCCAUUACUCAAAAAGUACUUCUAGGUAAUUGCCCCACAUAUUCUAUAACUAUUUAUGUGAAAAAGAAAUCAUGUGCCAAAGGGGAUUCUUAUUUGUACAUGUGGUUUAGAGUUUCGCAUCUUGUGCUCACUAGCAUGUAUGGAUCCCCCGACUCUAAUUGCUUUUCGCCUCUUCAUAUUUUUCAAUUUAUUUUUAUAAAAUCUUGGAUCUUGUUUGCAAAGGUGAACCAUCAGGAGGAAAGUUAAUGAAUUAUUAAUCUCAGAGACUUAGUGCGAACUCUCCCAAGCCCAAACCAACCACAACUUUGAGAUUUUAAUUUGUUCUAUUAAUCAUGCAAAUCAUUUUAUUACUAUAAGUUAUUAAUCAGUCAAUUAAAUACCUAAGUAAAGUGUGGAGAGCAUUUUACUUCUGCAAACUAGAUAUUCAUGAAUAUGGAGACUUGAUUGCACUAGAUAUUCAUGAAUAUGGAGACUUGAUUGCAUUAGAUAAAUUAACGCCCUUUCGAUGCUUUUUCUCUUUAUUUCUAUAUAUAUGUACUUUGCAAGUAGUCUUAGUCAAUUUUAAGUUAAGCCAUUAAUACGCAAAUGGUGGUCAUGUGAGUGCAAAAAUAAGAAUUUAAUAAUCAAUAAUUAAAGCAGUAAAUAAAUUGCUAGAGAUAAGGAAAGAACAUAAAUAUCUCAAGCAAGCGAAAGCAAAAACUCCAUUAACUCCAACACGCUAAGUGUUCUGCAAAAUGUUAACAAAACAAUAUAUGCAUGGCCUAAACAUGAUUUGUAAAUGCAAUAAUGAUUAUUUCUUUUUGGAUUUUUCUUGUUUAACAAAAGAUUAAACUAUAUGCAAUGCAACCUAUAUGUAAUUUUAAUGAUGUGAAAAAAGGAUUACUUAUGAAUUAACCCUAUUAUUUAACCAUGUGAAAAAAUUGUGUUUUCUUUAAAACACUAAACUCUAGGACACUAGAAAUGACUUAAUGACUUUUAUUUAAAAAAAGUAGUGACCUAAUGAUGAAGUGAUAAGUUUUAUAUCUUCUUUUACGAUACUUAAAUGAAAUGCAUUACAUGAGAUGCAUGAAAUGUGAUUAUUAAUGGUGUGAUUCUAUUAACACAUUAGCAUUAAAUUAAAUGAGUCACUAAUUGACAUGUGACUUAUAGAAAUAAACGUGCAAGUAUGUCAAUUGAAUCAUAAUGCAAUCUAAAUAUUCUAUUUUAUAUGUAAGGAUUAUUGUAAAUAUAGACAAGCGAAUCGGAUAAAAUUAGGUAGAAGGAAGGAAAAUAAAUGGGAUAUCGGAUUUAUGUAAUUCCGUCCAAAUAUCAGUACUUACAUCCAUAGAAAGAGCAGCACGUAAUUCCACUAUAAAAACGAGCAAUACACUAGAGAUUAUAAUCACUCAGGUAUCCAAAUACUCAUUCAGUGUUUCCCCGCCCCCCAAUUCACCAAAUAAGUCACAUAGGGUGCGUUUGGUUCAGCAUUCCCAAUAGGCUUUCAAUCUUCAAAGCCCAUUCGGGAAAUGCUAGACUAUUUGGUAACCAUUUUGAAGUAACUUUCAAGUGAAAGUCAGCAUUGGGAAGGUUAAAAGCCCAAUGCUAGUAGAGAUUAGCUUUGAGUUUUAAGCAUUUAGCUAAAUGCUGAAACUUAUUUUUAUUUUUUUCCAAAACUAUCAUCACUUAUUCUUCAAAUUUCUAAUUUUCCCUAGUUAUUACUUUUUUAAAUACCAAAAUAAUGCUAAAAAAAUCAAAAUUACAUAAUUACUAAAAAAUAAAUAUAUUUUGGUCUUUUUAAAAAAAUUAUUUAUAUAUUUGAUUUUUUUAGCAUUAUUGUCAAAAUUUGUAUUUAAAAAGUUACAUACAUUAUUUUUUUUUUCAAUUUUAACAAAUAAAUUAAAAAAUUCCAACGAAGAGUUUGGUCUCUUUUAAAAAAUAUAUAUAUACAUAUGUAUUUGAUUUUAUAGCAUUAUUUUCAAAUUUAUUUAAAAAAAUUGUAUAAAUUAUUUUUUCAAUUUUAAAAAAUAAAAAAUAAAAAAUUUCGAUAUUGGAUUUGGUCUUUUUUUUUUAAGUUAUACAUAUAUAUAUAUAUAUAUAUAUAUAUAUAUAUAUAUAUGCAUUAUUGUCAAAAUUUAUUUAAAAAAUUGCAUACAUUAUUUUUUUUUCAAUUUUAAACAAAUAAAAAUUUAAAAAAAUUCCGAUGAAAGGUUUGGUCUUUUUAAAUAUAUAUAUAUAUAUAUAUAUAGGUAUAUGUAUUUGAAUUUUUUAGUAUUAUUGUCAAAAUUUAUAUUUAAAAAGUUGUAUAAAUUAUUUAUUUCAAUUUUAAACAAAAGAAAUUUUAAAAAAAUAUUAAUAAUGCAAAGGGCUUUUCAAAUGUAUUUUCUACCAAACGGCAUUUCUCUCACAGUUACUUCUCAAAGCAUAGUUUACCAAACGGCAUUAUAGUGUUCAGCACCUUACAAUUCCUAGUGAAAUCUCACUCAAGGAAUUACACAAUUUCUACUCACAAGAAUUUAUCUAGCUAAAUCACUUAGGUGUAAUUACAACAAUACUCAACCCUCUCUGCCACCAAAGAACUUGGUGCACUCUCUUCACUCUGGCCACCAAGGACUUGGCGCACUCUCAGCCACUAAAGGAACUUGGCACACACUGGGCCACCUUGCCACAAUUCUUGUCCUACAUCAAUCACUCUUUUAUAAUAAAGAAGAGAGAGUCUUCAUCAUUCAAUGGCCAUGACCAUUGAAUAAUCGGUAUUGCAGUUCAUGAUGUUCACAUGAGUAAGAGACAUCUUGUACGUUGACCUUUCUUCCCAAAGUUCAGAAAGUCCACCUUGUAUUUUUUAAGAUUAACUCCAUGCAACUUCCUUUUUAGUUCCUCUUUCGACUAAGGUUUCCAUAUGCUUCUUUACGCGAAUUCCUUCAUUUAAUAUACAAAUAGAGGAAUUUCUUAUUUGCUGCUUGAGCAAAUCUCUUGACUCCAAUUACAGCUCCACAUAGAGCCAAGGAAAGAGAGUCAAUAAAACACGUAGGUUUUCUCCACUACUUUUCUACACAUGCAAAGAGACAAAUAAGUGCAAUCUUCUUCUUCUCACAAUUGUGGCUAAACAUAAGUGCAAUCAAUAGACUCUCAAACAUAUGCAUCUAACGUCUUUGGGGCGAAACUUGUUACUGUCUCACGUUGAAAUUUAUAUAAGCUAUCGUGCUUGAUUCCUCUCAUUAUCACGAGGGCACCUCAAACAUUCUUCAGAACUCCACCUUCGGAAAACACUUGCAACCAGCUAAGUCUAGGGCACCCAAGGAAAUUAAGUUCUUUUUCAAUUUAAAAACUUGUCUUACUCCAAUCAAUGUUCUCACAAUACCAUCAUACAUUCUAAUUUUAACAUCACCAAUACUCACAAUAUCACAUUUAGUGUUGUUUCUUAACUAGACUUUAUCACUACCCGUGCACUGAUAAGUGAUAAACCAAUUCCUAUUUUGUGUAGCAUGAAAUAAACAACUAAAAUCCAUUAUCCAUUCGUCAAAUGACAAAUCCUCAAUGACAGACAAAACACAAUUGACACAAUUAGAAUUAUUCUCAACUAUAGCUACAAUAUCAUCUAUAGACUCAACGCUAAUUUCCUUACGCUUUUCAUUUUUCAGCUUAAAACAGUCUCUUCUACAAUACCCACUCCUACCACAAUUCAAAUGACAACUCCACCAACCAUAGAUUGAUUAUGUCUAUUCUUGUUUAUACUACUUUUGCUAACAAAUGUACUAAUUAUUUCUCUACUUUCACCUACUAAAGUAGUAGGUACAAGUUUUCCAGAUUGUUUCAUACAAAUAUAUUCACUUAGAAUUAAAUCACAUACCUCAUCAAAUGUCAAGCUUCUUGACCCAAAGGAAUUACUAACAGUAGUAAUAGUAGUAUUCCAAUUAUCAGGGAAUGAAGAUAAUAAAAUCAAAGCAUGAACUUCAUCUUCAAAGUUAAUCUCAACCAAACUCAAUUGGUUAGCGACCUCAUUGAAUUCGUUAAUAUGCUCAGCUACUAACGUACCUUCACCCAUUUUUAAGUGAAAUAGACAUCACCACAAAUAGACCUUAUUGAUUGUAGAGGAUUCUCACCUUUCUUUCUUCCAUCAUUACUAAUAAGCUUCACAUCAGCUAACUCUGGCUCUAAUACCAAUUGUUGUGAAUAUAGACAAGCAAAUCGGAUAAAAUUAGGAAGAAAGAAUGAAAGGAAAUUGAACAUUGGAUUUAUGUAGUUCAAUCCGAAUAUCGAUAUCUACAUCUACGAGGAGAGCAAUACAUAAUUCCACUAUAGAAAUGAGCGAUACACUGGGAUUAAAAUCACUCCAGCAUCCAAACACUCACUCAGUGUUUCCCAACCUCCCAAUUAUGCUAAAUAACUCAUAGUAUUUAGCUCUCACAAUUCCUAGUGAAAUCUCACUCGAGGAAUUACACAAAUUCUACUCACAAGAAUUUAUCUCGCUAAAUCUCUCAAAUGUAAUUACAACAAUACUCAAUCCUCUUGGCCACCAAAGAACCUGGUGCAUUCUCCUCUCUGGCCACCAAGGACUUGGCACACUCUCAGCCAUCAAAAGAACUUGGCACUCUCUCGACUACCUUGGUGCAAUUCUUAUCCCACAUCUCUCGCACUCUUUUAUAAUGCAGAAAGAGAGAGUCUUCAUCAUUCAAUGGCCAUGGCCAUUGAAUAAUCAUUAUUGUAAUUCAUGAUGUUCAUAUGGGAAAGAAACAUCUUGUACGUUGGCUUCUCUUCUCAAGUUUAGAAAGUCCACAUUGCAUUUAUUAAAAUGGACUCCAUGCAACUUUCUUUCUCAUUCCUCCAUCGGCUAAGGCUUCCACGUGCUUCUUCAUGCGGAUUCAUUCAUUUAGUAUACAAACAGAGGAAUUUUUAUAGUUGUUACUUGAGCAAAUCUCUCCAUUGACUCCGAUUAUAGCUCCACAUAAAGCGAAGGAAAGAGAGUCAAUAAAACACACAGGUUUUCUUUACUAUUUUUCUACACAUGUAGAGAGAUAAAUGCAAAAUGAAAUCCAUACACAAUCUUCUUCUCACAAUUGCGGCUAAACAUAAAUACAAUCAUGUGUUGUUGGACCAAAGAAGAAGUCCCCCAAAAUCACAAGGUCGAGUUUCGUCCAGGUUCAAAUUCGAGACAUAUUUUAACAAUGCAUAUUGAAAAUUCAUGAAAAUAACAAGAAGCAAGGAUUAAGAGUUUGUGACAAUCGUGCAACCAUUGAAUACCGGCUUACUCGAGCAAAACUUAUGAACUUCUACGAAGCAACAUAUAUUGAUGUCAUCUAAAAACAUGACUAACUUUCUGUUUUUUUUUUUUUUUUUGGACGAACUGGACUUGAAUGUUGGUAAGAUUCAUCAUGAAUUAAGCAAUAAACCUUAUAUGAUAAACUAGCUGAGGCAACAUCUUGAUAUUUAUUUCAUAAAACCUUGCGCGCAGAGAGAGAGAGAGAGAGAGAGAGAGAGAGAGAGAGAGAGAGAGAGAGAGGGUGCUAACAAUACAACCUAGAGGAUUAAUAGGUUGUUUGAGAACUACGAAAAAUAUUUGCAGAAGAUAAGAAGUUCAGCUUUAAAUAUUAGCAAAAACAGAGUACUAUGUGUUGGUGCUAACAAUACAACCUAGAGGAUUAAUAGGUUGUUUGAGAACUACGAAAAAUAUUUGCAGAAGAUAAGAAGUUCAGCUUUAAAUAUUGGCAUAAACAUAUUAAAGAAAUCAAGUAUGGGUGCUCCUAUUUAACAAAACAUGAUAAUAAAGAUCAAGUAAUACAAAUAGUAAUGAGAUGGAAAAUUCACAAGCAGAUAUAUAGUACUUCGGCUUUAUCCCCAAGCCUACGUCCACUCCCAACACUAUCAGCCACAACAAGGUUAGAAUCCACUAAUAAUCUUCAAGAUAAGUUACAAUCAACAAGUACCGCAUUUCCAGUAGAUCACACUACUAGGACUCACAUACUUGUCACGGGUUGGUAGUUUCCUUGGCCGCGGAUUAACCCUUAUAGCUUCUUAUAACACUUGCUCAGUCCCAAGUUGUGGUGACAGACAAGGUGCAAUUCGUACCAAUACUGGACUUUAACAUAACAAAGAACAUGGUCCCCUUCGAUUUUUGAGGAUGACCACUAAAUGAAAUACAUCAUUAAAAACAAUGGUACUGAGUUUUGCUUUUCAACACGUAUGUAAGAUAUGGAUCCAACCCAAUGGGCCUUAUCCAAUUGUAUUCACCAAUGUCACAGAGAGAAGAUCUUUUCAUAUAUACAACCAAAAGGAUAAGGAAUUUUUAAUAGAUAAGUUGUCGUAGGAGCAUGAUGAGGGAGGGACUGCUUUUUAUUUUCUAAAUGGCCACAAGUUGGGUAUUUCCCCUAUUCUCAUCUUGGGAUGACGGCAAACGCAACCUCAGCGACAGUGGGAGCGGUUCUAAGAUCCAAUGAGGAACGGAACGUGUGGUUUUAAUGAACCGUAGCUGUUUGAACUUUUUUCGUGAUUCCUAUAAAAAUGUCGUAAUAUGCGAAAACUUAUAAGUGGAUGAGAACUGCUCUUUUUUAAAUCCAACGGUGGUAAAGAGAUUAGGGAUCCGUUCCUCAAGGGCACCAAGAAGUAUUUGGAGCAAGAAAUUGAUCGCCGGGUUCUUCUCGCUGAACAACGUCAUUUAGGGUCGUGUAUGCAAAUGAAACUUGUUGAGUGAGGUCAUUUUGGUCUUUUUAUACUGAUUGAAACCUAUAACAAGCCACGUCAAUCGAAAAAAAUAUUAAAAUAAUACCACGUCAGAUUUUUAGCAUCCAAAAUCGGAAUUAACAUUAAAGUGAUUGUUCUUUUUUUAAGCAACAUUUAAAUAAUCACUCAAGUGUAAUUACAACAAUACUCAACCCUCUCGGCCACCAAAGAACUUGGUGCAUUCUCUUCUCUCUAGCCACCAAGGACUUGGCACACUCUUGGCCACUAAAGGAACUUGGCGCACUCUUAGCCACCUUGCCACAAUUCUUGUCCUACAUCAGUCACUCUUUUAUAAUAAAGAAGAGAGGCUCUUCAUCAUUCAAUGGCCAUGACCAUUGAAUAAUCAAUAUUGCAGUUCAUGAUGUUCACAUGAGAAAGAGAUAUCUUGUGCAUUGACCUUUCUUCCCAAAGUUCAAAAAUCCACCUUGUAUUUUUUAAGAUUGGCUCCAUGCAACUUCCUUUUUCGUUCCUCUUUCGACUGAGGUUUCCAUAUGCUUCUUUACGCGAAUUCCUUCAUUUAAUAUACAAAUAGAGGAAUUUCCAUAUUUGCUGCUUGAGCAAAUCUCUUGACUCCAAUUACAGCUCCACAUAGAGCCAAGGAAAGAGAGUCAAUAAAACACGUAGGUUUUCUCUACUUCUUUUCUACACAUACAAAGAGACAAAUAAGUGCAAUCUUCUUCUUCUCACAAUUGUGGCUAAACAUAAGUGCGAUCAAUAGACUCUCAAACAAAUGCAUCUAACGUCUUUGGGGCGAAACUUGUUACUGUCUCACGUUGAAAUUCAUAUAAGCUAUUGUGCUUAAUUCCUCUUAUUAUCACAAUAGCACCUCAAACAUUCUUCAGAACUCCACCUUCUGAAAACACUUGCAACCAACUAAGUCUAGGGCACCAAAGGAAAUUAAGUUCUUUUUCAAUUCUGGAACUUGUCUUACUCCAAUCAAUGUUCUCACAAUACCAUCAUGCAUUCUAAUUUUAACAUCACCAACACUCGCAACAUCACAUUUAGCAUUGUUCCCUAACUAGACUUUAUCACUACCCGUGCACUGAUAAGUGAUAAACCAAUUCCUAUUUUGUGUAGCAUGAAAUAAACAACUAAAAUCCAUUAUCCAUUCGUCAAAUGACGAAUCCUCAAUGACAGACAAAACACAAUUGACACAAUUAGAAUUAUUCUCAACUAUAGCUACAAUAUCAUCUAUAGACUCAACGCUAAUUUCCUUACGCUUUUCAUUUUUCAGCUUAAAACAGUCUAUUCUACAAUACCCACUCCUACCACAAUUCAAAUGACAACUCCACCAACCAUAGAUUGAUUAUGUAUGUCAUUGUUUAUACUACUUUUGCUAACAGAUGUACUAAUUCUUUCUCUACUUUCACCUACUAAAGUAGUAGGUGCAAGUUUACCAGAUUGUUUCAUACAAAUAUCAUCACUUAGAAUCAAAUCACAUACCUCAUCAAAUGUCGAGCUUUUUGACCCAGAGGAAUUACUAACAAUAGUAAUAGUAGUAUUCCAAUUAUCAGGGAAUGAAGAUAAUAAAAUCAAAGCACGAACUUCAUCUUCAAAGUUGAUCUCAACCAAACUCAAUUGGUUGGUGACCUCAUUGAAUUCGUUGAUAUGCUCAGCUACGAACAUACCUUCACCCAUUUUUAAGUGAAAUAGACAUCACCACAAAUAGACCUUAUUGAUUGUAGAGGAUUCUCACCUUUCUUUCUUCCAUCAUUACCGAUAAGCUUCACACCAGCCAACUCUGGCUCUAAUACCAAUUGUUGUAAAUAUAGACAAGCAAAUCGGAUAAAAUUAGGAAGAAAGAAUAAAAGGAAAUUGAACAUUGGAUUUAUGUAGUUCAAUCCAAAUAUCGAUAUCUACAUCUACGAAGAGAGCAAUAUAGAAUUCUACUAUAGAAAUAAGCGAUACACUGGGAUUAAAAUCACUCAAGCAUCCAAACACUCACUUAGUGUUUCCCAACCCCCCCCCCCUCCCCAAUUAUGCUAAAUAACUUAUAGUAUUUAGCUCUCACAAUUCCUAGUGAAAUCUCACUCGAGGAAUUACACAAAUUCUACUCUCAAGAAUUUAUCUCGCUAAAUCUCUCAAAUGUAAUUACAACAAUACUCAAUCCUCUUGGCCACCAAAGAACUUGGUGCAUUCUCCUCUCUUGCCACCAAGGACUUGGCACACUCUCAACCAUCAAAGGAACUUGGCGCUCUCUCAACCACCUUGGUGCAAUUCUUAUCCCACGUCUCUCGCACUCUUUUAUAAUGCAGAAAGAGAGUCUUCAUUAUUCAAUGGCCAAUCAUUAUUGUACAUCAUGAUGUUCACAUGGGAAAGAGACAUCUUGUACGUUGGCUUCUCUUCUCAAGUUUAGAAAGUCCACAUUGCAUUUAUUAAAAUGGACUCCAUGCAACUUUCUUUCUCAUUCCUCCAUCGGCUAAGGCUUCCACAUGCUUCUUCAUGCGGAUUCAUUCAUUUAGUAUACAAACGGAGGAAUUUUUAUAGUUGUUACUUGAGCAAAUCUCUCCAUUGACUCUGAUUAUAGCUCCACAUAAAGCGAAGGAAAGAGAGUCAAUAAAACACACAGGUUUUCUCUACUAUUUUUCUACACAUGUAGAGAGAUAAAUGCAAAAUGAAAUCCAUACACAAUCUUCUUCUCACAAUUGCGGCUAAACAUAAAUACAAUCAUGUGUUGUUGGACCAAAGAAGAAGUCCCACAAAAUCACAAGGUCGAGUUUCGUCCAGGUUCAAAUUCGAGACAUAUUUUAACAAUGCAUAUUGAAAUUCAUGAAAAUAACAACGAGCAUGGAUUAAGAGUUUGUGACAAUCGUGCAACCAUUGAAUACCGGCUUACUCGAGCAAAACUUAUGAACUUCUACGAAGCAACAUAUAUUGAUGUCAUCUAAAAACAUGACUUUCUGUUUUUUUGGACGAACUGGACUUGAAUGUUGGUAAGAUUCAUCAUGAAUUAAGCAAUAAACCUUAUAUGAUAAACUAGCUGAGGCAACAUCCUGAUAUUUAUUUCAUAAAACCUUGCAAUUUAAUUCAAUUCAAUUGAUAACGUGAUCAAUUCUUAAUAGACUAUAUACCCUAGUAUCAAAUUAAUCUCCUUUUUCCUAAAAAUCAAAGAAAUCAAGUACUGUCAAACAGUCUCAACCAUCAGUCACUCCAACGUACCAUACAAGCCUAUCCACUGAUAAUAAUUGUGUAGGUUUUCUUUUAGCAGAGCUAAUUGACAUGGCAAAAGAAAAAUCUGUGCAUAAAUACACUUUGUUCUAGGAGUUUAACCAUAUAUAUAUGAGAGAGAGAGAGAGUACUAUGUGUUGGUGCUAACAAUACAACCUAGAGGAUUAAUAGGUUGUUUGAGAACUACAAAAAACAUUUGCAGAAGUUAAGGUUCAGCUUUAAAUAUUGGCAGAAACAGAUUAAAGAAAUCAAGUACGGGUGCUCCUAUUUAACAGAACAUGAUAAUAAAGAUCAAGUAAUACAAAUAGUAAUGAGAUGGAAAAUUCACAAGCAGAUAUAAGUAGUCCGGCUUUAUCCCCAAGCCUACAUCCACUCCCAACACUAUCAGCCACAACAAAGUUAGAAUCCACUAAUAAUCUUCAAGAUAAGUUACAAUCAACAAGUACCGCAUUUCCAAUAGAUCACACUACUAGGACUCACAUACUUGUCACGGGUCGGUAGUUUCCUUGGCCGCAGAUUAACCCUUGUAGCUUCUUAUAACACUUGCUCAGUCCCAAGUUGUGGUGACAGACAAGGUGCAAUUCGCACCAAUACUGGACUUUAACAUAACAAAGAACAUGGUCCCCUUCGAUUUUUGAGGAUGACCACUAAAUGAAAUACAUCAUUAAAAACAAUGGUACUGAGUUUUGCUUUUCACCACGUAUGUAAGAUAUGGAUCCAACCCAACGGGCCUUAUCCAAUUGUAUUCACCAAUGUCACAGAGAGAAGAUCUUUUCAUAUAUACAACCAAAAGGAUAAGGAAUUUUUAAUAGAUAAGUUGUCGUAGGAGCAUGAUGAGGGAGGGACUGCUUUUUAUUUUCUAAAUGGCCACAAGUUGGGUAUUUCCCCUAUUCUCAUCUUUAAAAUAUACAUGUUUGGUUACCCAUAAUGCCCCUCAGAUCACGAGUUUGGCUAGAUUUUAAGUUACUCCAUUUUCAACCCAUGUAAUAUUAUUGACGAGUGUGUCCACUAUUCUGACCCCCACGAAAAUCUUUAAUAUCCACAACCUUGGGAUGACGGCAAACGCAACCUCAGCGACAGUGGGAGCGGUUCUAAGAUCCAAUGAGGAACGGAACGUGUGGUUUUAAUGAACCGUAGCUGUUUGAACUUUUUUCGUGAUUCCUAUAAAAAUGUCGUAAUAUGCGAAAACUUAUAAGUGGAUGAGAACUGCUCUUUUUUAAAUCCAACGGUGGUAAAGAGAUUAGGGAUCCGUUCCUCAAGGGCACCAAGAAGUAUUUGGAGCAAGAAAUUGAUCGCCGGGUUCUUCUCGCUGAACAACGUCAUUUAGGGUCGUGUAUGCAAAUGAAACUUGUUGAGUGAGGUCAUUUUGGUCUUUUUAUACUGAUUGAAACCUAUAACAAGCCACGUCAAUCGAAAAAAAUAUUAAAAUAAUACCACGUCAGAUUUUUAGCAUCCAAAAUCAGAAUUAACAUUAAAGUGAUUGUUCUUUUUUUAAGCAACAUUUAAAUAAUCCAGGAAAAAAAAUGUUAGUAUCAAAAUGGGUCUUAUAUGAAACUUUUGACACUCCAUUUUUUUUUUUUUUUGGUUGAGCAGUGACUUUGCCACUCACUUACCGUUAGUUAGUCAUGAUGAUUGACCCAUGGAAGAUAAGAACUUUAAAAACACGUCCAACCACCGAUAAUUUCAUAAUAUCAAACGGGUGAUGUUUUUUGUACUCCCCAAUAUAAGUUAAUCCCAUUAAACUAGGCACUCCGUAUCUUCUCAAUCAUAACCGUUUAUAGCGCUUUUAGUUCAGCAUUUUCAGAAGAUUUUGGGCCUAUAAAGGCCCAUUGUGCCAAAAUUGAGUUGUCGGGCAACAAAACUCCGAAGACAUUCGAGCAAAAAUUAGCGUUUCUAAAAUUCUUAAUGAAAGUCCGACCCAGCUUUGGCUUUAAGGACUAGAAAAAUGCUACCUUAGAGAGUUAAUGAAUUUUUUUUUUCCUAAUUUUGAUAUCGCCCAACUAUUUUCAAUUCCAAUUAUACCCUCACUAUCAAUUUGCUUUGCAAAUUAGAUUGGCAUCAUGUGAUGAUGGUGGCGGCAAGCUCUAAUCUGAUCGUCAACAAACUAGAUUUGACACUAACAAUCCUUGCCUCAUGUCAUGCAACCUCGGCAUGGCAUCAUUUGGCAUCAUUUGGAGAGAACAACCUCAGCCCUCGCCUUGGGUUGUUGUGGCCGUUGCCUAAGAUGAGUCGUACAAUCCAUCAUCAAGCUCAUACUCUCUCUCUCUCUCUCUCUCUCUCUCAAUUGUUUUUCAAAUUGGAUAUCGAAGUCCUCUGAUCUAAAGUCUUUUAUAUUUAUGCAGAACUUUUCCAAAAUGCUCAUCCACCUUGCUCUCUAGGCAGGCAAGCGACUUUCAUUACGCAAUUGUGGAAGUGAAUGUACUGCUGACCUUCAUUGAACAAGUAUGAAAGGAAACCACAGAUGGCAGCUAGUUAGAAAAUAACCCCAACCUAUGCAAAUAGGCUUCAAACCAUUGCUAAGUAGUUUUCUUUUGUAACAAAUGGACGAAGCCCAUACGCAGCAGUUAUCUCACAUCAUCAAUGAUUUUCUCAUUCAAUCACUAUCUGCAUUUCCUCCUCCAAUUAACAUUAUGGAGUCGAGCUUCCCCUUUCUUUCUGUUUAAUCAAUUCUUGAUUAUUGAGUUCCUUGCUGUCUUGACUUUAACCACUCAACUGCAUCACUAUUUGCUCGUCUUCUCUUUCUCGAUGUUCUUUUUCCUAGAAAAUAAUCGGUUAGGGCAGCAGAAGCACCAAAUGAAUACAUGCAACGCAUACUUAUCGACGAGUACACGCAAAGUUCUGGCUCCGGUGGCCCAAAAAGCUGAAAAUGUCCAUGAUGGUAGAUUUCCGGAGGUGAUGAUAAUUUUGAAAUACUAGUGGUAAGAGAAUAUCACCACUAACUUGCUUGUCAAGUCAUUUGUUGGUAAGUUGCCAAUGUUAUGGUGAAAAGGGUUAAUACUAUAAAAUCUCAAACUAAUACAUCACGUGUCAUAUUUACCUCAUACUCCAAACUAGUAUACCUAUGCUAUAUUUACCUAAAACUAGUUCUUGCGUCAAAAAAAGUUCAAAACUAAUACACUUGUGUCACAUUUAUCUCAAAAUUUGAAUUUUUUUUGGAUAUGAAGACUAGUUGGGGGUAAAUAUGAUAGUAGUGUACCCGUUUGAGAUUUUUUGUGACACGAAAAUUAAUUUGGGAUAAAUGUGAUAUGGGUGCGCCAAUUUCAAGUUUUUUAUAUUAUGAAAAUUAGUUUGGAGUAAUGGAAUUAGUGUACUAGUUUGGAGUUUUUUUAAAGUAUUAGCCCUUGUGAAUAUACCAAAGUCGAAAGUAUGUUUAGAAAAUUUUCAAAAUACCAACAGUCAAUAAUUUAGUAAAUCGCUAAUUUCUUUUACAUUCUACAAAUAUACUUAGUACAUGUGUAUGUAUUUUUUUUUUUUCCCAAUGGAAGUUCUACUUAGGACUGGGGAUUGAAAAAAAUUAAGGCUUCCCACAAAAGAGGUCAGCGGUUACUCAUGCUUAUUUUCUAGCAACAAAUUUUUGUGAUGAUCUUAUCUACAUCCAAAAUCACCUCAUCAAGUGUGAAGGGUCCAACCCCCACGAUUACAUGACAAUGUUCAUUGAAUGACUGACGAGAUUAUUGCCCAAUUACACUUCCACAACAUUUAUAGGCUACAAAGAACUGCAAAAUUUAAAUGGAUACCCCUUCUGUCACUCAAAUUUCACCAGUCACAUGACGAGGCAAGGUAAUGCAUCAAGCAUGAACCCAGAUUCCUCACGACCGCAUGACGAAUGGACGGCUGUUUCAUUCCAAACUCAUGAGGUGAUCUUAUGGAUACCAAUAUUCAAGUCAGAAGAGAAGGAUAUGAGAAGAGGAAGAUAUUGGUGCCAGACGGCUGCAAAGACACGUUUUUGGUGAGCUUUAAUAGACUGCGAAGGCCUGCAUCCAUUGUACCUGAUACCUAAGAGGCUCUUGAGCAGGACAUCCAAGUCAUUAAAAAGAAACUUCACUCACCAUGGAGAAGAUCCCAGAGGCUGCCAUUUUCCAUGUAAUCGUUAAAAAGAAGGUUGCCAGAAGGGGACAGAGAGUAUCCUUGAAGGAGUUUGAGACAGAGCUUGAGACUGUCUCCAAGCACUGUGGAUAUUGAGAGUAGAGUCUCUUGAUGGCGACCGGCUUGCAAUUUUUAAGAACGCAUUUGUAUACUGUGCUUGAAGCCCCAUAACCAAUUAUAUACUUCUCACUUAAAUUCUCAGUCAUCCUCAUGAUAUCCUCGUAGACAUGUAGGGCGGGCCAUGUUCAUGUGUAGAAUUACCAGCUUUGGUGGUGAAUAGUAGACAGCUAGUAAGCAACAACAUAGGAGUUAAAUGCAAGAUUACAGGCUCAAUGAUUUCACUUCAGGCAAAAACUAUCGCACAGGAUUUUCAAAAAGAGCUCAUUGUCUCAACCAAGAAUCUCGUUUUGGUGAUAAUGCAUGCUUGUUUAUCAUAAUAAUGACACAAUUCAUGAGGCAAGGCAAACAUAUCAAGGUAAUUCUGCUGAUGGUAGAAGUACAUUCCCUAAAGUAAAACUGAUAAAGUUCACAGGCAUGAGCUUUUAAAGUUCAUUAAAGAAAACAUCCCCAUUCUUUCACACAAUAAGCAAGUAUGUUGCUCGAGAUGCAUGGUACCUGGUUUAUCAAAGGAUCCAUCAACGAAUGGGUUAGAAUUCUGAGGUCGGCAUGCUGCCCCCAGAAUCAUGAGAAGGAUAACAAGUGCACCAAGAGCAAUUCCCAGUAUGGCAGCUUUAGAAAUUGUUACUGCAAAUAUGAAUAGUAAAAAUACACAAAAUCACCUAUGCAACCAGAUAUUAUGUAAACAUGCAUCAGAAAGCUAAAAUGAACAUAUAUCCCUAAAACACCACCUGGGAUGGUUGGUCAUUCUUCAUAUUUAAGGUCUCAGAAAAAUAAAUUUAGGUGAACAGAAGAUGUAAAAAACCAAAAUUUCCUCUUUUUCUUGAAAUCUGAAGCACAUAUUGUUCUUUAUGUUAAGGCACGUAUUUGGCAAAGCAGCUACCACAAACACGCCUUUGAUUCAUGUUUACCUCGUUCAGUCAAGUGAGAAUUGCCACAAGGAGAAUUUAGCCAAUAGCCACAAGGAGAAUUUAGCCAAUAGCCACAGAGUCUAGGAUUCCCAACAAAACUGCACCAUCAAUUAUUGAACAUUUGAAAAAAAAAACUGGCACGCAAGUGCAUAUGAUCAGAAUUACUCAUUCAUGAAGCUUAAUAUCUAGUUUGCUUGCCUGUCUUGUGAAAAGCGGGAGGAAUUGUCAUCCAUGGGUAUUUCCCCAACCAAGUUGUUGUACGAUACAUUUCUACAAAAUCAAAUAAAAUAUAGUGCCAUUAUAAUCUAUGCAGCAUUGGGGACAACAUUGGGACAACAACAAACUUACAGAAUAGUCAGACUAGGGGAGUUCAUCAGUGAAAUCACAUCUCCAGAUAAAUUAUUAUGGUCCAGCCUCCUGUAAAGUUAAGCAUAACAUUAUCCACAUUUCAUGUGUGAAAACAAUACAAUACCCAAACCUAAUAAAGUUAACCAAGAAGUUACAUCACAAGCCAUCCAAGUAUGAGGAGCUCAAUUGUGAUAAUCAGUAAUCACAGCCGACACCGACAUGAAAACACGACAAAAGGUGACAUGAACCACUCAGAGCUACAAUAUCAACUAAGAUUAUAGGUUUUAUACAUAUCCAUGAUGCUUCUCAGAUUGCCAAACUCAGCAGGAAUAAAUCCUGUCAAGUGAUUUCUGCUCAAAUUCCUGCAAAGAGAAAAACACUGAAGUCAGCACAAGAUCAGAUGAUACCUCCCAUCUCCAUGUGACCGUUGUUUUCUAGUUUACGACACUCACAGCUUAAGAUUGUUUGACGAAAUAUUCCUACACAGAGGAGCAAUCAAAAUGGCGGAAAAGGAUUACAUCACCAAAGAAUCCCCAUGGACUCUUCUAGCAAUGAAAGAAGCACCGUGACGUGACAAACCAUGAUCGAAAGGAGUUCUAGUAAUGUUACUUACAGUUUUGCCAUAUCUCUAGCCUCUGCAAAGAAGGGGGAUGGUCCCAUUCAGUUUGUUCCCAUGCAAAUUGUUGCACGAUGACAUUAAGAGUCAAGAUAUCAACUUUCCAUAAGAAGGAAAUUUAAAUUAUGAUAACCUGCUUACAGAGAUGGUCGGGACCCAACCACCACCGGUGGGGUUCUUGGGAGCGAGUGGCUCUUGACGGCAACGGCAGAGGUGGCCAAGCUUGGAGGUGACCGGCAGAGGUGGCCAAGCUCGAAGGGGACCGGCUGGAUUUUGAGCGUACGCGAUCGUCAAAGAGGCCGAGGCAGAAAUGAUCAAAGCUCGGGACCCAACCACGACCGGCGAGGCUCUUCGGAGCGAGUGGCUCCUCGCGACGACGGCGGAGGCGGCCGAACUCGGAGGCGACCAGCGGGCUUUUGGGUGUUCGCGCUCACCGAAGAGGCCGAGGCGAAGAUGGCUAGAGUUCGGGACCCACCCAUGACCGGAACGGUUCUUGGAGCGAGUGGCUCCCGAAGGCAACGGUAAAGGCAGCCAAGCUUGGAGGCGACUGGCAAAGGUGACCGAGCUCGGAGGUGACUAGUUGGCUUUUGGUGUAUGCGAUCGCCGAAGAGGCCGCGAAAACGGUCAGAGCUCGGGAUCCAACCACGA
This 105071-nucleotide long non-coding RNA is filed under the name Eucalyptus grandis. RNAcentral's name for it is "long non-coding RNA (EGRA_LNC003944)". Lineage: Eukaryota; Viridiplantae; Streptophyta; Magnoliopsida; Myrtales; Myrtaceae. The record is from RNAcentral.